This 90910-nucleotide long non-coding RNA is filed under the name Micromonas pusilla. RNAcentral's name for it is "long non-coding RNA (MPUS_LNC000052)". Lineage: Eukaryota; Viridiplantae; Chlorophyta; Mamiellophyceae; Mamiellales; Mamiellaceae. The record is from RNAcentral.
CGGGCGCGACGCCGAGGUGGAACCCGCCGUCGCCGUCGUCGACGUCCCCGACCUCGUCGCCGUCGCCGUCGCCCUCCGCGGCGGCGGCGCCGUCUUCUUCUCCCUCCGCCGCGGAAGGCGCCUCCUCCGCGUUUUGCGCCUCCGCGGUGGUCUCUUCCGAAGAGACCGCCGCGUCAUCCUCCGCGGGCGGCGACGGCCGCGCGGCCAUCUCCGCGGCGUGUUCCUCGCGCAUCUGCAGAUGGAACGCCUUGAACAGCUUGAACGUCUCUCUCACGCGCUUCAGGGAAUCGCACGGCAGCUCCUCCAGCGUCGUCAUCCCGUGCACGUAAUCCCUCACCUUUUCGCUCAGCUCCGUGCGCUCGAUCUCGGAUAAGUCGCCGUAGUUGACCGUCUCGCGGUUCGCGAACGUGUCCCGCAUCGCGAGCUCUUGCUUCAGCUCCUGGACCUGCCGCUCGUACUUGCGAAGCAGCACCCGCGGGUCUUUGCUCUCGUUGAUCACCGGGUUCGUGCGCAGCGUCCGCACGCGGCCGCUAAACCGACACGUGGACACCGUCUCCUCCACGUGUCCAAACUCCGGCCACACGCACGCGAUCAUGACCGUCUUGCAGUUCCCAAUCAACGAAUCGCGAAGCACGCUCGUGAGCUUCGAUUGGCGGUACGGAAUCGCCUUGUCCUUCCUCGACAUCGCCAUCACCGUCUGCUCCAGCAAGCUCAGCGAUCGGUUGAUGAACGUCGCCUCUUUGAACAGCGCGCCGGUGACGUGCGACUUCUUCACGCGCUCGCUCCCGGCGAGAUCGACCAGGUGAAGCUUCGACACGAUCGUCUUAUCCGGCCCGUCCCCUGUCGCGCGUUGCUCCAGGUGAAUCGUGAAGACGCAGUGCGAGCGCGAGGAGGAUUUGUUGAGCGCGUGCGCGGCGACGGCUCUGUUGGCGUCCCCCGCGAAAAACGCCGCCAGCGCCUCCGCCUCGCUCGCGACGUACUUCUUCGUCAGACCCUUCACUCGCACCUCGUCCCCGCGCUCGACGAUCGUGAGGGACUCUCGGCGCGACGGGAUCCCGCCGUCCUCGGAGGAGUCCGCGAGGAGGUCGUACAUCUGCUCGUUGUAAAUUUCGAGGUAGGAGACGCGAACGACUUUUUCCUUCUCCACUCGCAGGUCCAUCUCGUGGAAGAUGUGGUGGACCGCUCUCGGGACGACGCCGCGCUGCUUGUAAUCGCCCGGCUCGCCCGUCAUCGUGAACGUCUUCCCCGCGCCCGUCUGCCCGUACGCGAACACCGUGCCGUUGUACCCGUUCAUGACGUUAUCCACCACCUCGCUCGCGCAGUGAUCGUAGACGCCCUCCUGGUUGAUAUCCUUGAGGACGUUGUCGAACGUGAACGCGAAGCCGUCCGCGGCGUUGUUGACGUCCAGGCCUCGUCGCGCGGCGGUCUUGUCGGGUUUGAGGUCCACGUUGACGGUCUUGUUAUCCGCUUGCACGCUGCGGGUGGAGGACGCGGGGGGGGGAGAGGUCAAGGUCAGCGGUCGGGUCGGGACGGAGUCGCGACGAUGGACUGCGUCGCGUGCGCUUCAGCGGGGGGACGACCGACGGCGAUGACCGGGGAUCUAUCGAGCGCGUCGGACGGGGCACGCACACGAACGAGCCCUCAUCGUCGAUGCACGGCCGCGCGCGGAGGAACACCUUCACCGCGCUCGUCGUCGCGUCGCGCGGAGCGGGCUUCAUCGCGCCUCUCGCGUCGAGACGACGCGCGCCGCCCGUUGUCCCCGCGCGUCGGUCAAUCCGACCCCUAAAUAGGCUUCGCUUCGUCGGAAGGGGUAAACUGUGCGACCGACCGCGAUGGAAGUCUGGUGGAAAGGGGGACGAGCGACGCGCGGCGCGCGGCACACGCGUCGACGCGCGCGAUGCCGUCGUUCGACAAGCAAGUAUCGCGCCCGGCCGCGAAGGCGGGCGCGCCGGCGCCCGCCAGGGCGCGAAGCGGCGGGCCAGGUGCGUCGUCGCAUCCCGCGCGCGCGCGUCAUCUUCCGCUUCCGCGUCGCCUCGAUCUCGAGCGUUUCGCCGUUUCGUACUCCGUCGCGCGAACGAUGGUUCCGAGAAGACGUCCACGACGACCCCCGCCGACGACGCGUCCCGCCGCGUCCCUCCCCGAUCGUCCGCGCAGACCCGUUCGUGAUCGCGCACGUGCACAAGCAGUCCGACGCGGAGGCGUUCUUCGAAGCGCGGUUCGGCCUCGAGCCGUCUUCGAACGACGUCCGCUCCCCGCUGCGCGACGGCUCCAACCGAGCGAAGCCGUCCACCUCGGAGCGCGGCGGCCCGACGUCCGCGGCUGGCAAAAAGAUCGCCGACCUCCAGACGAAGCUCGCGCACGCGAUGGCGGCGGUCCAAGAGGGCGACGCCGCGACGGAGCAGGCGCGGAUCGAGCGCGAGCGCGCCGCGGUGGCGUGGGCGGACGCCAUGGCUGCCGCCGACGCCGCGCGCGAAUCCGCCGUCGCCGACGCCGCCGUCACCCGAGACGGCGUCCAAAGAGCGCUCGAGCGCGAGGUCAGCGAGCUGCGCGCCGCGCUCGCAGCGGCGGAGACGAUGAACGCGCGCGCCAAGGCGGCGGAGGCGGCGACGCACGCCGCGGGCGCGAAAGCCGCCAAGGCGAAGAACGACAAGCUCGCGGCGCGCGUCGCGUUGUUGACCGAGGCGCGUAUUGGUUCCUCACACCGGUUCCCAUACGAUCCCGUUCGCGCGGUGCACGCCGUUCCUUGAGGACUUUCGCCGUCGCAUCUCUCCGCCCACACCUCGCUUUCAAUCCCCGACCACGACGCCUUUCAACUCCGCUUCUGACGCCUUUCAACUCCACCCCGACGUGGCUUCGCACGGAACGCGCCUCAGGAGGCGGAGGACGCCGAACGGAGGGCGUCGGACGCGUCCGCGGCGUCAGACGCGACGCGCGCGGAGCUCGCGGAGACGAAGCGCGCGAUGGAGAAGAUCGCGAGCGAGAUGGAGACGCUGAAGAAGGCUGGCGCGGUCGCGAACGAGAUGCUCGCGGACGCGAAGGGAGAGCUCGAACGCGCGCGGGAGACGUCGCGCGACGGCGAGAAGCUCGCGGCGGAGGCGGCGGCGGAGGCGGCGGCGGCGGCGAGCGCGAGCGCGACGACGAUAGCCGAGCUCCGCGCCGCGCUGGAGACGACCGGGGGGUCGCGUCAGCGCGCGAUGGAGGAGCUCUCGAGGCUGCGCGACGACGCGACGACGGCGAAGGAGGAGUCGGAGCGCGCGAAGAAGACGGCGGAGGAGGCGGAUUUUUUGCGCGCGGCGACGGAGACCGAGCUCGCGAAGACGCGGCGAGACCUCGACGACGCGAACGCGCGCGCGUCCGCGACGGAAAGCGAGCUCGCGAAGACGCGGCGAGACCUCGACGACGCGAACGCGCGCGCGUCCGCGACGGAGAGUGAGCUCGCGAAGACGCGGCGAGACCUCGACGACGCCAACGCGUCCGCGUCCGCGUCCGCGACGACGACGCGCGACGAGGCGACGCGAGAGGCGCGAGAGAGCGCCGCGCGCGAGAUGGAGGAAACGCGCGCGACGCUGACGGCGCGACACGACGCCGCGCUCGCCGCGCUCGCCGCGACGCACGCGGCGACGACGAAGGAGUUGGAGGCGCGGUUGGACGCGGCGAGGGCGGACGCGUCCGAGGCGGCGGCGAGGGCGGAAGCGUUCGAAGCCGAAGCCGCGGCGACGACGAAGGAGUUGGAGGCGCGGUUGGACGCGGCGAAGGCUGACGCUUCCGAGGCCGCGGCGAGGGCGGAAGCGUUCGAAGCCGAAGCCGCGGCGAACGCCGCCGCCGCGGUCGUCGUCGCUCCCCCCGCCGCCGCGCCGCCGCCUCCCUCCGAGGAACUCGACGCCCUCAAAGCCGCGCACGCCGCGGAGAUGGCGAAGAUCAACGAGGCGAACGACGAGAUCGUCGCGUGGGCGCGACAAGCGGCGAAGGAAGAAGCCGAAGAAGCGCUCGGCGCCAACGCGAGAGACGCGCUCGCGAAAGCCGCGCGCGCGGAGAAGGCUCUGGAGGACGCGUCCCUGGAGCACGCGUCCCGCGUCGCGUCGUUGAAGCAGGUAACAACAGAACGUUUUUCACCCGUCCCUCGGUUUCAACAUAAAGUUGAUCGCGUGGGUUCCUUUCAACUGACCGAUGAACGAACGGCCCGCAGACGUUCAAGGAGGCGAUGGAGCGAAAGAACGAGGAACUCAAGGUGGCGCUCUCCGCCGCGCGUUCGAGCGGCGCCGACGACGUCGCGCGCGCGGAGGCCAAGGUGGCGUCCGCGACGACGGAGGCGCGCGCGAAGAUCGCCGCCGCGGAGCGCGCGGCGCGAGAGGCGAAGGCGGCGACGGACGCCGCGGAGGCGAAAGCGGCGGCGACGGAGAAGGCGCGCGACGACGCCGUCGAGUGUUUGAACGUCGCGCGCGCCGAGUGCGAGGCCGAGGUGAAAGCGGCCGAGCUGAGAGCCGCGAACGUGGAGUACGACCUCGAGACGCUUCGCAACCGGUUGCGGCAGUCCGAGAACGCGGGGAAGCGCGCGCUGUUGGAGCUCUCCGACGAGCUCGCGAGCGCGGAGCGCCGCGCGAUGGAGAAGGUGAUGAAGGUGCGUUCUCGCGAACGUUUCGUUUUGUUUUUCACCCGUCCCUCGGUUUCAACGUUUGAUCGCGUGGGUGGGUGGGUCCCUUUCAACUGACCGAUGAACACGUUUUGUACCCCUCUGCCUGAAGUCGGAGGAGGCGGCGAAGAAAGCGGACGCGACCAACGCGCAGCUCGCGCGCGAGCUCUGGGCGUGCCGGCAGAAGAUGGAGACGAACGAGGCGGAGCUUCGACGCGACCUCGAGCUGUCGCGGAAGCGCGCGAGCGACUUGCUCAGGGAGGUGAACGCCGCGCGCCGACGCGAAGCGAUGCGAGGCGGCGGCGGCGGCGGAGACGACGCGUCCGGGGCUGGGAGGAGCGCCGCCGACGCGGACGCCGUCGUCGCGGAGAUGCAACGCGAGCUCGAGGCGGAGAUCGCCGCGUCCGAAGCCGCGGCGGCGGCGUCCGCGAAGCGCGAGGGCGCGUCGCGCCGCAAGCUCGCGGACGUGAACACGAAGUUAACGGAAGCGGAGCACGCGUUACACGAGACGAAGAUUGCGCUCAUGAAGAGCGAGCGGCGCGCGAACGACUUCGAGAGGGACCUCGAGAAGGAGACGAGCAAGAGCGCGCGGCUCGAGUUGGCGUGCGCGAAGGGCGGCGUCAAGCUGCCGAAGUAGUCGCGCGUGAUAGCUAUCAUAUCGUAUUCAUUCGAUUCGACGACGACGACGACGUGCCGCGCGCUCACUCGUCGUCGUCGUCGUCGUCGUCGUCGUCCUCGGGCUCUGGCUUCCCCCGGCCUCUUCCUCCCCUCCCUCCUCUCCCCGGGCCCCUCCCCCCCCGCCCGCCCUUCCUCGCGCGGACUGCGCCGCGACUUUCACCACGACUCGACGCGGACUGCGCCGCGACUUUCGCCUCCUUCCUCGCGCGAUUCGCCGCGGACUGCGCCGCGACUUUCGGCGCGUAGUUCGUCCCCCAGUACAACAUCUCCGCCUUGACGUCCGCGUACGGCGCGCGCAACGCGUCCUCGCCGCAGAACACGAGCAUGUCGCACGUGCUCGGCCACGCCUCUUUAUUCUUCCGGAAGAUGUCGCGCACGCGGCGUUUCACCGAGUUUCGAUCCACCGCGCGCCUGAGAAGCUUCUUCGGGGCUUUGAUCCCCAGACGCGUGUUGUCCACGUCCGGGACGUCCGUCGUGUCGCACCACUUGAUGCGCACGAGCUUUCCGUUGAAGGAGCGUCCCGUGUUUUGCACGCGGGUGAAAUCCGCUUGCGUCUUGAGUCGCUCGCGCGGGCGGAACACCUCGCCGGCGAUGCUCUCCACCUGCGCGGUGCGCCGCGAGGACGGAGUGCGCCGCGUCAGAUGCAAUGCGCGCGGGCGUCGGGCCACACGCCGAGCGAGCGAGCGAUCGAACGAUCGAGCGAGAGAGAGAGCAGAGAAGAGAAAGGAAGAAAAUCGAGUCGUCGUCGUCGUCGUCGUCGUCGUCGUCGUCGUCUUUUCCGUCACGCAGACCUCGGCGCCAACCGAGGGAAACUGUUUCUUUCGACACGAGGGCGUCCCCCAUGGAACCAAAUAGUUUCAGGCUGGUGCCAGUAUUGGUUCAUCACUCGGAAAAGCGACGCGACGCGACGGACGGACGGACGGACGACCGACCGCGGGCGAGGGAGGACGGCGGCGGCGGGCGGCAAAUCGAAUCGAAUCGCUCGAAUCGCACUCGGCGCACCUUUUCCCUCGCGCGCUUCUCCCGCGCCCUCCUCUGUCCCUCCUUCACGCUCGCCUUGUGCGCUUCCUUGCGCCGCGCGUCGCUCCACGCGAUGUCGCCGAGGUACGCGAGCGGGUCCGCCGCGUCGUCGUCGUCGUCCCACGACGUCGGCGCGGACGCGGACGUCGCCUUCGGGCAGUCCCUCGCGAGGUGCCCGGGCGCGUGACAUCGGAAGCACGCGCGCGUCUCCGUCGUCGUCGGCGACGACGACGACGACGACCAGCGGGGCGCGCUCGACCGCGCGACCGCGCGCGUCGUCGUCGUCGACGACGACGUCGCGAGCGCGUCGCGCCGAGCGGCGCGCGGCGCCGCGCGCGCGGUCGCGCGGCGGUGCGACGUCGUCAGCGUCGAGAACGCGGCCGCGCGCGCGUUCGCCGCCGCCGACGACGCGAUGAUUAGUGGGGGACGUCGAAUCAUCGUCGUCAACGCGAACGACGACGACGAGGACUCGAGAGCGCGAGCCGCCGCGGCGAGCGCCGCGGAGGCGAGCGCGCGUCUCGUCUGGAUGUUGCCCCGCGCGCGACUGGGGUGCCGCGACGAGCUUCCGGUCGCUGCGGCGGUGCGCGGGCUCCGUGUGAUGACCUAGAGUUGCGAAUUUUCCUCGGUUCGUCCAGUCGUCCGCGUCCGCCGACCGCGCGACCGCGCCGGUGCCGAGUACAGGUAGUGAUGUUUGUCGAGAGCUCGGGAAAAGGGCGCGCGAUCGGCGCCGCCGUCGCACACGCGCGAGCGGUGGCUCGACGCGAGCGCGCGGGCUCGCAUCGGACACCCGCGGGACGCGUUCGGCGAUCGGAGGGGGAUCCCUCGGGGGAGGAUACCCCCGGGGGAGGCACCCGCUGGGGCGGGGCGAGACGUCACAAAUUCAAAUCUGAGCGAGCCGAGAAGUCGUCGUCGCUUUCCGCGCGCGUCGUCCAUCGUCUGGGCCGAGCGGAGCUGGCUCGGGAGCACGGCACCAUGACGCGUCCCGGCGCGCGCGGCGGCGACGGCGACCCUCCGACGCCGUCCACGCGCUACGCCGGCGUCGUCGACCCCGCGUACGCGUCGUCCGACGACGACGACGACGCGUUCACGCCGCCCCUCCGCCCGCCGUUCGUCGCGUCCGACGGAUCGCCGUCGACGUCCGCCUCGCCGACGCGGCCGCCGCGCGAGGUCGUCGCGCGGCGCUCCGUCGCGUGGGACGCGGACCUGGAGCGGUACGAGCCCGUGGAGUCGUCCUCCGCGCCGCCGCCGCCGCCGAUCCUGAAGCCGUCGCGCGGCGGAUGCGGCGGCGUCCUCGACGCGCUGUCGCCGCGGAAGCGACGCGAGCGACGCGAGGCGCGCGAGCGCGACGAGACGCGACGCCGCGACGCGUCCGCCGCGUCGGACGCGGCGACGCGCGCGGCCGUCGACGCCGCCGCGCGGUUCGACGAGAACGUCCCGCUGCCGGGCGAGGCGUUGCGGGGCGACGAGGAGGAGUUCUACGGCGGCGGAGCGGGGGGCGACGAGGAGGAGGAGGACGACAGCUGGCGUCGCGGCGUCGUCGGCGUCGGCGGGCGCGUCCGCGCGACGGCGACGACGACGUCCGCGCCGACGGCUUCGAUCGACGCGUCGCGCCGAGUCGCGGAGGAGGACGCGCUCGCGGCGCUGCGCGCGGCGUACGCCGCGGAGGAGGACGACCGACCGUCCACGAGCGCGGCGGCGCGAUUCUUCGCCGCGGACGUCGGCGACGGCGACGCGACGCGUUUCGAAUCCUACCCGGGGAUGGCGAAGUCCACCGUGGACGCGAUAUUAUACGGCAACGCGCUCGCGGGCGGCGAAGAGGAAGACGCCGAGGAGGAAGGCGCCGGAAGAAGAGUAGACGCGACGCGCGCGCGCGACGCGCGACGCGAAGAGCGGCGCCGGCGCCGCGAGCGCGAGCGCGAGGAAAACGCUGAGGAAGACGCCGGCGGCGGCCGAAAACCGCCGAACGACGACGCCGUCGUCGCGCCGUUCACCGUCGCCGUCGCGGACGCGGAGCUCAGCGCCGGCGCGCGCCCGGGGAUCGCGCUCGAGAUCGGCGACGACGUCGCGAGGAUGAAGCACGCGCUGGAGAACGUCGGCGCGGCGCGAGAGGCGCACCUCGCGGAGAUGCGAUCGUUUUUAUCGCGCGACGGCGGCGACCGCGGCGGCGGCGGCGGCGGCGGACGCGUGACCCUCGCGCCCGGCGCGACCUCGAUCCUCCCCCCGGGGAGCCCGUCCGCGUCCGUCGCGGAAGAGGCCGCGGAGGCGACCGCGCGCAUCGCGAUGAACGCCGCGCGCGUCGAGGAGACGGCGACGUACGCGAACCGGUUGGUCGCGGCGGCGAUCGAGCCGUCGCCGCCGCCGGCGGAUUGGCGCGCGACGAUGCAGCCGCAGUGGGCGUCCGAGGACGAGUGGACGUCCCCGCCGCCGACGCCGACGCCGAUCCCGAUCCCGAUCCCGUCGCCGAAGAUCGCCGUGGCGUCGUCGCCGCGGUCGUCCGCGGCGUUGGAGGCUGCCGCGAGCGCGGCGAGCGGCGCGACGCGACGCGCGACGGCGGACGCCGCGGCGGACGGCGACGAAGAGAUGCUCGAGGUGUUGCGCGUUCUCGAGGGCGUGACGACGACCGCGAGCGAGAUCGCGCGCGGCGGCGGCGGCGGCGCCAGACCCCGCGCGCGGGCCGCGCUGACGUUCGAUUGGAAUUGGAACGCGGACGCCGCGGACGCCGCGGACGCCGCGGACGACGGGAUCGAUCGCGCGCCGAGAGGGGACCUCGCCGUCGCGAUGGGUUUGCCGCGAUUCGAUCCGACGCGGAGAAGAGAGGUCACAUUCGGCCCGUCGUCGCGUCCGUCCGCGGCCGCCGCGCGCCGCGCGUGGGAGCCGCCGCGCGUGGGGUUCGGCAGCGCGACGACGCGCGAGGGCGAGCCCAGACGUGCGGGGAGGGGCGGGGACGCCGCGCGAGCGGUAGGCGGCGCCGUGCGUUGGCGCGGCGGCCCGCCGGAGCCAACGUCGGCGCCAGAGGCGUCGCGCGCGUCGGCGUCGGCGUCGGCGUCGACGUCGCCGCGCGCGAAAGAGAAAAGGAAGGAAGACUACUCGCACGUCGGGAGUAAGCUCAAGGAGCAGUGGGAGGCGUGGCGCGCGGGCACGGACGAGGGCGUCGCGGAGGAGAAGCGACGCGCGGAGAAGAUAAAACUCCGCGCGGGGCUUCGAGGGGUGCUCGUCGAUAUUCACGCCGCGACGACGGCGAUGGAGGCGGCGACGGCGGCGGAGUCGCCCACGGUGACGCAUUCGUCCGAGGAGAGCGUCUCCGAGGGGGACGACGCCCCGAAGCGGCGGCGAGCCGCGUUGGCCGUCAUCGAGAAGAACGCGCCGCCGCCCGCGUCGGUCGAGACGGCGACGGACGAGGAGGCGAGACGACGGGAAGAGAAGAAGAAACUGCGCGCGGGGCUCGUGGACAUGCUCGCCGACUUGCAGCGCGCGCGCGUGGACACCGCGGCGGGGACGUCCGAUGACGUGUCUCCCGCGACGAAACGCCGCGAAGAGAAGCGGAAACUGCGAGAGAGCCUGGAAGACAUGCUGUCGGACGUGCGCCGCGCGAAGGAACCGCCGUCGCCGCCGCUCCCGUCGCCGCCGGCGGCGCUCCCGGCGUCGCUUCCGGUCGCCCCCGCGGCGACGCUUCCCGCCGCGACGCCGACGCCGCUCGUCGUCGCGCGCGGCACGCGCGCGCGAAGCGCCGUCGCCGUCUCCGACGCCGCCGUCGGCACCGUAUCGUCGUCGCACGCGGCCGCGCAAACGUCCACGGCGGCGGCGGUGGAACUCGACGACGACGACGACGACGACGACGACGACGACGACGGCUCCGUCGCGUCCGACCGCGACGAUCUCCUCAUGACGACCGCGGGGGCGUACCAAGUCUUAGGGUACACCGAACGCGGAGAUCUCACGGAAGAGACCGGGACGCAGACGCUGUCGGCGCCGCCGCCGCCCGCGGACGAAGCGAAAGAGGAGGAGGCGAGGUUCGAACGCGAAGCCGCGGCGAUCGCGCGCGAGCUCGUGUCCGGCGCCGCGCGCGCCGCCGACGCCGACGACGCGUCGCCGUCGCCAUCGUGGCUUCGCCUGCAGCUCCGAGCCGUGCGCGUGCUCGCGCGCGCGCGCGAGGAGACGCACCGCGAGCGCGUCGCGGCGAUGUGCGAGCGUUUCCGCGACGCGGACGCGCGGCUGCGGGAGCAGGCGCGUUCUAUACACUGGUCCCCAUACGACCGCGUCGGCGAUGUGAACGCCGAUCCUUAAGGACUUUGCCGUCGUCUCUCUCCGCCCACCCCUCGCUUUCAAUGCCCGCCCUCGACGCCUUUCAACUCCCUCUGACGCCUUUCAACUCCACCCCGACGUUCGCUCAGGAGUACCUCUUGUCUUUCUCCGCCGCGUCGCGGGAUAUCCGCCGCGCGAGAGCGACGGAGGCGAAGCGCGAUAAGGCGGCGGCGCGCGGGAAGAAGUGGGCGCCGCCCGGGGGAGGCAAGGCUGCGUUCGCCGGCGGCGGCCGCGGCGGGAAGAGCCACAGCGUGCACGUCUCGAGAGGCGCGGGGCCCGAUGCGGCGACCUGGGAGGCGGCGACGAAACCGGCGGCGGCGGGGAGAGGAAAAAGUAAAAUCGCCCCCGGGAGCGCCGGCGCUCGCGGUCGCGACGGUCCGAACCUCGCGGACGACCCGUGGGAAGGCUCGGAGUUUAAGCGUCAGAUGCUGAUCACGCUGUCGAGUAAGCUUCUGAUGAAGACCGCGCUCACGGCGUUCGCGGCCGCCGCGCAGGGCGCGCGGGAUGUGCGGACGAACGUCCGAAGGGUGUGGGUGAAGAACCGCGCGAAGCUUUUGGUCGCGUGCCUCGACGCGUUGAAAGAAAACGCGCGCAUCGCUGCCGUUUUCGAAUCCAAAGCCUCCACCGUCGCGGCAGAACGCCUGAGAAAACACGCGAGAGCUGGGCUCAAGCGCUGGCGAUUCAUCGCGGGCAGGGACGCGGAAGAGAAGAAGCGAAACGCGCUCGCGGACGCGGCGUACGGUCGCAGAGCCGCGGGCGCGGCGUUUUCGCAGUGGCGCGCCGCGCGCGUCGCGACCGACAUCGACGCGCACGUAACGUCCCUCGCGCGUACGUUUCGCGACAAACGCCUCGCCGUCGCGGCUCUCCACGCGUGGGCGAUGCAGACGAAAUCGGAAGACGUCUAUUACGCGCGCGCGAGCGAGAACUACGCGUUCGCGAGGGCGCGCGCGUUCAAAGACUCCUUCCUCGCCGGUCGCCGCGCGCGCGCGUGGCAAAUCAACGAGAUGCCCGAUCGAGCCGCGCGCGACGCCGCGAUGGACGCAUUCGUCGACGCUUACCGCGCGUGGUCGCGGUCGCGAGGGGCGCUUCAGGCGUGGAUCAUCGCGUGGCGCGCGACGAAGGACGCGCGCGGCGCGACGACGCGCGGCGCGGACGCCAUCGCGCGCGUCGUCGCCGAGUGCGACGGCAGCCGACGAAGAGCCGCCGCGCGCGACGCGUCGGCGACGCUCCGAGCGCUUCUGUCGCGGCGGCGGUACGUCGCCUCGGACGCGGACGUUCGGUGGGUCUCGCUCGCGAUCGCGCACAUGCGGCGCGCGCGCGAGGAGGAGACGAACGAGACGGCGUGGGAACGCGCGCGCGAGACGGAGACGGAGACGACGCGCGCGAACGACGAUCGCGACGACGCCGCCGCCGCGGACGCCGCCGCGUGGUCGAAGAAGUGGUGGUCGAGCACGCGCCCGCCCCGGGACCCGGACGCCGCGCCGGCGACGAAGACGCAGCGCGACGCCGCGGCGGCGAAGGUGUUCGACGACCCGGGGGUGCCGGACGACGACGACGGCGACGGCGACGACGCGACGGAGAGGGGAACGAAGAGCGCGAACGAAGAAGAAGACGCGGCGCGAAUCGACGUCGACGCGUCCGUCGUCGCGACGGACGCCGUCGUCGUCGCCGCCGACGCGCUCGCGCACACCGCGUCGUCCGCGUCCGUCGCGCACGCGGCGGCCGUCUCCGAGCGUCGCGUCGCCGCGGACGCCGCGCGACGCCGCGCCGCGGACGUCGCCGCGGAGACCGCGCAGACCAAGCUCGUCAUCGCGCGCGAACGCGCGGAGAUGGAGGCGUGGACCGUCGCCGGCGGCGACGCCGCGGUGUUUUCCGCGCUCGACGCCGAGUCGAGAUGGGUCGCGUCGGACGCGGCGGGCGCGUCGUCGUCGUCCGCCGCGGCCGCCGCCGCGAGAGAAGCCGAGGCGAACGCGAAAGACGCGGACGCGGACGCGUCGACGGCCGCGAACCUCGCGUCCGUCGCGACGGACAUCGCGUCGUUCGCGAGGGACGCGGCGAAGGCGACGGCGACGGCGGCGGCGGCGGCGGCGGCGGCGGCGCGGACGGCGGCGGCGGCGGACGCGGCGGCGCGUCUUUCGCGCGCGAGCGUGAACGCGUCGCGCGAGGUCGUCGCGGAGGCGGCGGCGGAGGCGGCGGCGAACGACGACGACGACGACGACGCGUCGGCGUCGGCGUCGAUCGCGAAGCUUCGAGAGCGAUGCGAGCGCGCGGAACGCGACGCGACGGACGAUGCCGCGGCGCUCGCGGCGGCCGCGGAGGCGUCCGCCGCUUUCAACGCCGCCUCGGACCGCGCGUCCGCUCGCCACGACGUCGUCCGCGUCGCGAUCGACGCGCUCGAGACCGCGCGCGCCGCGGUCAAGGCGUCCGCCGCGUGGCGCGACGACGCGACGCGACGCGUCGCGAACGCCGACGCGGAGGCGGCGGCGGCCGUCGCGGAGGCGGCGGGCGCGGAGGCGCGAGAGGCGUUUUGGUCCGAAAAGUACCGCGACGCCGUCGUCGACGCGGAGGACGCUAAAAACGAUNNNNNNNNNNNNNNNNNNNNNNNNNNNNNNNNNNNNNNNNNNNNNNNNNNNNNNNNNNNNNNNNNNNNNNNNNNNNNNNNNNNNNNNNNNNNNNNNNNNNCGCGCACUCAGCCUCGGCCUCCGUCGCGACCGCGAGCCGCCACGCCGGGUCGGAGGAGAGUUCGCCGCCGCGCAUCGCGGCUUCGUGCGCGAUUUCCACGUGCGCUCGCGCCGCCUCAGACGCGGCUUCUGCCCUCGAAACGCACCCGUCGCGUCGAGUUUUCGCCGCCGCCGCGGAAGACGCGGAGAUGGCUGCGAACGACCAGCACGCGCUCGAUUACGUCGCGAUCGCGCGCGAUACCGCGCGCGCGGCCGAGGCUGAAGCGGCGGCGGCGAAAACUCGACGCGACGGGUGCGUUUCGAGGGCAGAAGCCGCGUCCGAGGCGGCGCGAGCGCACGUGGAAAUCGCGCACGAAGCCGCGAUGCGCGGCGGCGAACUCUCCUCCGACCCGGCGUGGCGGCUCGCGGUCGCGACGGAGGCCGAGGCUGAGUGCGCGCGCGCGGAGUUUGAUCUCAUCGAAGCGAACGCCGCCGCCGCGGUCGCGUCCGAUGAACUCCAUCGAAGAGAGAGCUCGGUCAACGCCGCGAACGCGAGCGCGUUCGCCGCCGCGGAGGAGGAGACGACGCGCGGGAACAGCCUCCGCGACGCGGCAAUCGCGGCGAAACGCGAAUUCGAAGACGCGGAGAAAGCCGCGACGCGCGCGGAGAACGACGCGGUGCUCAUGUCCGGCGGCGACGUCGCCGCGCUGCGCGCGGAGCGCGCGGAGUCGACCGCGCGCCACGUCGCGGAGUCGCGGCAGGCGUUGCUGGACGCGAAGCGGCACGCGGAGCGACGACGCACGCGCGCGGAGGAGGCGACGCGCGCGGCGCGAAAAACGCGCGCGGAACACGCGGACGUCUCGAAAGCGGCCAACACCGCGCGCGAUCGCCUCGCCGCAGCCGCGGACGCCGCGAGGAAACUCGUCCGCGCGUCUGUUACCGCCGCGAGCCGCGCGGACGCGGCGUCGCUCGCCGCGGCGCGCGCGCGCGACGCGACGCGCGCGGGCGCGCGGUGGAAAAAGGCGGCGGAGGUUUUGAAACGACGCGCGUCGAAAGCGCGCGAGCUCGCCGCCGUCGCGAGAGACCGCGCGACGUACGCCGCGUCCGACGCGCGGCUCGCCGCGGGCGCGGGUGGCAACCGCGACGAGGCCCGCAGAGCGUCGUGCGCCGCCGCGGACGCCGCGGAAGACGCGACGAAGGCCGCCGCGAGGGCGCGCGCGAUCGAGGACGCGACGCGCGACGCGCGGCUCGUCGCCGCCGCCGCCGACGCGCUCGCGUCGACGACGCGCGAGGACGCGGCGACGCAUCUCGAAGCGAGCGACGUCGCGACCGCGUCCGAGGACGCCGCGAUCAAGGAGCUGGAAGCGCUCGUCGCGGGGGUGACGCGCGCGGCGGCGGCGGCGGAGACGUUCGUCGCGCGCGCCGCGGAGACGGAAGCGGCGGCGCUCGCCGCGGAGGCGGAGGCGGCGGCGGCGUUGAAAGCGACGGCGCUGACCGCCGCGGAGGCUGAAGCCUCCGCGCUGGAGGGCGAGAAGAAGAUCCUCGAAGCGAAAGCCGAGAUCGCGGCGAAAGCGCGCGAGGCGUCCGCCGCGGAAGCGCGGCGAAGGGUCGAGCGCGCGCGCGCGGCGGCGGCGGACGAGGCGAAAGCCGCGGCGGAUUUCGAAUCUCGCAUGCGGUGCGUUCUACACACUGGUCCCCAUACGACCGCGUUCGCGUGGUGAACGCCGAUCCUUAAGGACUUUGCCCGGCGCAUCUCUCCGCCCACCCAUCGCUUUCAACCCCCGAACUCGACGCCUUUCAACGCCACCUGACGCCUUUCAACUCCACCCCGACGUUCGCUCGUAUGGAACGACCCUGAGACGCGAACGCGCCGAGCUCGAACGCCUCCGCGCGGUCGAGGACGCCGCGGCGACCAAGGCGGCGACGGAGCGCGAGAACGCGCGCCGCGCGCUCGAGCGCGAGCUCGAGCGCCGGCGAGAGGUGGACGCCGCGCGAGCGCUCGUGGAAGCGCACGAGGCGGAGACGACCCGGCGCGCGGAACUCGCCGCGCUCGCCGACGCGCGCGAGAAGGACUUGCACGCCGUCGAGGACGCCGCCGCCGCCGCGCUCGCUGCCGUGCAGCUCGCGGAGGCCAAGUCGAUCGCGGAAGCGCGCGUGAGAGCCGCGGAGGACGCGUCCGCGGCGGCGUCGAGAGCGCGCGAGGAGACCGCGGCGGCGGCGGCCGAGGCGGCGGCGAGCGCGGCGGCGGCGGCGGCGGCGGCGCGCGCCGCGGAAGCCGAGCGCGAGGCUCGCGAGGCGGACGUCGCGGAGGAGGAGCGAGAGCAGCUCGCGGCCGUGGAGAUUAUUCGACUGAAGCGCGUCGCGGAAGAGCGCGUGGCGAGGGCGACCGCGGACGCGCGCGAGGCGAUCCGGGUCGAGCGCGAGACGCGAGAGGCGGUGGAGCGCGCGACCGCGGACGCGGCGAAUGCGGCGGCGCGCGAGCGAAGGCUUCGCGACGCGUCCGAAGCCGCGGCGGCGGCGGCGAACGAGCUCGACGUCGAGCGCCCGCGAGCGCGGAUGAACGAGGCGAACGCGCAGGCGGAGAUGGCGCGAGCGGAGGCGGACGCCGCCGCCGCGGCGGCGGCGACGGCGGCGGCGGCGCUUUGCCCGAGUCCGCCGCCGCAACCCCCCGCGCCCGCCGCUUCGGCGUCGGCGUCGCCGGCGCCGGCGCCGGCGAUCGCGUCGCCGCCGAUGCGAACGUCGUCGUCCGCUUCCAUCGGCGGCGUCGGGACCUCGCCGCCGCGCACGCCGACGCCGGAGACGAUCUUCGCGAAGGCUGCGGCGGACGACGCGGCGAACGCGGCCGCGGACCGCGCGGAGGUGGCGACGCGGGAGGCGACGCGCGCGACGCGCGAGUACGAGCGCACGUCCGAGGACCCGCGUUUCGCGGAGGAAUUCGAGCGCGCGAAGAAACGGCACGACGACGCGGUCGCGGCGAUCGCGAAAGAAACCGCCGAUCUGAAGGCGUUAUACGAAUCCAAAGCGGCCGCGGACGUCGCCGCCGCCGAAGCGGAAGCGCGCGCCGCGGACGCGCGCGCGAGGCAAUCCGCCGCGGAGACGGAAGCGGAACGACUCGCGCGCGUCGAGGAGGAGACGAACGACGCGCGGCGGCGGCGGACGAUUGCGAAAGUCAAAGCGAUGCACGCCGCGGACGUCUCCGAGGCGGAAUCCGAAGCGUCGCGCGCGGCGGAGACGGAACGACGCGAGCGCGCGGCGUACGCGGAGGCUGCGCGCGCCGCGGACGCGGCGAACGCGUGGGUGAACGCCUCGAAAGCCGCGGCGAGGGACGCGAAGGAACAGGAGAAGCUCGCCGCCGCCGCCGCCGCCGCCGCCGCCGCCGCCGUCGAGACGAAGGCUGAGUGCGAACGCAAAGCCGCGGACGCGCAAAAAGAAGCGGACGCGCGCGCCGCGGCCGCGGUCGCGAACGCGACGCGCGAGGCGGAGAACGCGGUGCGCCUCGCGCGCGCGGCCGCCGCCGCGGCGAUCGACGCCGCCGUCGCCGACGCGAACGAAGCCGUGCGCGUCGCGAGAGCGACGUUGGAGACGCGCGAGAAGGAAUCCGCGGCCGCGCUCGCGCGCGCGAAGGACGACGACGCCCUCCUCGACGCGAAGCGCAGGGCGGAGAUCACGCGCGAGCGCGACGACGCGCGCGAGGCGUUGCGCGCGGCGGAGAGCGACGCGAGGGCGACCGUCGCCGAGGCGCGACGCGACGCGGAAAAGAAGUCGUCGGACGCGAAGCGUCGCGCCGAGACGGAUAAGCGCGCCACGAUCGCCGCCGCGAAGGCGGCCGCGAGAGCGCAGAUCGACGCCUCUCGCGAGGCUUUAAACGACGCGCGAAGGGAGUCGACGACGGCGGCGCGCGCGAAGACGCGCGCGAUGCGCCGCGCGGCGGACGCGGAGAGGGAGACGGAGGAGGUGCGGAAAAACGCGCGCGACGCCGAGGCGCGCGCGGAUGCGGCGGAGCGCGCGGCGGCGGCGGCGAAGGACGCCGCGCUCGCCGCGGAGCGCGACGCGGAGCGCGCCGCGCUCGAGGCGUCCGAGGCGCAGGCGGCGGCGAGUCGCGAGGUCGCGAAGCACCAGCGCGCGCUGACGCCCGAACGCGGCGGCGGCGGCGGCGGCGGGAUCGCCCCCGACCGACGACGGGACGAGCGCGCGAGCGCGGAGGUGGACGAGUGGCGCGAACGCGCGAGGCUCGCGCGCGCGGCGGCGUCGAGGGAGCGCGAGCGCGCGAAGGACGCCGCGUCGCGGGAGACCGCCGCGCGCGCGGAGGCGGCGGACCUCGGCGCGAAGGACCGCGCGAAGGUGUUGGCGAUGGAAGAGAAGGUGAAGCGUCUGAAGCGCGACGCGGCGGCGAAGGAGAAGGAGGUGCAAAAGAGAAUCGACGCCGGCGCGGCGGCGGCGGCGGCUUUCGCGGCGGACGAGGCUGCCUGUACCGCCGCGGCCGAGGCGGAAGCGCGCGCGCGCGAGGCCCACGCGUUAGAAGCGAGCGAAGCGGAGAAGGACGCCGCGGAGAGAGCCGCGGAGGAAGCGGCGUCGCGCGCGGCGGUCGCCGCGGCGGCGGCGGCGUCCUCAGCGGCGACGGAGGAGGCGCGAUCCGCCGCGAAAGCCGCCGCGGAAGACGCCGCGUCGUGGCGCCGCGAGGCGGACUUCCUCGCGAAGGAGUGGUUCGACGCGAAGACCGCCGCGAAAGCCUCGGACGCGCGCCACGAGCGCCGCGCGAACGAACUCGCGCUCGCGGCGGCGCACGCGGAGCGAGAGCGCGCGCGACUCGAGAGGGAAAACGCCGCGAACCGCGCGGAGAUUGAACGCGUCGUCGCGGACGCCGCCGCCGCGUGGGAGAUGGCCGCGGACGCCGCGCGCGCCGCGGAGGACGCGGAGAAUGCGCGCGAGAUGGCGAUCGCCGAGGAGGCGACGCGCGCCGCGGAGGCGAAUUCGCGCGCGGAGGAGGCGCUACGCGCGGCGGAGGCGCACGACCGGGAGGCGACGCGGCUCGACGCCGUCCGCGAGGAGGAACGCGCGAUGAUCGAGACGGCGGCGGCCAAGGCUCGCGAGGCGAUCGACGCGAUCGACGGCGCGGUCGCGGUCGCGGUGGCGAACGCGCGGAGGCUUCGAGACGCCGCGGAGGCGGCGGAGGCGGCGCGGACGCGCGCGGCGAGGGACGCGGCGACCGCGGACGUGGAGCGACGGCGCGUCGCGAACGGCGCGGAGAUUAAAAUUCGCGAGCUCGAGCGCCGCGCGCGCGAGAGCGACGAGGAGGCGUCGACGCACGCCGUAAAGCUGAGGGACGCGGAAGCUCGCGCGUCCGCCGCGGAGGCGGCGUUGAUCAAGGCGGAGAUCGCCGCCGCGGAGGCGGCGAAGAAGGCUGAGCGGGACGUCGCGAACGCGGCGCUCGCGUCCGCGUCCGCGUCCGCGGCGGCGGCGGCGCCGGCGGCGCCGGCGGCGUUGACGGCGGACAUCGGCGUGGUGACGAUGACGACGGGGACGCGCGGGCCGUCGCUGCCGUCUCGCGCGCCGCGCGACGCCGCGCGCAGAUGUCUCGCGGCGAAGCGCGCGGCGCGCGCGGCGGCGGCGACGGUCGCGCUGGCGCCGGUCGAGGAGGCCGCGGCGCCGCCGCCGCCGUCUCGGUCGCGGGCGGCGGACGACGUCGCGCGAGAGGAGGCGCGCGCCGCGGCGACGAGGCGACGGAUCGAGACGCGCGAGACGUACGCCGCGCGCGAGCGGACGCGAGCGACGACGAGGCCGAAACCGCCGGUGCCGCCGCCGCCGUCGUCGUCGUCGGGCGCGAUGAACGCUAUCGUGACGGUCGCGAGAGCGCCGUUUAAUCCGUUCGCGAGCGCGGAGCUCGACCCCCGGCGAUCCGCGGAGAUCGAACGAAGAGUCGAGGCGCGCCGCGCCGUCGGCGGGAAGCGAAAAGCCUCCGCCGCCGGCGACGGUUCGUCUUCCACCGUGACGUCAUCGCUCGCGCGCGAGUCGGCGUUCGCCGCCGCGGAAGAUGCCGCGCGUCUCGCGGAAGCGGAAGCCGCGGAGGCGGCGCACCGACGCGCGGCGAGACGCGCGGGCGCGCGCGUUCGCGCGUCGCGAGCGCGCGAUCUCUCGACGCGUCCCGAGUCCGAGCCCCCGAAUUCGCCUUCGCCUUCGACGUCCUCGCCGUCGAAGCUCCAGGAGUUGAAAGUCGCCGCCGCGAUCGCCGCCGCGGCCGAGCGCGUCGCGACGCGGCGGUCGUUCGCGGCGGAACAUUCGGACGCGGAGAAGACGAGAGCGUCGGUGCCGACGUUCUUACGCGUCGCCGCGCGCGACGACGCGGCGCGGAAAUCACGCGACGAAAUCGCGUCGAUAAAGUCCUCGGGCGGCGACGCGAACGCGAACGCGAACGCGACGCGACGGUCGUUCCCUCCGGCGCCAGCCUGGCGGCCGUCCUCGAGCGCGACAGUCGCGUCCGCGAGGGCGUCCCUGGACGCCGCGGAUGGCGCGCCGGCGAGGAGGAAGCCGGAGAUGUGGUCGUCGCUCGACCUCUCGAGACCGAAACGGCGGAAGGUCGGUCGGAGCGUGACGUUCGCGCGCGGGGCGUUCACGACGAGGAUCUCCGCGGACUUCCCGCGCGGGUUCGACGACGACAGCGACGAGGACGACGCGGUCGCGGACGCGAUCGACGACGCGGAGGCGGCGGAGUGGAACGAAGAACGACGCGCCGAGGGCGUUCUUCUCGCGCUUCGCGCCAACGUCGCGCGACGAAAAAUGAAAACCGCGCUGCACGCCGCGGCGGCGCGACACGCGCGCCGCCGCGCGCUGACGCGCGAUCUCCGGUUCUGGCACGCCACGGCGAAGAGAAACGCACUCUUACGGCGCGUUUUCACCAUCUGCGAGAAAGCCUGGCGCGCGCACGUGCGCGUCCACGGCGUGCACCUGAGCCCCGAGGACGUCCGAACGAUUUCCGUCGCGCGAGAAGGCCUCGCCGUCUGGCGCGCCGCCGCGGCGAGACGACGCCGCGCGCACGCCAAAAAAGUCGCGCUCGUCCGCGCGGAGACGUACCGACGCCUGAGCGUCUCGCGCCGGCAUCUGCUCGCGUGGCGCGCGGCGCUUCGCGCGGCGAGAGCGCGAGAGCGCGCGUACGCGACGUUCGCCGACGCGUUCGCUUCGUGGCGCGUCGAGGCGAAAACCGCCGCCGCCGUGCGAGAGGAGGCGGCUCGCGCGCGUUUCUCGCGGCUGUGGCUCGACUGGCGCGCGCGCGCGGCGACGACCGCCGCGGUCGCUCGCAUGCGCCGCCGCGCGUUGACGCGCGCGGCCGCGCCCGCGCUGCACGGCUGGCGGAUCGUCGUCCUCGCGCGCGCGCGUCGACGGCUGACGCGCGAGAUGAACGUUCUGAUCGCCGGCCGCCGCCGCAUGUGGGCCGCUUGGCGGGCCUGGUGUCUGGGUCCCGGGUGCGCGGCGCUGACGCGCGGCGCGCCGACGCCGCUGCCGCCGGAGCACGCGGACGCGCGGCGGAAGCGGUUCAAGACGACGCGCGACGCGCUGCGGGAUAUCGUCUUGCGGCCGACGCGCGAGCGAAAUUUCUCGCGACGCGUCGCGGCGGCGUGGAGACGCGCGGCGCGAGACGCGGCGCGGUGCGUUCUAUACACUGGUCCCCAUACGACCGCGUUCGCGUGGUGAACGCCGAUCCUUAAGGACUUUGCCCGGCGCAUCUCUCCGCCCACCCCUCGCUUUCAAUCCACGCCCUCGGCGCCUUUCAACUCCACCUGACGCCUAUGAACUCCACCCCGACGUUCGCUCGUAUAGGACGCGCGCGGCUUUCGCGGAAGCCGCGGAGACGAUGACGCCAGAGGACAUCACGUCGCUGCGCGGGCGGCCGCUGUCCGCGUGGCGCGCGCGCGCGGCGGAGAUCGCCGACGCGCGAGACGCCGCGCGCGCGGACGAGCGAUGGGUCGGCGGUCUGCGAGGAGAUUUGCAUCGUUCGCGAGACGACGACGACGACGUCUUCGCGGACGACGCCGUCUGGGCGCCGCCGCCGUCGCCGCCGCGCCGCGCGCGACGCGCGAACCCGCCGCUGCCGCACGUCGUCCGCGUGCCGCGGUCUUCCCCCCCUCGCGAUCGCCGCGCGACGGCGACGGCGACGGCGACGACGGGCGGCGGCGCGGGCGCGGGCGCGGGCGCGGGCGCGACGGUCGACGUCCGGGGACGGUUCGAAUUCCGAGACGUCCGCGUCGCGGCGGGCGCGUGCGCGGCGACGCACGACGGGAACAUCGCGGCGGGGAUCACGGCGUUUGAAUCCGCGCGCGGCGUGCGGUUCUUUCCGCCCACGGCCGCGGCGAGCGAGGGGGUUACUCCGCGCGAAGAGAGAGGGAGAGAGGAGGAGGAGGAGGAAGAAGAAGUGGAUGAAGAGGGAGAGGAAGAACGCGAGGAAGGAGGCGAGAUGGACGAGGAGACCGGGUUGGAUCCCAGAGACGUCGCGACGUUGUUCGCGAUGCGCGAGUCCUGGGGCGGGUAGUCGGGCGGGACGGGAGGGAUAUUUAACUGACUAGUAGUGAGCGCUAGCCGUAGCGUCGAUAGCUCUGCUGACGCGUAAAGAGCGAUUCGAUGAUGAGGACCGUGCGACGUCGCGCGCGCCCCGAUCCGCCGGGAAAGCGUCGACGACGUUUGGCGCGAAGUCAAAUUUAGCGAGCGGCUCGCGCUCCGACCGACGCGUUCGACAAUUUCGCGUUGACGCCAGGCUGGUUCGGAUACCCCCGCCAAUCGCGGGGCGCGCGGGCGCCGGACCGAUCCCACCCCCCCGCCGCCGCGAUGGUGCUCGGGAUCAAGUGGAUGCAGGGCAAGCAUCACGGGCACGCGCUCCUGGACGAGGACGGCGACCUGGACACGGAAUACAUCGACGACGAGGACGCCAAGACGGAGAAGCAGCUCGCGCGCGAGCGCGAGCGCGCGGACCGUCAAAAUAACGGGGCUGACGAAUUCGCGUCCGGGCCGCCGUCGUUCGCGUCCGACGCGUCGCACGACGCGAUGGGUUCCCCCGGGCCCAAGUCCCCGAGCGAUCACGCCGCGCGGAAGUGGCUCCGGAAGACGCAGUCGCGCCGCGGCGCGUCCAAAUCCUUCUCCCAGCCCGCGAUCUCGUACGCGGAACAGAUGCGACUCGAAGCGCUCCAAGAGUACCAAUCGCGACUCGCGGAGCCGAUGAAGCUGGACAACGAGACGCUCAUAUCCUUCGCGUCCAGAGUCGUCAUCGAGCUCGAGAUGCGGCCGUACAAGACGAUCAAGACGCUGCACAGCAAGACGUUCACGGGCGCCGAUUUCAUCGAGUGGAGCAUGACGCAGCCGGAGGUUCGAGAUCAGUGCGACGCGCUCUUCAUCGGCAACGAGCUCAUGUCCAGAGGCAUCUUCUUGCCCGUGUCCUACGGCGCCACGGAGGCGCUGUUCUACUCCCCGACGUUCAAGUCGAGCAGCGGCGUGAUGCGCCUCGUGUGCAAGAAGAAGGCGCAGAUCGUCGCCGCCGUGCUCGGCGCCGACCUGGACACGAUCGGCGAUCUCAGCUCGAAGAGGGAUUCCAACGCGUCGUCCCCGGGCGCGGGGAACUCCGCGUCGUCGUCGCCGCGGCACGGCGAGCUCAGCCGCGACGGCUCGGGGAAGAUCGACGUCGGCGACGUCAGGCGGACCGCGAGCGACCCGACCAGCGGGUCUUCGUCUUCGUCGCCGGCGGCGGCGGGCGGCGCCGGCGGCGAAUCGAAAUUUAAACUGAGACGAUGCCCCACCGUGGACGAGCGACGCGGGAACGUCUCGAGCCUCAAGGCGGUGCCCGAGGGACGGAUACUGAGGAAGUUCACGAACGCCGUCGGCGGCGGGAUCAACCGCCGCGUGUUAUCCACGAGGGCCAAGUUCGCCGCGAUCGCGCGACCGAUUCACGGGUACCUUCACACGCGUCUCGGACCGCACGUGCUGUUCGCGGCGCUGCUUCCGUUUCUUCUCCUCUGCGUCUUCCACGCGACGACGCUCGCCGCGGUCGCGGUGUUCUGGGGCGCGUCGCACGUCGCGGACGUGGACUGGAAGCAACGGAGGGACUUGGAGCGCCGCGUCCGCGCGGAGGAGCUCAAGAAGUUUCAAGGGAAGCGCGGCAACGUGAAGGUGUAUCCGGACGGCAGCGAGAGCGCGGACUGGUGGAGUUGCGUCCUGCAGUCCUUCUGGGACGGCUGGCUCGAGAUGUGGCUGAACCGGCUGCUCACGAACAUCCUCACGGACGUCCUCGAGCGCGUGAAGCCGUCGUACUUGGAGAGUUUGAAGAUCACGGAGUUUAAGCUCGGGUCGAACGCGCCCACGGUGAAGACGUCGCGGCUGUUCCCCGGGCCGGACGGGGAGACCAUCUUGGAGUGGGACAUCGUGUGGCAGACCGAGGAGAUGAGGCGCGUUCUAUCUCACACCGGUCCCCAUACGACCGCGUCGGCGUGGUGAACGCCGUUUCUUAAGGACUUUCUCUCCCGGCGCAUCUCUCCGCCCAGGGUCCCUCGCUCACAAUCCCGACACACACGCCUCGCCGCCUUUCAACUCCGCUUCUGACGCCUUUGAACUCCACCCCGAUGUCAUCGCUCGCGCGCACGGAACGACCCUCAUCAGCGUCAUCCUGAGCGCCAAGGUGGGCGGCAGCCGGUUCUCCGUGCCCGUGCCUCUGAGGGUCUUCGUCAGCAACUUGAGAGUCGCGGGGAAACUGCGGUUGGGGCUGUUUUGGACGAAGCGCAAGGGCGGGCCGUACUUGAAAGCGCUGAGGGUGUCGUUCGUGGACAUGCCCGAGCACUCGGUGUCGAUCAAGCCGAUGACGUCGUCGAUGAUCGACAUCCGCGACCUCCCGGGCUUGGACCGCACGGUGGAAAACGCGCUGAACAAGAUGUUCACGAACGUCCUCGUGGAACCGAACAUCGUGCUGUGGAACGUGGAGCGCUGGUGGUGGAACCGCGACCUGCCGAAGAUUUGCAUCGUGUGCCGCGGCCCGUGCGUCGCGUGUAAGAUGGGGAUAUCGACCGUCGCGCAGGAACUCGCGGUGCCGGGUUUGGAGCAAGACGUCAUCGACGAAGCCGCGGCGAUGCGACAGGGAAAGAGCAAGGAGGACAAGAGCCGGCUGAUGUCCGGGACGAAGAACCCAACGCUCACGCUCGCCAUCUCCAUCCACCUCGCGGAGAUCGAGACGCUGAAGGGCACGAAGCGGAAGGACUACUACGUGAAGCUGAAACGCGGCCCGAAGAAGUUCACGACGGACGGCGCCAAGGCGGCGCCGGUGGAGACGCUCGUGACGUUGAGGCGCGUAUUGGUUCCUCGCACUGGUCCCCAUACGACCGCGUUCGCGUGGUGCACGCCGAUCCUUAAGGACUUUUCCUCCCGCGUUUCUCUCCGCCUAGGGUCCCUCGGUUUCGAUCCCGACACACCUCGACGCCUUUCAACUCCACCUGACGCCUUUCAACUCCGCUUCUGACGCCUUUCAACUCCACCCCGACGUUCGCUCGUACGUGUGGUACGACCCUAAGACCCGGAGAGGAGGACCCUUCCUCGGCUCUCGAGGACGAACCCCCCGCGGCGCUGCAGAAGAGCCUCUCGAGACGCGGCGGGAAGUUUGGUCGGUCCGGGUCGUUCGGUCGGUCGCGACAUUCGCGCAACCACAGCGACGGCGGGUCUUCGCAGGACGACAGAAGCGACGACGGCAGCGACGACGGCGGCGGCGGCGGCGGCGGCUUCCAUCGCGGCGGGCGCGAGCCGCAACCCAAGGUGGUCACGAAGUGGGUCUGCCGCCCCGUGUGGGAGGAGUUCGUGCGCCUCGACGCGUACGACAAGACCGUGGACACGGUGGUGAACUUUAAAGUCUGGAGCGACGACGGCGGCGUCGUGGGCGGGAAGACGACGAUCGGCGCGGCGGCGAUUCGCGACAUUCUCGAUUACGCCGACGGCUUUCUGCACACGCUGCAGCUGCCCAUCAUACACGCGAAGAAAGGGACCGUCGUCGGGGUGUUACACAUGCGCGUGCGCGCGACCGCGACGAGCGAGGUGGUCCCGAAGAUGGUUCGAAAGAAAGGCGGCGACGACGCGGCGUCGCAGCCGGGGGUGGGGACGCAGUUCGCGUUGUCCGCGGGCGCGGGCGGCGUCGCCGCGGGCGCCGCGGGAUCCAAGGGCGGCAAGGUCUCCUCCAUGAGCAGCACGAUGCGUCGGAACAUGACGUCCGCGAUGAGCGCGAUGCCCAUCCCCACGAAGUACGUCAAGAGCGCGGCCGCGGGCGUGCGAAGCGCCGCGUUCACCGCGAUCAACAAGCCCGCGCAGAAGACCAAGUGGGCGGCGCGGAGCGUCAAGAAGGGGUGCAAGAAGCUGUGGUACGGCAAGGAGAAGUACAAGGCGAAGAAAGAGGCGAAGCUCGCGAGGGAGCUCGAGGCUGCCGAGCGCGCCGCCGGGUUCGUGGAGGCGUGGAAGAGCGUCAGGGAGCCGCACCUGUUGGGCGCGCGCGGGGUCGGGGGCAUGGCGGCGAUCAGCGAGGACGGGUCGACGGCGGCGGCGGCGACGCGUCGGGCCCGAGAGCCGCCGGCGCCGGCGCCGCCGCCGGUGGACCCGAGCACGCUCCGCGUGAACGGGCGGCUGAAUCACAGCUCGGUGAGGGAGAAGUACGGCGCGGAGGCGACGACGCCGAAGACGCCGCCGCCGCCGGAGAAGAAGGGGAAGAAGGGGAAGAAGUGAUCGAUCGAUCGUCGCGUCGGACGCCCGCCGUCGCGGCGGGUCUCCAACGAUUCGAUUCGAUGUGUUUUGUAGCGCUAAAUAAUUAUCGAUCUGAGCAUCGCAAGCGAUCGAUCGUCCCCCCGUCCUCCGCUAAGAUCUCUCCAGUCCCGCUAUGACGUCCCCUCCCCCGUUACCCGACGCGCCGCUCGCCGCUCACUGCGUCUUCCUCACGGCCGCGGGGAUGUGCUCGAGCGCCUCCAGGGCGCUGAUCGAGUUCCCUCUGACGACGACCAUCCCGAGCGGCUCCUUGUCCGAGGUGCUGUCGUCCACGCACUCGUCCAGGACGAGGUUCAAGAACUGGUCGAACCCGCGGAGGACGCCGACGACGCCGCGGUUGCCGUUGAGCUUCAGCCGAAGCUUCUUGUCCAUGUACCUGAGGGAUCGAGGGAGGGAUCAGCGGGCGCGUCGGUGGGCGGGCGGCGAGCGAGUUUUGAACCCUAAACGACAUGAAAUCGAACGACGCGACGACGCGACGAACGAUCGCGGGCGAGAUCGGAGGCGCGAACGCGCGCGCGCGCGGGGGGGGGGGGGCGCCCCCAGCGGGGACCCACUGCUUGAGUUCGGGGACGGCGACCCCCAUGUUCGCGUUCGACUGUGCGACUGCGCUUCACGCGAGGGGCCCGACGAAGUGGGCCCCCUAGUAGGGGCGGAUUUCGGAUCUUGCAGGGGGCGCUAUUGGCGCGGCGCGCGCGGCGUUUCCCGUCCGUCAGGGGCCGCCGUCUCUUCGUCUCCCAUUGUCGCCUCAACGAUGCGAACGACGACCCCCCGCGGAGAGACGGGGCACUCCAAUCGACGCGCGCGCGCCAUCAUCACCCAUGCCGACGUCCCUCAUCGCGCACGACGCGACCACCCGGGGAGGAGGCAAGCGCCCGCGCGACGCGUACGACUGCCCCGCGGACCCGAGACUGGGGCGGAUCCUCCGCGUGCNNNNNNNNNNNNNNNNNNNNNNNNNNNNNNNNNNNNNNNNNNNNNNNNNNNNNNNNNNNNNNNNNNNNNNNNNNNNNNNNNNNNNNNNNNNNNNNNNNNNNNNNNNNNNNNNNNNNNNNNNNNNNNNNNNNNNNNNNNNNNNNNNNNNNNNNNNNNNNNNNNNNNNNNNNNNNNNNNNNNNNNNNNNNNNNNNNNNNNNNNNNNNNNNNNNNNNNNNNNNNNNNNNNNNNNNNNNNNNNNNNNNNNNNNNNNNNNNNNNNNNNNNNNNNNNNNNNNNNNNNNNNNNNNNNNNNNNNNNNNNNNNNNNNNNNNNNNNNNNNNNNNNNNNNNNNNNNNNNNNNNNNNNNNNNNNNNNNNNNNNNNNNNNNNNNNNNNNNNNNNNNNNNNNNNNNNNNNNNNNNNNNNNNNNNNNNNNNNNNNNNNNNNNNNNNNNNNNNNNNNNNNNNNNNNNNNNNNNNNNNNNNNNNNNNNNNNNNNNNNNNNNNNNNNNNNNNNNNNNNNNNNNNNNNNNNNNNNNNNNNNNNNNNNNNNNNNNNNNNNNNNNNNNNNNNNNNNNNNNNNNNNNNNNNNNNNNNNNNNNNNNNNNNNNNNNNNNNNNNNNNNNGCGGCUGAAUCACAGCUCGGUGAGGGAGAAGUACGGCGCGGAGGCGACGACGCCGAAGACGCCGCCCCCCCCGGAGAAGAAGGGGAAGAAGGGGAAGAAGUGAUCGAUCGAUCGUCGCGUCGGACGCCCGCCGUCGCGGCGGGUCUCCAACGAUUCGAUUCGAUGUGUUUUGUAGCGCUAAAUAAUUAUCGAUCUGAGCAUCGCAAGCGAUCGAUCGUCCCCCCGUCCUCCGUUAAGAUCUCUCCAGUCCCGCUAUGACGUCCCCUCCCCCGUUACCGGACGCGCCGCUCGCCGCUCAUUGGGUUUUCCUCACGGCCGCGGGGAUGUGCUCGAGCGCCUCCAGGGCGCUGAUCGAGUUCCCUCUGACGACGACCAUCCCGAGCGGCUCCUUGUCCGAGGUGCUGUCGUCCACGCACUCGUCCAGGACGAGGUUCAAGAACUGGUCGAACCCGCGGAGGACGCCGAGGACGCCGCGGUUGCCGUUGAGCUUCAGCCGAAGCUUCUUGUCCAUGUCCCUGAGGGAUCGAGGGAGGGAUCAGCGGGCGCGUCGGUGGGCGGGCGGCGAGCGAGUUUUGAACCCUAAACGACAUGAAAUCGAACGACGCGACGACGCGACGAACGAUCGCGGGCGAGAUCGGAGGCGCGAACGCGCGCGCGCGCGGGGGGGGGGGGGCGCCGCGAGCGGGGACGCACUGCUUGAGUUCGGGGACGGCGACGCCCAUGUUCGCGUUCGACUGUGCGACUGCGCUUCACGCGAGGCGCCAGACGAAGUGGGCCCCGUAGUAGGGGCGGAUUUCGGAUCUUGCAGGUGGCGCUAUUGGCGCGGCGCGCGCGGCGUUUCGCGUCCGUCAGUGGCCGCCGUCUCUUCGUCUCCCAUUGUCGCCUCAACGAUGCGAACGACGACCCCGCGCGGAGAGACGGCGCACUCCAAUCGACGCGCGCGCGCCAUCAUCACCCAUGCCGACGUCCCUCAUCGCGCACGACGCGACCACCCGGCGAGGAGGCAAGCGCCCGCGCGACGCGUACGACUGCGCCGCGGACGCGAGACUGGGGCGGAUCCUCCGCGUGCGCGUGCCGUCGACGGCGCCGACGGUCCCGCCGCUGCCGCUGUGCGCGCAAAACGCGCGAUGGCUCCGAGGCGUCACGACCGAGCACGCGACGGAGACGACAACGCGAUUCGCCGGGAGGAGAAACGCGAACGGGAACGGGAACGGCGGCGUUUCGCGCGCGUCGUACGAGCGCGCGACGGGGCGGUAUUACGUGUGCCUCGGCGAGGAGCAAGACUUCACGACGAAGGAGGAGGCGAUGGCGCACUUCGACGCGACGGAGCGAUGCGGCCUCGCGGUGCCGUACGUCGCGUCGCCGCUCGACUUGGCAGCCAUGGAGCGCGACGGCGACGUGGAGUACCUCGACUUGGACCGAUACGCGCACCCCGCGCGCGCGGACGCGGAGGCGCGCGAGCGCGGCGAGGACGACGCGCGCGAGGGCGUCGUCGAGAAGGACAGAAAUAGAACCGCCGCGCGCGCGAAAACGCGAAAAAACCGCGCCGCCGCCGCCGCCGCCGCCGGUGGACAGCUGCGCGCGCUCGCGGCGGCGUGCUCCGACGAGCUCGGCGCGCUCGACGGCGUCGACAACAGCGCGAUGUCCGGGGGCUCGAACGACGGCACCGCGGCGUACGUCGCGGUGGAGCGACGCGAGCGUCCGAGCGACGCCGACGACGCCGACGACGCAAAAAAAAGAGCGAAGACGUCUCCGCCGGCGCCGCCGCCGCCGCCGCCGCCGCCGAAGGUAACGGACGAGGUCGUGGCGUUACGCGACGACGUCGCGCGGCUCGCGAGCGUCGUGACGUACAUGGCGCACGCGAUGAGCGGCAUGCGUUGGGAGAUCGACUCGCUGCGACGACGCGACAUCGAUCGAAGCCGCGUCGAAGCGGAGGACGAGCGAGGGAAGGAGAAGGAGAGCGGCAGCCCAGAAAAUAACGCCGCCGUCGCCGCCGCCGUAGAGGACGCGGCGAAGAGCCUGCGCGCGAUCCUCGCGCUGUGAGUGGCGGAUGCGUUCAAUAGCGGAGUAACUCUGUAAUAAGUGUAGUCGUUCGUUCGUUUCGAAGUCUAUCAUCUCGCGGGGGCGCGUCUCUUCUCCGGGGUGGCGCCGCCUUUGCUCUUCCUCGGCGCGGCGCCGCCCCCGCCGCUUUCCCCCCCUCUCGACACCGCCGAGUUCCCGCGCAGUUCCCCGUCCUGUGCUUCCUCCAUACUCUUCCUACUCUUCCUGCUCUUCCCCACCGCCGCUUCAGCCGCCUCGCGGCUGUCCCCGUGCGACCCCACGUCGAGUCUCUCCUCCAAACGCAGCCCCACCCUCCCGCCGUCGCUGACGUCGUACGCCCAUCGCCACGUCGGCCCUCCGCCGGCGGCGCUAAGAUCCGUCCACUCCUCCCGCACCGCGCCGAGGCUCUCGCCGCCUCUCUCAUCAGUGUCGGGGCGCAGAGAUAGGCGCCAGCCCGCGGGGACGUCGUACAUCACGUCCCCGGACAGCGUCACGUCCCUCGCGUCGAACUCCGCGUUCCCGCGCAGGCGCACGACGCACGACUCGGAUCGCGUCAGCGUCGCGCUCCACGCCUCGUCGUCCGGAGCGGACCAGUCCACGCCCGCGUUGCGAACCGCGACGCCGCGCAGCCGGCAUCGCCCGCACGCGUCGUCGUCGAACGACGUCGGUUUACCGCGCGCGGCUCCGGCGUCGUCGUCGACUUUCUCCUCGCCGAACGGCGCGUCCGCGGUGAUCAGCAAGCUCCCGUCCACGUCGACGUCUUUCCACUCGAUCUCCGCAAUCUCCAGACGCACCUCCGCGCGUUCGCGAAGCGCGCCGCCGCGAAUCUUCUGCGACGUCACGUCCCACAGCGGGCCGAUCGCCGGGUUCGCGGAGAAGAUGAAGCUCGGGCCGUCCUCCAAGUACGCCGCCACGUCCAUCGCGUCCGGGUCCGGAUGCGCGACGUCGCACCGCGCGAGAAGGUCCGACGCGUUUUUGAGGAGGUCGAGAAACGACCCCUCCGGCGUCUGCGCGAGGUUCGGAUUAGCCGGGUCGCGCUUCUUCUUCGCGCUGCUCGUGAUUCGCCGCCGCAGCGUGUACAGCACAAACGUCGGGAGGUUUUCCCACUGGUCCAUAGGUAACGGUCCGUCGCCGGGCGUUGUCGUGUGCAUCAGCGCGUCCGCGAUGUUCUGCAUGGACGUCUCCAGUCGCCCCCCCUUGCACCCGUUCGGAUGCGCGGGCUUCGACAAGUUGACGAGGAGUCCCGGAAACGCGCCGCGCGGCGAGGAACGCAACGCGUCGCGAAUCUUCUCCAACCCGAUGUACAGCACGUUCGUGUUCGCCGGGUACGCGCUCUCGCUGCUGCCGGGCGCCACGGGCUCGUCCGAUAUCCCCCGCUGCUGCAACACCGUGUACUCCACGUUGGAUAUCCCGUAGCUGUAGCUGCGCGAGGCGUCGUCGUCGUCGUCGUCUUCGUUGACGCGCUCCACGAGCACGUUGACGCCUUCGCUCGCGCCCAAAUGCCGCUCGCACGACGCGAAGCCCAACGCCUUGUCGCCUCUCCUUCCCACGCCGGACAGCGCGAGGAGCGUGGUGUCCGUGCCCGCCAUCGGGUUCGUGAUCUGCCGCACCACCGCGCCCUUCCUUCCCUUGGCGCCGAGCCACGUGAAGACGCCCUGGUCGUGCAUCAGCUUCCAAAUCGCGCCGUGGCCGCCGGGCUUGAGCGAGAUCGCGAACGCCGCCUGGCCCUCGAGCGGAACCCACUCGCCGCCCUUCGUCGUCACCACGGGCACGAGCGGCUGUUCGAACAGCCUGAGGGCGAUUCCAUACAAAGCGAUGUCGGGGUGGAGUUCAUAGGCGUCAGAAGCGGAGUUGAAAGGCGUCGAGGUGUGUCGGGAUUGAAACCGAGGGGUGGGCGGAGAGAUGCGCCGGGAAAUAAAGUCCUUAAGGAUCGGCGUUCACCACGCGAACGCGGUCGUGUGGGAACCAGUGUAUAGAACGCGCCUGAACCCGGUCUCGCCGCGCCCGAACCAGUCGUUGUCUCGGAUGAGCUGCUCUAUGCGUCGGUGGUUGCCCUUCGCCGCCGACGUCAUCACCGCCACCGGCGUGACGUGUCGCUCGCCGCCGUGCACCUUGUAAUACAGCCACUCCCUCGCGGUGAGGUCGCGCAGCAGCCCUUCCACGAGCGUCCUGCCGUUGUACCGAAGCAACGCCGCGGGGAGCGACUGAGGGUAAUCGUCCAUACGAGCGAACGUCGGGGUGGAGUUGAAAGGCGUCAGGUGGAGUUGAAAGGCGUCGAGGUGUGUCGGGAUUGAAAGCGAGGGGCGGGCGGAGAGAUGCGCCGGGCAGAGUCCUUAAGGAUCGGCGUUCACCACGCCGACGCGGUCGUAUGGGGACCAGUGUAUGGGACGCGCCUCCCCGGUGACCGGGUCGCAGAGACCGAGGCGGUCGCCGGCGCCGCCGAGCGGGUACACCUCCGCCAUCUUCGGCAGCUCCUCCAGUCCCCACGCCGCGGCUCUCGCGGCGAACUCGCCGCCGCCGUCGCGCAGAUCCGGGCCGACCGGGACGUGAAGCGUCUCGUUCAGGCACGCCCUCGCGCGCGUCUCGAGCGCCGCAGAUCCGGUCGACGUCGACGACGUCGGUCGGCGUUCUUCUUCUAUAAGUAGUUUCUUCUCUCCGGCGCCUGAUGCCUCCAGCACGCUCGGCGGCGGCCCCCCAAACUGCUCGUGGAUCAGCUCCAGCGCCGCGAACUGGUACCCGAUCACGCCGCCCAACACGUCAUAGAAGGUCUCCAAAUCGCGCAGCGUCUUCACCAGCGGCCGGAGCGCGUUCGCGAUCUGCACGGGGUCGGACGACGGCGGCGCGAGGACGCGCUCCUGCCCCGCGGCGACGACGCACUUGACGAGGUAGGCGUCCUCUGAGGGUCGGGUCGGGAUGGAGUUGAAAGGCGUCAGGUGGGGUUGAAAGGCGUCGAGGUGUGUCGGGAUUGAAAGCGAGGGACCCUGGGCGGAGAGAUGCGGCGGGCAAAGUCCUUAAGGAAUGGCGUUCACCACGCCGACGCGGUCGUACGGGGACCAGUUUAAUUAAGGAGGACGCGCCUGAGUCGAUGUUCGAGAGGACGCGCGCGAUCGCGUCGUUGGCGUCGUCCGCGAUGAACGCGGCGACGCGCGCGUCCGCGUCGAUGACCGCGCGCUUCUUCGCGAGGUCGUUCCCCGCGGCGAGGAGCGCGGCGCGCAGCGGCGCGAGACGCUCGAGCUCCGCGCGCUGCAGCGAGAAGUGGUCCUCCUCGUCCGCGUCGCUUCUCUUCGCCGCCGCGCCCCCGGCGUCUUCUUCGCUCGGCGGCGUCGCGGAGACUGGGGCGAGGCGACGCGCCGCGCGGUGCCGCCGCGCCGGGCGCGGGCGCCACCGCGACGUGCUCGAGGUGGACGCGAGGGGCGUCGCCGCGCGCGUCGUCGUCGCGCGUCGCGCGGCGUGCCCCUCUCGGGCGGCUCGUGAGCGUUCUCUCGAAGGGAAUAUCAUCCUCUCGCGCGGCGCGUCGCUCGUGGACGCCGCCGUCGCGGCCGUCGGUCGCGUGCGUCGCGUCCUCGGCGCCGCCGCGGCGAAGGACAUCGCCGCGGUCGCCAUCUCCGCGUGCGCCAUCCCGGCGUCCCGCGCGAGUGCGAGUGCCUCCGCGAGCGGCGCGGUCGUCGAUCCCUCGCGCUAUCGCGCGAGCCUCGUCCCAGAUACCUUCUCUCUCUCAGCGCGCGCUCGCGGGAAAACCGGAGCAACUUCGGCCGCUGGAUGACUCCCGCGGCCAAUCACAGACGUCUUCCGUUCCUUCGUAUGUACAUUAAGUUAGGAGUACGAGUAGUUUCCGGCCGUACCACUUUUGUGCAGCCACUGACAGCCCGAAAAAUCGACAGGUGCGAUGCGCGUUUCAAACGCUCCCGGCGCGGAUGCCGCCGACGUCGUCGCGGUUCUUCCGCGGCGCGACUCGCGCGUCGUCGUCGUCGCUCGAGGACGACGUCCGUGCGCUCCUGCGGGAGGUCCGCGCGCGGCGACGCCGCGACAGGGCGCGCGAGGACGCGGCGACUGAGGAGGAAGACGACGACGAUCACGACGACGAGGUGAUCACGUGCGCAAUCUGCCUCGACGCCGCGCGCUCGCCGUGCACGCUCGGCGGCUGCGCCCCCAACGCGCGCGCGAGCCACGUCUUCUGCGAGGACUGCAUCACGCGCUGGAGCGCGGUCGCGAACCGCUGCCCGCUGUGCAAGGCGUCGUUCGACGUCGUCCAUCGACGCGACGGACGGUCGUCGUUCGCGGUCGAGGCGAGAUCGCCGAGCGGCGCGCGAGGCGACGGCGACGACGACGACGACGACGCGACGAUCGCCGCGCUGAUGGCGGCGUUAGACGAGACGUUCUGCGAGGUGUGCGCCGGCGGCGACGACGAGGACACCAUGCUGCUGUGCGACGGAUGCGACCGCGGGUUUCACAUCGCGUGUCUGUCCCCGCCGCUGACGGCGUUGCCGGCGGAGGAGGAGGAGUGGCGCUGUCCGCGGUGCGUCGACGGGACGGCGGAGGAGGAGGCCGCGGACGAGGCGAUGGACGUCGCGGACGGAGAAGACGCCGCCGCCGCCGCCGGCGACGACGACGACGACGAAGAAGAAGAAGAGGUCGUGGUACUCGACGAGAACGCGCCGCCGUCGCCGAGAGCGAAGACGGCGACGGCGUUGGAAUCGUUUCGGUACCGCGGCGGCGGCCGCGUCGCGCCGUAGGUAGAUAGGCAUUCAUUCUAGUAUAAGAUAGCUAGCUAGUCUCGUAGGUAAGGCAUGCCCCCGCAGUACUGUAUGAUAGUGGCGCGGUUCAGUGCGCGCGUUCGUCUCGUUCAUCGCGGGAUCGUGUUCUGCGACGUGUCCGUGUUCGGCAUCUCCCUCCCCUCCGGCGGCUUCAAAAACGUCCGCUCGUUGAGGUACGUCCGCGUCCUCGACGCCACGGGCCGGACGUCCGGGUCGUCCCCGCUCUUCGCCUCCAACUCCGGCAGGAAACUCUGGUCGACGACGUCCAAGAUCUUGCCAAACUGCGAGCCGUACGUCGCGUACAUGCGAUACCCGGCGUGCUUCAGGAAACUCUCCAACGCCGUCGCUGAGGGUCGUUCCAUACAAGCGAAUGUCGGGGUCGAGUUGAAAGGCGUUAGUUGGAGUUGAAAGGUGUCGCGGGCGGGGAUUGAAAGCGAGGGAUGGGCGGAGAGAUGCGCCGGGAAAAGUCCUUAAGGAUCGGCGUUCACCACGCGAACGCGGUCGUAUGGGGACCAGUGUAUAGAACGCGCCUGAGUGCCGGUUCGGCGGGAUCCGGUUCAGCAGCCGCGAGAUCCACGACCACGCGGCUUCCAUCCCGUGCGGAUGCGUCGCGUGCUCCACCUGCGUGUACGCCGCGUAGAACAGCAUGAACCCGCGCAGUCUCUGUCCGAACGCGUCCGUCGUCUCCAGCUUCGGCGGGUCGCCCUCUCUCCGCUCGCCUUGGUCCUCCGCGUCGACGUAGCCCAUGAGUCGAAAGUAUUCGUCGUCCGACGCGUAUCGCCCGACGACGAAGGGGUAAUACUUCGGCACCGCGAGGACGCACGACUCGUGAAGCAGCGCGAGGAGGAUCACGUUGAACCGCGGUUCGAAGACCGCGAUGCGAACCGCCACCUCCGCGAGCGCGAACGCGAACCGGUUCAGCUUGGACACCUGAGAGUCGUUCCAUACAAAGCGAACGUCGCGGGGUGGAGUUCAUAGGCGUCAGGUGGAGUUGAAAGGCGCCGAGGGCGGGGAUUGAAAGCGAGGGGUGGGAGGAGAGAAACGCCAGGCAAAGUCCGUAUUAAGGAUCGGCGUUCACCACGCCAACGCGGUCGUAUGGGAACCAGUGUAUAGAACGCACCUGAGAGUCGCACUGCGUUAAGAUUCGCUUCGCGAGCGACACGAGCGCGAACGUGCGCUGCGGCUCCUGUCGGACGUUCGACAGCAUUGUCGCGACGUCGAUCGCCUUCUUCUCGAUCUGCGUCUUCGUCGCCGCGAUCUGCUGCACGUGCACGGUGAUCUGCGCGUUCAGCGCGCGUCGCUCGCGCUUCGUCGACGCGCUCGUGCUGUACUCCGCGACGGACGUCCUGGCUCGCGCGAGCUCCGCCGCGAAUUCGCCCUCGCGCGCCGACGCCUCCGCGGAGGUUUGCACGCGCGGGACGACGCCGGGGCGCGGCGGCGCGCCGGGCGCCGUCGCCGCAGCCUCCGCCGCUUUCUUUUCUUCCUCCAUCCGUCGCUUCUCUUCCGCGGCGGUCGCCGCGGCCGCCUUCUCCGCGUCCGACUUGGCCUUGGCCGCGGCUUCCGCUUUCUUUUUCUCCUCCUCCUCCGCGCGCCGCUUCGCCUCCUCCGCGGCUUUCCGCGCCUUCUCCUCCGCCUCCGCGGCCGCGCGCUGCCGCUCCGCCUCCGCGGCGUCCGCGGCGAGGACCACCCGCACCGCGGCGUCCCUCUGGCGCCACCGCGCGUCCAUCUCGUCGAUCUCUCUCUGGGUUUCGAUCGCCGCCGCCGCCGCCGCCGCCGCGUCGCGCGCCGCGAGCGUUUCCUCGAUGUCCUGACGGGGUCGGGGUGGUGGAGUUCAAAGGCGGGCGCGUCAGGUGGCACCAGUCGAAAGGCGUCGCGGUGUGUCGGUAUCGAAAGCGAGGGGUAGUGGGCGGAGAGAAACGCCUUUCUUUCGGGAAGAAUAGUCCUCAAGGAACGGCGUGCACCGCGCGGACGCGGUCGUACGGGAACCGGCGCGAGAUGACAAAACGCGCCUCCACCGCCGCGAGCACGGCGGCGCGCUCUUCCUCUUCCGCCUGCAUCGCGAGCUGAAGCUCGAGCUCGAGGGACUCUUUGCGUCGGCGCGCGGCGUGGCGCGCGGCUUCGCGGCGCGCGACCGCGCGCUGAUGCGAGACGGCGCGCGCGCGGCUGACGGCGACGAGGCCGCCGGCGCCAAGCGCCGGCGGCGGCGGUACAGCUGGCGCCGCCGACGACAAGCCGAGGGAUUCCAUCGCGCGUCGCGCCGCCUUGCCGUCGGUCGCGGCCGCGGUCUUCUCACCGCGCCGCGCGCGGUCCUCGUCCUCGCCGUCGUCGUCGUCGUCGUCGUCGUCGUCGUCGUCGGCGUCGUCGUCGUCGCUGCUCGUGUCCCCGGUCGGGGCGCGGAUGACCGCGGGGUUGCGUCCGAACGGCGACGUCUUCUUUCGCGCCGGCGCCGGCGACGGCGAUCCCCCGGGUCCCCCGCCGCCGCGAAUCGGCGGCGACCACGCGGUGGCGUACCCGCCGCCGGGGGAUCCCCGCGCGGGAUACAAGGCGCUCGAUCCCGCGGGCGCGGAGGGGGAAGGGGAAGAUCCGCCGCGCGCGGCGCGCCUCGACGACGACGGCGCGGGCGCGGACGCGGGCGAGGGGGCGUCCGUCCACGCCGCGGAACGCGGCGACGCGCCGCCGACGACGACCCCGAGGAGGACGUCGUCGUCCGCGUCCGUGUCGUCGGAGUCGUAGUCGCCGGCGUGCUCCUGGUAGAUCGCCAUCGCGACCCGCCGGCGUGCGCCGCGCGUUCUGAUCGUUGCGCUUCGAUGGAUUUUCGAGAUCUGUUUGAUGUGUUGAGUGCCGAGUAGAAAUCUUAACGCGGCACUCGCCGAUGCCUAAUAACUCUCUAGUCGCGCGCUCAUCGCGAGUCGUCUUCCACCCCCGUCCACAUCUUCGCGUCUCUCGCCGCGCUCUUGACGUACUUCGGAAGGUCGUCCGGGACGUCCACGAUCCUGUCCGCGUAGUACAUGUGAUGCGUGGGCCUCAGCGAUUCGGCGUUCGAUUUCGCCGCCGCCGCCGCCUCGCCGCCGCCGCCGCCGCCGUCGCCGCCGCCGCCGCCGCCGUCGCCGCCGCCGCCGUCCAACAUCGACAACGGCACCGCCGCCAUCUUCCCCUUCGCUAAGCUCGCGUACACGGGCGAGCCGCACUCCUUGCACCGGUACCGGUCCACCGCGGCGGACGAGCUGAACGCGGUGAGGUACGCGUCCGCGUCGCCGCCGGGCGAGAAAACCAUCUGAUCCAUCUCCGCGUCGCGCGCCGACCGCACCUCCACCGCCGUCGCCUUCGCGAGCGCCUGCGCGGUGAACGGCGCGCCGGAGAGCUUCCGGCAGUUCACGCAGUGGCAUAUCGACACCGCGGCGGGGGUCCCGGUCAGCGCGACGACGAUCGCGCCGCAGAAGCAGCUCCCCGAGCGCGUUUCCGUUUCGGUCGGCGACGCGUCCGCCGAGGUCGCUCUCGACGACGCCGAAAUCAUCGCGACGACGCCCGCGCGCGACGAGGACGACGACGCGGAGGACGCGGCGACGACGCGGGGAGGACGCGCGUUGGGGAGGACGAGGAGCCGGCGCGCGAACGGCGGGACGAGCCGCGACGCCGCGAGCGCCGAGGACAUGCGUCCGCCGCGCGCGGAAGUGAGGGAGCGAUGCACGCGAUGCGAUGCUGACGGUGCCCAUGCCCGUGCCCUAACAAAUCGUCGUCGUCAUCCCCAUGUUUUCUCGGAGCGCGCCGCGCACAACGCCGCGGCGCGCGACCGCACGCGUCGACCCGUCCGCUCUCGCUCCGAACGGUCAUGGCCUCGCUCGCCGCCGCGUCUUCCGUCGCCGUCGUCGCCGUCCGCGGCGCGACGCCGUCGUCGUCGUCCUCCUCCUCCUCCUCCUCCUCCUCCUCCUCCUCCUCCGAGCGCCGCGCCGUCGUCCUCCUCGGACGUCGUCGUCGUCUCGCCGUCGCGCGCGGCGCGGCGGACCCCGCGCACUCCGGGAUCGUGGACGAGUCCUUCGUGCACGGGUCAUCGCUCGUCUCCACGGGCCUCGCCCCCUCCUCCCCAUCCUCCUCCUCCGCGCCGUUGUCCGAGCGCAUAGGGAUCAUGGGCGUGCAUCACGUCGCGGUCAUCGUGGAGAACCUCGAGCGUUCCAUGGCGUUCUACGAGAAAAUGCUCGGGCUCGCCGUGAACCCGGACCGCCCGCACGAUAAGCUGCCGUACGACGGCGCGUGGCUCAUGAUCGGCCCGGAGAUGGUCCACCUCAUGGAGCUCCCGAACCCGGACCCCACGGACGCGGAGUUUCGCCCCGUCCACGGAGGGAAGGACCGGCAUUUUUGUAUAGGCGUGAGGUGCGUUCUAUACACUGGUCCCCAUACGACCCCGUUGGCGUGGUCAACGCCGAUCCUUAAGGACUUUUCCCGGCGUGUCUCUCCGCCCAUCACCCCUCGCUUUCAAUCCCCGCCCUCGAUGCCUUUGAACUCCAUCUGACGCCUUUGAACUCCACCCCGCGACGUUCGCUUUGUAUCGAACGACCCUGAGACAUCUCGCGCCGCUGAUCGAGACGCUGGAACGCGAGGGGGUGCCGUACACCGCGUCCAGGAGCGGCCGGCCGGCGAUAUUCUUUCGCGACCCGGACUGUAACACCCUGGAGGUCGUCGAGGGGUUGCAGUGGAGGUGACGCGAGAGCGGAGAGAAGAGAUAGAAGGGCGGGGCGCGGCGCGGGGUUGGAGGCUUGACUGAUUCAUUUGGGAGCGAGCGCGUCGUCGUUUCAUAGGUUUGAAAGGAACAUAUUUCAUCGGUUGAAACCGACAUCGUCGAUCGGCGUUUUGAGCGUUUCACCCGUCCGCGCGUCUUUCCUCGGCAAGCGCUCGCGCUCGCGUGGCGUCUGCGUCUUCCUCUGCUCGGCGCGCGGAAGUUUCGUCGCCGCGACCGACGUCGCGCGUCAGCGCGCGUUCGCUUCCUUCGUUUUAGGGUUACGCCUCUCGCGAGGCGUCGCGGCACACCGCGCGCGGCGGGACACGCGCGCGGACGUCGGCGACGCUCGAUCGGACGACCGCGCGCGGCGGCGGCGGCGGCGCGGGCGCGCGCGCGAUGGCGACCACCGCGCGGCAUCCGAUCCUCGGCCCUCUUCUCGGUGCGCCUCCUCCCGCCUCGAUCGCCGUCGAGUCUCGCGCGUCCGUCGCUCGCCGCGGCGCGGCCCCCGCGUUUUUCGUACGCUCGCAGAUCUGAGGCGCGAUCUCGCGAGCCGCGAUCGACGCGGGCGGGAGCAUCACGCGCCGGCGGCGUCUCUCGCGCGUCCCCGUCCACGGCGACGCGCGCGCGCGCGCGGCGGCGGCGGCGAUCGGCGCGCCGCGCCGCGCGUGCCGACUUUCCGCUCGGCGCGACGUUCGAACUGAAGCGAUCGAUCCAUCCGAUCGAUCCGAUCGAUCCGGUCGAUCGCUCGAUCGCUCGCUCUCUUCUUCCUCUUCCCUUCCCCGACGCACCGCCUCGCCCGUCCGCUCACGCGCGUUCCUCCCACCCGACCUCCCUCGCGCGUCCGACGACAGAGCGCUACGCGAGAGAGCUCGACGCGAAACUCGUCGACCUCGCGCGUCUGCAGAAGGAGUGGGAGUGCGAGCCGCCGGUGAUACUCCGCGCCGCCGCGCGCGCGGCGCCCAGACGGCUCUGGUCGCGACGCGGCGAGGACGGCGAGGACGGCGAGUACGACGACGAGUACGACGCGCCGAAACCGCCGCGGACGCCGUGGUCGAACCACGAGAAGGAACGCCUGCGACGCGGGCUGCUGUUCCACGGCCUCGGACGGUGGGAGAAAAUCCGCGACGCGCUCAAGAAGACGUCGCGCGCGAAGCACCCGACGAACGACGUCGCGGCGACGUGCUGGGACCUGCUUCGCGCGCUUCGCGCAAACCUGAAACCCGGCGGUAAGGAGUCGACGUACGUGUCGACGCGGCUGAGGGGCGCGCCGGAGAAGCCGGGAGGAAGCCGGGAAGACGACGACGGCCCGGACGAGCUCGUGGGCCCGUGGAGCAAGGUUAAGACCCUCGCGCGGUCGUGGGCGCGACGGUUGGAGCUUCUCGACGGCGUCAACCGCGCCGCGGAGCGCGCGGUCGCGGAGGAGACGCAAGACGACGCGCUCGCGCUGUUGGACUCGAGAGACUUCCCGCGAGGCGAUAAGCUUCCGGCGUUUUGGAACGCGACGUGCGAUCUGUACCUCCUGCACGGGAUCGCGACGCACGGGUUCGGGGCGUGGGAGGCGAUUCGCGCCGACCCGGAGUGCUUCGCGGCGUUCGCGCACGCGGCGAGAGAGAGCGGCGGCGACGCCGCGCUCGAGGAGCUGACGAAGAGCUGCGAGCGCAUCGACGCGCGCGCCGCGGCGAUCGCGUCCAAGAUGAAGGGCAUGCACGGCGGCAAGGACCCGACGAUCGCACACGCGGAGGACUGCGAGUGUUUCGUCUGCAAGAGGCGGCGGGCGAAGCGCGACGCGACGAAGACGACGACGGCGGCGGAGAAGGCGGACGACGACGACGACGACGACGACGACGACGAAGACGACGACGAAGACGAAGACCAGGAGGAAGAAGAGGAGGAGGAGGAGGUGCACGAAGAAGAGGACGAGGACGAGGACGAGGACGACGACGGGAACGAAGAGAACGAGGAGACUGAUAACGACGAGUCCGCGGCGGUCAACACCCCGCGCGGCGACGGCACGAAAUCGAAAUCGAAAGAGGAAGCUAAAGCCGACCGCGAAGCCGCGCGCGAAGCCGCGCGCCUCCAGAGGAUAGCCAACAAGAAGACGCACAAGGACAUCAAGCGAGCGAACGUCACGCCGAACAGCUGGCCGCUCGCGGAGGUUCUGACGCACCGCGUGAAGCAGCUCGCGAAGGGCCUCGGCGCGCGCGACGUCCUCGCGCCGUCGGAUCCGCCGUGGGUCGCCGCGUAUCUCGGAAGGAAACGCAAGAGAGCGCCGAGGGACCGGAACCUUCCCUUGCACGCGUUCGGCGGCGGCGAGGACGACGACGCGCGCGAGAAGGCGAAGCGCCGCGCGGAGCGGCGCGAGCGGAAACGCGCGCGCGCGAAGCGGCGAUCGGCGCGGAACGCGCAGGUCGCCGAGGCGAUGGACCGAGGGGACUGGGCCGUCGUCGCGGACGAUUCCGAGAGAACGACGACGCGGCCGUCGCCGUCGCCCGCCGCCGCCGGAGACGACGACGACGACGACGACGCGAUGGACGUCGGCGGCGGCGCGAAGAGACCGCGUCCGCUGAAGAAGAAGGAGAAGCAGGAGCUCGUGAAGACGUUGAUGUCGCACGGGCUGUGUCGCGUCCGCGGCGGAGGCGCGGACUGGGCGCGGAUAUUGGAGCUGUCCGGGCUUCGAGGACACACGGAAGCGGACGUCGCGGCGGCGUUCAACGAGAUCGCGACGGAGAUGGACGCGCUCGCGUCGGCGACGAAGGGGAUUCUGAACCUCAAGAAGCGUCUGCCCGGGAAGAUUCACAAGGAGAAUUGCGGCUGCAUCGUGUGUAAGAUGCGACGCCGGAAAGAAGCCGAGGGCGGCGGCGGCGGCGGCGAUGACGGCGCCGAGGGCGGCGGCGGCGGCGGAAGCCAAGACGCCGAGCCGACGACCCCGGGGAGCGUCGCGACGUCGCAAGGAGACGACGACGACGACGAAUUCGGCGACGACGACGACGACAACGACGACGACACCGACGGCGGCACCGGCGGCGGCACCGGCGCGAGCACCCCCGCCCAGGGCGGCGGCGCGACGCACCACGACGACACUCUUCAAGCGAAAGAAGAGCUCGAGAAGAUCCUCGACCUGCACAAGUCGAAGAAAGGGCGCGUCCUCACGGCGACGAACGCGUCGCGUCUCAACGACCGCCUCAAUCUGAUGCAGACGCUCAGAAACGCGUGUGACGCCGUCGGCGGGAACCUCGCGUCGCUUCGACUGCCGCCGGUUCGAACCGGGGACAUCCCGGUGUGGUGGACGACCGGCGUGCACGACAUCGGGUUGGUCGCCGCCGCGCUGAAGUACGGUCUGAGCGACUGGGACGCCGCGCGCGAGGACCCGGACCUGCCGUUCCGCGACCUGGGGAAGGACGACGGCGGCGAUGGCGGCGGCGGCGGCGACGACGCGGUCGCGAUGGACGCCGACGGCGACGCCGAGCGCGCCGAAAAGACGACGCCCACCGCCGCGCCGCGUCUGAACGCGCCGAAGAAGCGCCCGACGACGAAGGCGUUGCCCGCGCCGCGCGUGCUGGUCCGUGUGUUGAAAGUCUACGCCAACGCGUUGCGGCGGAAGCCGUGGAAACCCGGGUCGACGCCCGGGACGACGCGCGAGAGGGAGGGGCCGAGCCCGAAGAGGCGGCGCGGCGCGGCGGCGUGCCCGGACGGUUCGCCGACGCCGAUGGAGGAGGGGGGGGAGUAGAGCGACGUAGCGCGAGCGCGCGAGCGCGUAGUACGCGUCGAGUCGACGACGAGUGAACGAAAAACGUUUCGAGUUCGCGCAUGACAGCUUGCAGUUUCCCGCCGCGGCGCGCCUCGCGGAUCACGGCUUCGUCCGGUCAAAUGCCGCGCGAAUCUCGCGUCCGUCGCUCAGUCCUCGGGGGCGCGGCGGCGCGAUGGCGACGGCACCUCCGGCAUCGCUGCUGGAGGAACUCCCCAGGGAGUGUCUCGACGCGGUCCUCGGCGGACUCGCCGCCGGGGAUGUCAGGAGCGCGAUGCAGUGCUCCACGACCAUGCGAGACGCGGGAACUCGCUUUUGGAGGGACGCGCUCUUUCGCGACUUCGGUUUCGUCGCGCCGACGGAGGAGGCGGACGACGACGGGCGCCGGUGGCGUCGCCUCUACGACGCGAUCUCCGAUCGAAUCCGUCCUUCGCGCACGCGUCUCAAAGACACCGGCUGCCUGCGCGUCAACGGCAUCUACUGCGACGGCGGCGUCGACGAGUGCACGGAGGAGCAGUGGUUCCGAAACGUGUUCGACGUCGACGCGCACGACCGCUUCUACUGCAGCGCGGCGUCCUCGAACGUCUCCGUCAUCGGCUGCGUCGUCGCGGGCGAACGCAACGAGGCGUACGGUUACGACGAGUACCGGCUCGAACGACGCGCGUACAUGACGCGCCGGUGUAACCUCAACGCGCUGAUGCUGACCGCGUUCGAGGAGGACCGCAUCCGCGCGCAUUCGGACGAAACAUUCGUCCCUCGGUCGUUCCAGGAGGUGUUGAGGCACUGCAAGACCUCCAGGGAGGUCUUCGACUUUGGGCGGUGGCCGGACUCGCGGCUGCUGGAGUUCUUCGUCGCGCGUCUGCAGGCGGCGCAGGACGGGGACCCGGUCGCGGCGCUGCUGUUCGACGGCGUGGACGGCGUGGAAGACGACUUCGUGUUGUCACGCUCGACACAACGACAUAACAACUUGAAGUCGCUCGCGCAACGCGUGAAGGAAGCGUCCGUCGAGGAAGCGAUCCCGACGUCGUCGCAGAACGCCGCCGACGGCGUCGACGCCGAGAGGACGGGCGACGCCGGGCAGAGGGACCUCAGGCGGGAGAUCGAGAGGGCGCGGCGAUACGCCGCCGACGCGACGUCGCCGCCGCCGCCGCCGCGCCCGGAACAUCUCGUCGAAGAGCGAACCCUCGAGGCCCGGCUCGAACGCGAGCGCGCGUCGUUCAUCUCGAACCGCGCCGCGUCUCUGACCGAGUGCCCCGGCGGCCGAGCGCACGGCGGCGAGCCGUUGCGCUUGCUCGCGACCGAGGGCGCGAUGGCCGCGUUCGGACGCGCGAGCGCGAGCGAAGAGACCCGCGCGCCGUGGGAACACCCGAUCCAAUUUUUCCCGGAGGAGCGGCGAGCCGCGACGCGCGCGUCGCGAUGCGUCGACGCGAUCGUCACGCGCGUGGACAUCUCCAGAGAGGGGCAGUUCACGUGCCCGGUCGCGAGCGGCGUCGUCUUCUUCGGUCCCGGGCCGGGCGCGUGCGACGACGCCGAGGAGGUGGAGCGUUGGUGCGUCGCGUCGACGCGGGGACCGGACGCGACCGGAGGCCCCGCCGCGUUCGACGACGUCGACGCGAGAGAGAAAGUGUUCGACCUGGUCGACGGCGACGACGACGACGCCGGCCGCGGCUUGCCGAAGAUCGUCGCCGUUCACGGCUUGGAAGGCGGCGUCGCGUACGAGUUUGCGCGCGUGAAGACGCCGCCGGGGAGUCGCGCGUUUACGCCGGCGCUUUGGUUCAAGUUUUACGCGAAACGAGCGGGCGUCGACGCCGCCGCCGCCGCCGCCGACGACGGACCCUCCCGCAACGACCUCUCGCCCACGAGGGACGUCAUGUCCGUGCGGCUGAAACUCCCGCGAUGGGCGCGGUGCGUCUGCGUGAAGUUGAUCAGAUGCGAGAACCUGAUGCACGAUUGGGAGGACCUGCACGACGACGAAAAUCUGGACGUGCGCCGCGUCGCGCUGCACGGCGCGACGAUCGACGUGGACGCGUCCGCGCGCGCGCCUUGAGGGGGGUGGGGGGGUGGGUGGGAGGGUUCGAACGAACGAAUUAUUAUUCGCGGUACGAUUACGAUGAUCGCGGGAGGGCGAUGGUAGAUAGCUACGCUAGAUAGCUCACGACUCGACGAGCGGGGACGAUGGGGGGUCACGACUGAUGACGAUGACGGAUUUCUUCUUCUUAAACCUUCUUCGUCCUCACCCUCGCCCCCUCUGCUACGUGCUUAUGAUAUCCUACAGUCCGCGUCGUCGUCGUCUCCGCCGCCGCGACCUCUCCUCACUUGGACUUUUCGUACUCCGCCGGAGUCUUCGUCGAGAGCUGCAGCGCGUGCAACCCCGCGUCGAACUCUUCCUUCAGGAUCGCGUUGAUCGUGCGAUGCCGCGUCACCGGCGUCAUCCCUUCGAACUGCUCGCUCACGACCGUCACGUUGAAGUGCGACUCCUUGCUCCGCACGCCGGCGUGGCCGUCGUGUUGCCCGCCCUUGUGCAGCGCGUGCUUCUCGCUGUCGUCGCGGACGAGGACGUACGUCGGCGCGAGCGCGGCGACGAUCUUCUCCUCUAUCGUGUCUCGCACGGACACCCACUCGCCCGUCUCGGGGUCGACCGCGCGGAGUGGGGGGGGGGCGAGACGCGGACGCGACGCGGCGCGCUUCGUCGAGGCGGCGCGGGCGCGGCGCGGCGACGGCGCGGGCGCGGGCGCGAGCGCGCGGGGGGCGAGGAGCGUGGCGGCCAUGUGCGUGCGCGUGCGGUGCGUGGGGCUCUGACGGCGCGGCGUUGACGACAGGACGCGCUGACGAAAGGAGUGAAGCGAACUCGAAUCGCGUCGUCGCGCGCGUCAUCACAGCGCUCGGCACGGGGGUGGACGCGCGAUGAGGGAGGACUCGCGCGGGCCGCCGCCGCCGCCGCGGAGGGACGAUCGCCGCGACGGGAGAGGCCGCGGCGACGACCGCGGCGGCCGCGGCGGCGAUCGCGGCCGCGACGAGUCGCGGCGGCGACGCGACGACGACGCGCGCGACGUCGAUCGGAAUCGCGCGAGGAUGAGAUCUCGAUCUCCCCCGCGGCGACGCGGCCGCGACCGGAGCCGCGACCGCCGCGCCGCGACGAUGUCGCCGCCGCCGCCGCAGCCGCCGCAGGAGGACGCGCUCGAGAAGGAGAAGCGGCUGCGCGCGAACGCGAUGGCGUCGAGAGAGGCGAAGAAGGAUGCCGACGCCGAGCGAACCGACGGCGGCGAUCCGUCGUCGAAGACCGGCGACGCGAAGGAGAAGGAGAAGGAGAAGGAGAAGGAGAAGGAGAAGCGGCGGAGGAAGAGCCGGAGCCGAAGCAGGAGCGAGAGCAGGAGCAGGAGCCGGAGCCGGCGAGGACGGAGCAGACGGAAACACCAUCACCGACGGCGAGGCGGCGGCCGGAAGAAGAAACGACGACGGUCGUACUCAUCAUCGUCGUCGUCGUCGUCGUCGUCGUCGUCGUCGUACUCCUCUUCGUCCUCCUCCUCCUCGUAUUCGUCGUCCAGCUCCGGGCGCCGCCGCAAGCGCAAGCGCCGCUCUCGCGGCGAGAAGAAGAGAGGAGGAAAGAAGAAGAAGAAGAAGACCGCGUUCGACGUCGUCGCCGCGGCGACGGCGGCGGAGGAAGACGCGCGCAACGCCGCCGCCGCCGCGCACAUGCGACAGCAGCUCGCGCUCGCGCAGCAGUGGGUGCAGUCACAGGCGAACGGUGGGCACUCUUUGAACGAGAAGAUGCAGGAGAGGAAGACGAGGGAGGUGUACGUGGGGAACCUCGCGAUGAACAUCGUCAACACGGAGGCGCGUUCUAUACACUGGUCCCCAUACGACCGCGUCCGCGUGGUGAACGCCGAUCCUUAAGGACUUUGCCCGGCGCAUCUCUUCGCCCACCCCUCGGUUUCAACCCAUCCCGACGCGCAUCGACGCCUUUCAACUCCGACUGACGCGCCCCCUUUCAAUCCACCCCGACGACCCUCGUCAGAUGCUCUCGGAGGUGUUCAACAACGCGUUGGCGUCGCUCUCGCCGGAGGGCCCCGCGGUGCUCGGGGUGAACAUGUCCCCGGAUAACAAGUUCGCGUUCGUGGAGCUCCGCACGAUCGCGCUGAGCGACGCGGCGCAGCACCUGGACGGCAUCGAGCUGUGCGGGCGGAAUAUGAAGGUGGGACGGCCGAAAGGGUGGGUGGAUCCGUCGGCGGAGGCCAAGGCGACGGCGGCGGCGGCGGAGGCGCCGACGGUCGCCUCCGGCGUGAAGGCGACGACGUCCGCCGCCGCCGCCGCCGCCGCCGCGCCGGCGGCGGAUACCGUCGGACAAGGGCUUUUUCCGACACCGAACGACGACGCGGACGACCCCGCCAUGCAAAACGCGCGCGCGACGAUGCACAUGCGCGCGACGAGCGAACGCGACGCCACGAUGGCCAUCGCGGAGGUGAACACGCGGUGCGUUCUAUACACUGGUCCCCAUACGACCGCGUUGGCGUGGUGAACGCCGAUCCUUAAGGACUUUUGCCGGANNNNNNNNNNNNNNNNNNNNNNNNNNNNNNNNNNNNNNNNNNNNNNNNNNNNNNNNNNNNNNNNNNNNNNNNNNNNNNNNNNNNNNNNNNNNNNNNNNNNUCGUAUGGGGACCAGUGUAUAGAACGCACCGCGUGUUCACCUCCGCGAUGGCCAUCGUGGCGUCGCGUUCGCUCGUCGCGCGCAUGUGCAUCGUCGCGCGCGCGUUUUGCACGGCGGCGUCGUCCGCGUCGUCGUUCGGUGUCGGAAAAAGCCCUUCUCCGACGGUAUCCGCCGCCGCCGCCGCCGCGCCGGCGGCGGAUACCGUCGGACAAGGGCUUUUUCCGACACCGAACGACGACGCGGACGACCCCGCCAUGCAAAACGCGCGCGCGACGAUGCACAUGCGCGCGACGAGCGAACGCGACGCCACGAUGGCCAUCGCGGAGGUGAACACGCGGUGCGUUCUAUACACUGGUCCCCAUACGACCGCGUUGGCGUGGUGAACGCCGAUCCUUAAGGACUUUUGCCGGAGCAUCUCUCCGCCCACCCCUCGCUUUCAAUCCCCGCCCUCUACGCCUUUGAACUCCGCUUCUGACGCCUUUGAACUCCACAGGUUCCCCCCGACGCCGCUCGGCGUUCCCGCGCAGACGCUCACUCGGCGGUGCGUCCUCCUCGACGGCAUGGUCUCCAGCGGCGAGCUCUCGAGCCCGCGAUCGCGCGAGGAGUUUAAAGAGGAUCUCCGAGAGGAGUGCGCAAAGUGCGGCAUCAUCGACGCGAUGGUCGUGCCGCCGCCGCCGCGGGAAGCGAUAGACGCGGGCGAUCCCGGACGCGCGUACGUGUCGUUUCAGGCGGAGUGCAGCGCGCGCGCGGCGAAGGACAUGCUCAACGGACGGGUCUUCGACGGCCGCGUCGUCGCCGCGUCGCUCGCGUCCGACGCGGAGUUCGAGCGCGCGAGGAACGGCGAGUGGCUCCCGCCGCGGCCGCCGCCGGGCGAUCCGUCUCUGUGCGGCAUCCUUCGCGUGCGCGGGAUGCCGCCCGAGGCGACCAAGGCGGACGUCGUGAACUUCUUCUACGGGAUGGGCGCGGAAGAGGACAAGGUGAAGAUCAUCAUCGCGCCCGGGAUGGCGAACCUCGCGGGCAGCCAUCCCGGGGCGAUGUCCACGGGCGAGGCGUUCGUGGAGUUUAGCGGCGACGACGCGAACAUUCAGCAGGCGGCGCUGAAGGACCGCGCGGUGCUGGGGGGGAAGCCGGUGUCCGUGUUUCGGUCGUCGUUGGAGGAGGUGCAGAGAGUCGCGCUCAUGGGUCGGACGAUGAUUUGAUCUGAUCUGAUGUUGGCGUUUGAUGGGUCGAUGGCGUUAUGCGGAUCCAUACUUCCAUAGCACUACGUAUGAUAUCAACGCACGACGCGGUACAGAACCAAGCGCUCUCGCCCUACGACCGCUACAGCUUGUAUAUCCUCGCGCGCCUCUUCCCGCCUUCGUUCCCGUCCGCGUCCACGGGAACCCACUCCAGCGAAACGUCCAACGCGCGGUGAUCGUUCCGCGCGGCGUCGCACUUCGCCAUCCCCAAUCUCACCUUCACCCCGUGCGCGGGGCGCGCUUCGCCGCCGAGAUCCGAUUCCGAUUCCGAUUCCGAACCGCCGCCGCCGCCGCCGCCCGUCGUCGCGAGGCACCCGUCCGGAUGCAAAAAUAUCGGCUCCGGGAAGUGCAGCAUCGCCUGCGCCCAGUGCGUCUUCUCCUCGUACGGACUCGUGGACAGCGUCGUCGGCGCGUCGACGCAGAACCGCGCGCUGAACUCCGUGUCGAACCACAUCACGACGCCGUGGCAACUCACCGGGCCGUUAGGGUUCGGGUCGGAAUCGCCCGAGAAGCCGUCGGCGCCUCGGCCGCCGCCCGCGCGCGCCGACGCGUCUUCUUCGUCGCCGCGGACGCCGUCGCCGCGCGCCGUCAAGACGCACUCCGACGACGUGAACUCCGUGUCCUUCACGGUCAUCGUCGCGAGGUCGAGCCUCUGGACUUCCGCGGAGGAUGUCACGACGUGCUCGCCCUUCACCGGGCACACGACCGCGAAACCAGAGCGCGCCGCGUCUUGGAUUAAACGCGACUGCACCUCCGGCAUUCGAAACCCGUACACGUCGUCCCAGAACGGGAGGCUCGUCGCGUUGCGGCCGAACCCCGCGACGUGAAUCGUCGCGACGUCCGGGAGCACCGCGCCGCCGGGCUUGAGCAGCGCGUCCCGCGCGGCGAUGACGGUGUCGAGCAUGGACUCGUACAGGAGCCCGUAUCCCAUCCACUCGGACACCAAGACGUCGAAUUUCGACGUCGACCCGUCCGCCGCCGCCGCGCGUAAUAACCUGCCGCCGGCGCCUUCUCCUUCUUCUUCUUCUUCUUCUCGAAGCAACUCCUCCAGCUUCCCGUGCACGAUCGUCACCUUAUCCGACAAUCCGUUAUCCCUCACGUUCGCGCGCGCGACGUCCGCGAUCGCGGCCGCGCCGUCGACGCCGACGACGCUCGCGGCGCCGCCUCUCGCGGCGAACAUGGACAAGAUCCCCGUCCCGCAGCCGACGUCCAACACCGUCGCGCCAGCUGUCAGCGUCGGGUUCUUCUCCAACGCGACGCGGUACGCGCGCGUCCGAGGGACGUCGUCGAGCAUCGUGCGGUGGAUGUCGAACGCGGCGUACGAGCUGAAGUACCCGUCGUCGACCUCCUGGACCGCGGUCUUAUUAGGGCCGGGUGGCGGCCGACGCGCAGCCGGCGGCCGACGCGCGGGCGGCGGCGGCGCGGCGGCGACGCGGGAGCCGCCGAGAAGCGCCAGACCGACGUUCGCCGGCGCGUCUUCGUUCACGUCCACCCCGAGAGGCGUUUCCCCGAGCUUCCCGGCGAGCUCGAGGACGCGCAGGCGCAUGGCGUCGCGCUCGGCGCGCGCCGCCGCGAGCGCCGCGCGAAGCGUCGCGGCGUCCGCGUCGGCGUCCGCAUCGUUCGCGUUAGCAUUCGCAUUCGCAUUCGCCGCGGCUUUCGCCCUGCGCUCCAGCUCGUCGUCGUCGUCGUCGUCGUUCACAUCGCCGCCGCCGCCCUUGACGUACUCUUCCCAGUCGAACAGCAGCGGGUCGUUCUCGAGCGCGGGGACGAGGUACUUCUCGUCUCGAUGCUUCCCCGCGGCGAUGCCUUCGAUCGCAUCCUUCGCCGCCGCCGUCGCGUCGCCGUCGCCGCCGCCGCCGCCGCCGCCGCGUUCGCGCUCCGCCGCGACGCUUCGCGCGUAGUUCAGACACUGAAUCACGCCGUAGAAGUCGAGGUCGUUCGCUCUCACGAUCGCGCGCAGGUCGAACCCGUGCGCGUUCGCCGCGUGCGUCAGCGCCGCGGCGGGCGUCGGAUGUAGGACGCCGCCGCCGAAGACGCAUCGCGUCGCGCGAUCUUCAUCGUCCUCCUCCUCCCACUCCGCGAAGUCGCCCUCGUCCCCGGCGGGGUAGUCUGGGUUCUCGUCGUCGACGUAGUCGUCGUGAUGAUGAGACAUCGCGAGCGGCAUCCUUCGCUCGCGACCGCGCGCGGGGGUCGAGGCGCUCGCGGUGUGAUGGCCGAUCCGCGCGCGCCGACAUUUUAUUACACAGCUGUGCGUUUCGUCGCGCUCGAGCGGAGCGCGCGACGACCCGACGACCAGCCUCGGUCCGUCGUCACUCGCGACGUCGCCCCGGCGCGCGGCACGAGCGCGCGGACGCGAUGGCGCCGCCGCCGCGGAAGAUUAAGCUCCGGAACAAGGACUUCUUCGAGGUGGGUCCUAUCGCGCGCCGCGUCGUCGUCGAUCCUCGCGCGUCCUCGCCUCGACGCGCGAUCGUCGCGCGCGUCGUUGCGCGUUUAGGGUUGAUCGUUCGAUUCCAUCUCGAAGCCGCCUCCCUCCGGUCUCCUCUCCUCCCUCCCUCCCUCUGACGCGCGGCGUCCUCCAUACCUACCCUCGCCCCCACCACCGCGACGAAUAGAGCGAUGAGUACCUCCGCAAGCUCGAGGGCGUGACGUCCCGCCUCGCGGGCGCGUUCCCCGGUCAGGACCCGACGUCGCGCGAGGACGUCGCGAAGACGAUCAUGGAGAUCCUCCAGGGGCACGAGGACACCCUCGGCGCGUCCUCCCCGACGCCGCGGCCGAUGAUGAAGCUCCCGGCGCGGUGCUUCCGCGACCUCGCCCCGGGCGGCGCCCUGUUCGUCAUCCUGAAGCGGUGCUUAAGGCGGAAGCACGAGGGACGGUGGCGGCGGUUCGACUGGCAGAGCGAGCACAAGAGACGAGAGUUCGUCGGGAUGAUGGUCGAGUGCGAAGACGACCUGCGCGCCAAGGGGCUCCUCGGUCACGCGAAGAUCCACGUGUCGUCGGACGUCCCGGCGGAGAAGCGCGCGGAGUUGACGCGCGCGAUCGCGGCGUGCGGCGCGGUCGCCGCGGUGUCGCAGUACGAAGACGGUGUCACUCACGUCGUCCACGAGGAAGACAUCGCCGCCGCCGCCGCCGCGGCGGCGGCGACGAGCGACGUGCUCGUCCUCGGCGUCCUCGGAAAGGAAGCGCACGUGCACUACAAGCGCCACCCGGGGAGUUACGACGCGUGGAUAUCGCUGUCGAGCGCGCAGGCGAACGCGGCGGUGGGGUCGAACUUGACGUCGCCGCCGCCGGAUGAGUUCGAAGACGACCCGAACCUUCGGCUGGGGCUCUCGCGACGCGCGGAGCCCGCGAAGCAUGUCAUCGCCGCGUGGUUGUUAGACAGCGCGCGGUUCAACGAGUACUGCGAGGAGAGCGAUUACGCGUGGGAGGACCCCGCGGUGCGCGCGAUGCGCGCGAUGCGCGAGGCGGCGGAGGCGGCGACGCGGAACGCGAUGGACGCAGUCGCCGCCGCCGCGUCCGCGGGCGCCGCGGAAGCCGCGGGGCCCGGCGCCGGGGCUUCGCCGAGCGUCCUCGGGGAGAAGCGCCCCGCGGUCGACGACGCGGCGGGGACGAACGAGGAGACGACGGCCGCGAAGAAGAGGGCGUUCGCGCCGAAGAGCGAGGGCGGGGAGACGCUGGCCAGCGCGAGGCUCGCGGAGCGAUUAGGCGCGAACGUCGUUCGGAGACAACUCACGACGCCGCACGCGUGCGUGGACGACGCCGCGGCCGCGAGCGCGGGGACGCCGCGCGAUCCACCCGGGGAACCCGUGGUCGGGUACCACGGGUACGUCAGCGUGGGGGGCGUGAUGAUGAAGCCGCCGAGAGGGUCGACGAUGGAGAACAUCUCGAGGGGGCAGACGCCGGCGGCGAGAGACGCCGCCGCCGCGGUGGAAGCGUUCGCGAAGACGGCGACGACGUCCAAGCUCGCGGAGGCGGAGACGACGAUAGAGACGGGGACGGGAACCGAGGUGCGGUAUCCGAUCCCCGAGCACUCGGGGUGGUUCGCGUGGGGGCGGGACGAAGUGAGCGAUUUCGAGAAGGACGCGCUGCCGGAAUUUUUCGGCGGCGACGGCGGCGGCGGCGGCGGCGGCGGCGCGAGGGAGACGUACUUGAAGAUUCGAUCGACCGCGAUGGCGCGGUUCAACGCGCUGCUCUCGUCGGACGGCGCGAGCGCGCGGUUGUCGUUCGCCGCGGCGCGGAAAGGGUUAACGUGCGACGUCGACGCGUGCCAACGCGCGUACGAAUUUUUUAACCGCUGGGGGCUGAUCAACUGGUCCCCGGACGCGGCGGCGACGGCCGCGACGCCGGCGGAGGUCGAACCCGGCACCAACACCGCCGCGGCGGCGGUGCUGUACCGCUUCGACUACCGCGCGAAGCGCCGAGACGGCGGCGGCGGCGGCGGCGACGACGCGGCGGCGGGGGGGCGCGUCUGCGUCGGAUGCGAUCGCGCGCUCGGCGGCGUGGGGAGAGUCUACUACCGCUGCGCGGAUCCGCCCAAGGGCGUGGUGGUUCCUGGCGGCGGCGGCGACGGCGGCGGCGACGGGCCGAUCGACGCGUGCGUGAAGUGUUUCACCGGCGGCGUCCUCCCCGACGGCGUCUCCGGCGCGUCGUUCGUCAGGAGGACGUCCACGAAGGAGUCGGAGAAGGAGGACGAGAAGGAGGCUGAAGAACGCGCCGGCGGCGCGGGGGGCGACGCCGACAAGGAGAACGGCGACAAGGAGAACGACGCGGAGAAAGAGGCGUUCAUGUGGAGCGACCAAGAGACGCUGCUGAUGUUGGAAGGGUUGGAGACGCACGGCGAGAACUGGAGCGACGUCGCCGCGCACGUCGGGUCGAAGACGGUCGAGGAGUGCGUCCGAAGGUUCGUUCGCUUACCGAUCGAGGACGCGUUCAUCGACGACCUUCAGAAGACCAAGUCGGGUUGCGGAGGCGGCGGCGGCGACGACGACGCGGUCCAUCGCCCGUUCGAGCGCGCGCCGAACCCGGUGAUGGCGAGCGUGUCGUUUCUCGCCGCGUGCGCGGGGCCGCGCGUCGCCGCCGCCGCCGCUCAAGCCGCGCUGGCGUCGCUCGACGACGAAGAGGACGCUCCGACCGCUCCGACGACCGCGACGACGGACGUCGACGGCGCGGAUGACGGAGAAAAGAAACCACCCGCGCCGACCGACCCGCACUCCCUCGGCCCGCCGCCGCCGGUGACGGAGGAUCGAUGCCGCGCCGCCGCCGCCGCUGGCGUCGCCGCCGCGGCGAAGCGCGCGAAGCAACUCGCGGAUCAAGAAGCGCGCGAGAUUCAAAAGCUCGUCGUCGUCAUCACGGAGAACCAGACGAGGAAAGUCGAGCUCAAGCUUCGAUUCUUCGAGGACCUCGAGGCGGGGCUGAACCGCGAGCGCGAGCAGCUCGAGCGCCUGAAGCGGCACAUCGCGGGCGAGAGGGCGGCGAGCGCGAAGUUGAAGCGGGAGCGGGAGGAAGCCGAAGCCGCGGCGGCGAAGACGGACGAGCCCGCCGCGGCGUGACGUGACGACGCGCGCGGCGGUUCGCGACGGACGGACGCGCGUUCUAAUAAAUUCGUCUACUGUGCGCUUAAGGUUACGUAGCCUCUAGGGUUGACUAUCUAUUGACGCGUCCCCCCUACUGAUAAGGUUACCGUCUCGUUUUCGGCUCCGCUAGUUCCGAGAUCUGGUUCCUCCCCCCCCGCGACGACUUCGCUCUCGCGCGAGUGCGUCUCUCGCUGCCACCGCAGCGCCUCGAAGUGCAACAGGUCGAUCUCGUUCGCGAUGAUCUCGUAGUCGUCGUACCUCAGCUCGUCCAUGAGCCGGUACUUGUCCGCGAGGAUCUGCACGUCCUCGGGGAACCCGUAACCCGUGGACAACCUCGCCGCAUUCUCCGCGCAUCGACGCAAGCGCUCGCGCUCCUCGCAGAGCUUCUGCAUCUCCAAGUCUAACAUCUCGUCCGUCCCCGUGCUCGCUUCCUCUCGCUUCGCCUCGAGCAAGUUCGCGACGACGUCCGCGCCCUUCGCGAGCGCCUUUCGCUUCAGGGUCUGCUGCUCUUGCACCUUCAGUUUGAGUCGCGCGCGGACGCGGAGUAUUCGAUCGUCGAUGUCCGUCUGCACCUCGCGCAUCGCCCGCAGCGUCUCGUCCAGCGUCGUGAGGUGAUCCUUCGCCAUCUCCUUGAGCUCCAGAAACUUCGGCGCGAGCUUCCUGCGCGUCCCGCGCGACGUCGCGUCCGCCUCCUCUCUCUUGUAUUCCAUCCACUGCUGCGUGAAUUCCGUGCCGAUGACGGCGAUCGGGAGCGCCAAGAGAAGCAACGACACGACCAUCGCGCACGACGCGACGAACUUCCCCUCCGGGUUGAUCGGGACCACGUCGCCGUACCCCACGGUCAUGAUCGUCACGAUCGUCCACCAGAACGAGUGCCAUAUGGAUUUGAACGGGCUCUGCGUCCGUUCGCAUCCGCUCGCGAGCGUCUUCCCGUCGGACGCGAAGAGUUGGUUUCCGUUGGUGCCGUCGCACGAGAUGUCCGUCUUCCUCGAGUACACGUCCUCGUCCUCGUAGUAGCUCCCCUUCUCCGCGAAGUAUAUCAUCGUGCUGAAGAUGAUGACCGUCAUCGCGAGUAAAAAGAUCAUCAUCGCGAGCAUGUCGACGCUCUGCCUGAGAGAGUUGGUCACCACGGUGAACUUUCGGUUGUGCCGCCCGAGCUUCAUGACUCGAAACACUCUGACGAGCCUCACCGUUCGGAACAUCCGCGAGCUGUUCAGACCGCUGCCGGUGAAGAUCAGACCGACGUAGAACGGCAAGAUCGCGAUGAGAUCGAUCGCGUUCAUCGGGUCCUUCAUAAACUUUUUCACAUCCGGCGUCGACGAUAUCCGCAGCAGGUACUCGAGCGUGAAAAUUCCGAUGCAGACGCACUCCACGACGAACAGUUCAAACUUCCGCCGCGAAUUAUCCUCGAACUCGUGCGUGGUCUCCAAACAGAACGUCACGCUGCUCAGGACGAUGAGAAGCAGGAUGAACACCGCGCACGCGAACGCGAGCCGGGACGAGUGCGGGUCUUCGAAGAAGAUCCACACGCGCCCGCGAAAGAGUCGAACCGCCUCGCCGAAGACGUCGCCGCGGUCGUCGUCGACGCUCUUGUUGCUCGUCGCCCUCGCCGCCGCGGUCAGGCGCACCGUCUUCGAACGAAACGGCGGCGGCGGUUUCGGUUCUAUCGGUUUCGGUUCUAUCGGUUUCGGUUUCUUCUCGCUCCCUUCCUCCUCCUCCUCUUCCUCCUCCUCCUCUUCGUUCUCCUCCUUGGUCGUCGCGAGUCUCUCGAGGCGCCCCCACGACCGCGUCGGUUGCGUCGCCGCUCCGGGAUGGAACGCGCCGUCGUCGUCUGGGUUCGUCAGCGUGAACGGCGAGACGUAUCCACGCACGUUCGCGUGCGUGUACACGUCGUGGAUCACGCGCAAUCGUCGCUCGUCCCUCAUGGUCUCGGUCUCCAUCGAGAACACGAGGUUCGCGAAGCGCGCUUUGAGCGAGGGCGCGCUCUGAGCGACGGCGUCGGCGUCGGCGGGCGCGUCUGACGCGCCGUCCGCGGCCGCGCCGUCGCUCGCGGCGGCGUCUCUCGGGCCCGGGUCCGAGUUCCUCCUCGACAUCGUCUUCGUCGUCCUCCUCGACGAACCCGACGGCGUCCUCGCGUAGGGCGCGGCGUCGGGCGCGCGCGGCGUCGGCGCGUCCACGCUCGCGAGCGACAGCGCGGGCAAUCGUUCGGAGUGCCUCUUCCUGAGCGACGGCCUGGGCGUCGGCGCGGGUUCCUCCUCGCUCCUCGGGGAGAGGUCCACGGACGACCGCUGCGGGCUCAGUAUGAUCGGCAUCGCGCGACUCCGUCACCCCCGCGGGCUCGCGCUUCGCCUACUGAGGACGACGACGGGCGGGGCGUUGACUCAGAUCAGCAGCACGUGGCAGGCUGCGUUCGUUAAAAGGCGGUUCGGGGUGGUGACCGUUUGCGAACUCGAAUGUGUCGCGGUUCCGCGCGGCCAUCUCGCGCGCACACGCGCGCGCGCCGGGUUCGGACGACGCCCGCCGCGAUAAUGGCCGCGGCGGACGCCUCCGAGGCGCCGCCGAGGAGGGGCGACGCGGAGAUGGACGCCAUCGCGGAGGAGGAACCCGCGGUCGCGGGUCCCUCGACGGCCGAUGAGCGCGAGCCCCGCGACGACGACGCGGACGACGAGAACGAGGAGGAAACCCCGGACGCGCUCUUCGCGAUGCUCACGCCCGCGUUCUUGGAGCACAAAUCUCGCGCGUCGCUGGACGCGGAGGAAGCGCACGGGCUCGCGCGGAUGCUCGCUGAGGUCUCCGACGAGGGCAUCGCGGAGACGCAGGUGGACGGCGCGCUCGCGCUCGCGCGCAACGUCAUCCGCGCCUUCCUCCGAGCGAACGCGGAGGGGGCGUCGUCGUCGGACGACGCGACGACGCGCCGGAGCCGAGCGAAACCGAAGAAGCGCACGCCGGAGCCGUCGCCGCAAAACGACGUCGCGGUGACCUCCUACGUCCCGUCCACGGCGGCGUCCGCGCACGAGGUGGCGCGCGCGGCGGCGACCGCGCGCGCGCACGAAUCCGAGAUUCGAGCGCUGGAGAUGAAACACGCCGCCAAGCUGGACGCGCUCGCGGACGACCUCGCGGAGACGGAGGCGCACUGCGCCGCGCUCGCGACGGACAACGCGCGCCUCGAGGACGCGAUGACGCGAGCGAUGGAGGACGCGGCGGCGGCGCGGCGGGGGGGGCACGGCGGGAUGAUCGCGAGGGGCCCGGGCGCCGCGACGCCGACGACGACGAGUCCCGGGACGGAGCGCGCGCGUCGCGCCGAGCUGGACGCCGCCGCGGACGCGGUGGACGCCGCGGACGCGGAGGCCGAGCGCGCGCGCGAGGAGUGCCUCGCGCUGAGAGAGCAGCUCCGCGACGCGAGGGAGGAGGCGGUCCGCGCGACGCGGAGGAAGGAGACCAUCGAACGCGCGCGGCUGACGCAAUUCGCGGAUCAAGCGGAGAAGGACGCGCGCGUCGACGCGUUGCGGAAACAGCUGAAGGCGACGCGGAAGGCGCUGACGGCGCAGCGCGAGGAGACGGAGACGGCGCUUCGAGAGCUGAAGGCGGUGAACGACUUCGCGGAGCAGCGCGAGGUGGAGCGGUUGAUAGAGGUGCGGAAAGAGGCGCGCGAGAAGGGGAAGGAGAAUCUGCGGAGCGCGACGCACGUCGAGGCGGCGUUUCGAGCCAAGUGCGUCAAGGGGAUGCAGGACAUGCUGGAGGUAAACAAGAAGCUCGAAGCGCGCGUGCUUCAGGAGCGAGAGCGCAGGGUGACCGCCGAGGCCGAGGUCGGUCAGCUGAAGCGGACGCUGACGUUUCAGAGGACCGUCGGCGCGAUGCAGAGCUUCAUGCGACGGGGGAGGGUGGAGGACGUGGAGGACGAGGGCGCCGCGCGGAUUUUGGACGACGCCGCGACGGUGAUUCAACGGCGGUACCGCGGGAUCGCGGGGAGGAAGAAGGCGAGGGAGAUGUGCCGGGAGAUUUUCGAGGAGGAUAGCCCGUACGACGAGCACGACGGCGUGGACGCGACGAUCAAGGAUUUAGUCGACGCGACGGUGGAGAGAGCGCUCGCGAGGGCGGGAGACGCGUAGCGCGGGUAUUCGCGUUUUUUUGGCGUGGUUUUCGAUUCGCGCUCGUUCGUUCGUUCGUUCGUUCGUUCGCUCGUUCGUUCGCUCACAUCGUACUCGGUUAUCGCCCGCCGUCCUACCCAUGUUCGUUCAUGAAGUCGCGAAAUUGACGAGCAACCUUCAUCAUCGGAUCCAUGUGGGCGUCGUCCUCUUCUUAGUCGGACGCUGACGAGCCAGGCCGAGAUGAGGUGAGAUGAUGAGACCAGAUUUCAGUGACCCUCGGCGGUGGGAGCCUCUUGCUAUCCUAACCUAACCUUAAUUAUACUCGUACCACUCCACGGUCUCGACCUCCGGGUGCUCCUCUUUAUACUUCAACGCGUACGCUCUGAUCUCCGCGUUCAGCCUGUCCUUCUCCUCCUUCGUCGCGAACACCCCGAUCUUAUGCUUCGGCUGUUUGAUCACGACGUAACAGAUUAUGAUCGCGCACAGCCACCGCAUCGCGUGAUUGAUCCAGAUCACGUACGGCUUGUGACAGCUCACGCCGACGGGGAUGAUCCACAGCAACCGCGACGGCGUCUCGCGCUUCGUCGGCGGCGCCGCGACGACCCACCCGGUCUGGCCGACGUCGCCGCCGCCGUCCUCCCACGACACCGUGGGCACCCCGGCGAUUAUUCCAUCCUCAUCCGCGCCGUGACACCGCGCCACGACGAUCGGGUGGUCGAUCCACGCGUGGUAGUACGCGCUCCAGAGCCACUCCCCGGGCUUCGUCUUGUGCACCGGACCGUAGCGGUUGUGGAUCUGGACGUCAGUGAAGGUCGCGGUCGCGAGAACCUUGGCGCCCGAGCCGACGCGUCGCCACGCCGCCGGCGCGGUGAACGCGAACGCCGACGCGUUCACCUGCACGAGGGCCAUUCCAUACAAAAAUAGUUCACCGGUCAGUUGAAAGGUGACGCGAUCAAAUGUUGAAACCGAGCGGUGGGUGAAAAAAAAUUGUAUAGAACGCACCUGCACGCUCGUCCUCUCGCCGAUGUAAUAUCCAUCCUCGAACACCGCGAACGUGCGGUUCAGCAGGCUGGCGUCGUUCUGUCGGAUCCCGCGGCGCGUGCUGAGGAUCGCCGCGCGCGCGAGCUCGAACUUGUCCGCGUAGAAGGGCGUGUCGAGGUCGUACACGACGCCGACGUGACACCUGUCGCCGUCGCGCAUCUUCCUACGGAACGACACGGCGACGUCGACGUCCAGCUUGCGGUGCUGCCCCGCGCCCUUGAGGUCGUGGCGCAGCGUCUCCACGCGCGCGGAGGACGUCGACAAGACACCGCGCGACGCGUUCGCGUGCGCGAAGAGGUCGCGCUCGCGGAGACCGAAGUGCCUCGCCGCCUUCUCGCGCGGCGUCCCGAGCGGUUUGGGCUUGACCGUGACCGGGAGGUCCUUCCACCGCGGGAUCAUCCCUUUCUUCCUCGCGGGCGGCGCGGCCGUCGGCGCGUCCGCGGCCGCGGCCGCGCCCGCGGUGGGCGGCGUCCGCGUCAGGAGGAGGAGGACGAGCGCGAGGAGGACGCGCAUCGUCGCGCCCCUCGCCAUCGUCGCCGCCGCGCGCGACGAGAUUCUGACGUUGCAUUCUGUUUGACGCCGACUUCAAAAAAAUCGUCGUCGCGCUCGCACUGCUCGGGUCGCGUCAUACCGCACCGCGCUCAUCGCGCUGCCCGUCAUGUCGCCCUCCGCGGCCGCGCACCCGGCCUGGCGCGUCGCCGUCCUGCGCGCGCUCGAGAAGAACAAGGCGCGUCGUCUCUCGCGUCGUCGUCGUCGUCGUCGCGCCAUCGCGCCAUCGCGCGUCGCGUCGUCGCCACCACCCCAACCCUAAGCCCUCCUCCGGUCCGUCCACGUCUUCGCUGACCCGACCCGCGCGCCCUCUCCACCCCCCGUCGUCGUCACCCUCCGCAGAAGCACAUGCCGUACGCGAAGUACUUCCAGCUCGCGACGGUGAAGCCGGACGGCAAGCCCGCGAACAGGACCGUCGUCUACCGCGGCUUCCGAGGUCCGUCCCGGGUGCCGUCCCGUCGUCGGACGUCGAUCGCUUCUCCGUCCAGUCCGACGCGUCUGAUCCUCCUCCUCCUCCUCCUCCUCCGUAUCUCUUCGCUCUCGAUCCACGCCAGGCGACACCGCGGACGUGACCGUCGUGACGGAUCUUCGAAGCGAAAAGGUGGCGCAAAUACGCGCGAACCCCGCCGCGGAGUUCGCGUGGUAUUUUCCCGACUCGCGCGAGCAGUUUCGAAUCGCCGGCGACCUCGUCGUCGUGGACAAAGGCGCGUCCUAUGUCACACUGGUCCCCAUACGACCGCGUUCGCGCGGUGCACGCCGUUCCUUGAGGACUUUAUCUCCCGGCGGUCGUUUCUCUCCGCCCAUCUCCCCUCGGUUUCAAACCCCGCCCGCGACGCCUUUCGACUCCGCUUCCGACGCCUUUCGACUCCGCCCCGUCGUCGCUUCGUAUGGGCAAUUACCCUCCCCGUAGACGGCCCGGAGGCGCUCGCGGGCGAGCGACGGGCCGCGUGGAACCGGAUGAGCCCCGGCGGGAAGGCGCAGUUCGAGUGGCCGACCCCGGGGUUCCCGCGGUUAGACGACGAGGAGGCGAAGGAGGGCGGCGGCGGCGGCGAUCCGUUCGACGUGGACGACGAGAAGACGCGGCAAGGUUCGCCGGCGUCGGAGAAUUUUUGUUACGUGGUGAUGACCGUGAACGAGGCGCGUCCUCCCUCCUUCUCACACCAGACUGGUCCCCACACGACCGCGUCCGCGUGGUGAACGCCGAUCCUUAAGGAGUUUUGACGUCCUUUCUCUCUUCCCACCCCUCGGUUUCGAUCCCGGCACACCGCGAUGCCUUUCAACUCCGCUUCUGACGCCUUUCGACUCCGCCCCGACGACGCUUCGCGCGGAACGACCCCGAUCAGGUGGACCACCUGAGCCUUCGCACGAACCGGCGGUAUCAUCACGUGCGGAGCCGCGAUGAAGGCGCGGAGGGGGACGGCGGAGGAUGGGUCACCACGGAGGUGAACCCGUGAGCGGGGCGUAGCUCGCGGACGGCCGCGCGAGCGCUCGUACGUCGUCGGCGACGCUUCAUAGUCUACGGCACUUCCGGGACGAAACGAACAGAACUCUCCCAACUUCCUGUUUCGUUAUCCCGAGAUCUCCGAAACGACGGCUCCCUCGCCGCGGCGCGUCUCCCGCGCGCAGUCUCCACCGCACAUGCGCUGCGCCCGAAGCGCGCUCAGAAGCACCGCCCGCGUGCUCUCUUUCGCGUCCUUCUCCGCGUCCGCGUCCGCCACUUCUCCGAUCAUGGCCAGCGCCGCGACGACGACCGCUCGCGCGCCGGUGACGUCGCCCGCGACGACGCUCGCGAAGCGCGCCUCUCGCCGAUCCGCCGCGCUCGCGGCGCGCGCUCCUCGCGGCGCGCUCACGCGAUCAUUCGCCGCGAGCAACGCGCCCGGGUACGCCCCCGGCGACGUCCACCCGUUCGGCGACGUCGUCGUGACCGCGUCCGAGAAGACCGCGGAGCUCGCCGCGGACGCGCUCGUGCUCUCGAUGUGCGAGGCGGACGCGGCCGCGCUCACCGCGUCCGACGACGUCUUCGAAUCCUACGGGAAGGGCCUCGCGGCGAUCGUCCACGACGUCGCGACCGCGGAGGAAUUCAAGGGCAAGGCUGGGUCGAGCGCGUUCGCGCGCGUUCCCGCCGCGAUGGGCCUCCCGUUCAAGCUCGUCGGCGUCGUCGGCGUCGGGAAAGCGGGCGAGAUCGGCGCGGACGCGUGGACCGCUCUCGGCGCCGCCGCCGCCGCCGCGGCGAACAAAGCCAAGUGCGAAUCGCUCGUCGUCGCCAAGUACUGGAUGGGCGACGCGCCCGAGGAGUUCGAGACCAAGGCGCGCGCGAUCGCGGUCGGCGCGUACCUCGGCGCGUUCGACGACCAACGCUUCAAGUCGGAGAAGCAGGCGAAGACGUUGCGAUUAAUCUCCGUCGCGACGCCAGCCGGCGCGGACGUCUCCGGCGCGCUGACGCGCGCGAAGGCGACCGCCGCGGGCGUCGCGCUCACGAAGCAGCUCGUCGCGGCGCCGCCGAACGUCGUGACGCCGACCGCGCUCGCGGACGUCGCGAGGGCGAUCGCGGCGGAGUUUAAGGACACGAUGUCGGUGAAGAUUUUGGAGAAGAAGGAUUGCGAGAAGCUCGGCAUGGGGUCAUUCCUGGGCGUCUCCGAGGCUUCGGACGAGCCGCCGAAGUUCAUUCACCUGACGUACACGCCCAAGGGGAAGAAAGCGAAGGACCUCACGAACGUCGCGGUCGUGGGCAAAGGCCUGACGUUCGACAGCGGCGGGUACAACAUCAAAGCCGGCGCCGGCAGCAUGAUCGAGAUGAUGAAGUUCGACGUGCGUCCACUCGCCCGCCCGCGCGUCGUCGCCGUCGCCGUCGUCGCGACCACCACCACACGAUCGUCCACGUCAUCACAUACUGACCAAUCAAUCAUGUCCCUUCCUUCAUAUCACCAUCCACCACGUCAUCGAUCGAUAACAGAUGGGCGGCGCGGGCGCGACCCUCGGCGCCGCGCGCGUCGUCGCGGAGACCGCGCCCCCCGACGUCGCCGCGCAUUUCAUCGUCGCGUCGUGCGAAAACAUGAUCGGCAGCCGCGGCCUCCGCCCCGGCGACAUUCUCACCGCGUCCAACGGGAAGACCAUCGAGGUGAACAACACGGACGCGGAGGGGAGGCUCACGCUCGCGGACGCGCUCGUGUACGCGGAGAAGACCGCGGGCGCGACGAAGAUCGUCGACGUCGCGACGCUCACGGGCGCCAUCAUCGUCGGCUUGGGUGCGUUCGAUCGCCAGGACACACGUUUUUCACCCACCCGCGGUUUCAACAUUUGAUCGUGUAUCCCCGCGUCUGUCCCUUACUUUCAAAAGAACUGACCGAUGAACAUUUUCGCGCCGUCGAAUGUCAUCGCCCGCGUCAGGCCCCGAGGUCGCCGGCGUGUUCACCCCCGACGACGGCAUGGCGAGCGAGAUCGACGCCGCGGCUCGCGACGCCGGGGAGGCGUUCUGGCGGAUGCCCAUGCGCGAGUCGUACUGGGAGCAGAUGAAAAGCGAGAUCGCGGACAUGAAGAACACCGGGACGAGGGGCGGCGGGAGCAUCACCGCGGCGUUGUUUUUGAGGCGGUUCGUCGAGAGCGAGGACGCGAAGUGGGCGCAUCUGGACAUCGCCGGGCCGGUGUGGGACGACAAGAAGGGCGGUGCGACCGGGUUCGGCGCCGCGACGCUCGCGUCGUGGAUCUCGAACGCCGCGAAGUGAUUAAUGUCCACGGUGGCGUCGCGCGAACCGUUCACUAAGUGACUGCAUACCAAACGUCAUUCAUCACAAUCAUUCUCGGCUGUCGAUCGUCCAUCUCAUCUCGUCAGCCAUCACACGAGCCCCGCCAACACGACGCCGACGAAGAACGCCUUCUCCGCGAGCGGGUGAUCCGACGCGGGAAGUAUCCGGUGCACGCUGUCCCAGAACCUUCUCUCCCACCGCUUCACGACGUCGUUCGCCUCGUCGGCGUCGCGCGGCGCGGUCCACUCCCUCGGCGCGUACGGUUUCACGUACGCGUCGUACGCGCGCGGGCCGAGAUCUCUCGGCAGCGCGUUCGUCUGCGUCAGGAUCCACAUCGUCCCCAGGAAGAACGCCACGGGCGUGAAGAGGUUCUUGAGGAGGAGCUUGAGGAAGUAGAACCACGCGAAGCCGUAGACGAAGCACGUCGCGAGGUCGCCGACGGGCGGAGCUUUCGACGAACGGCGACUCGCCGCGCGCGCGACGCCGGGGGCCGCGAGCGAGGACGCGAGGACGAAGAGCGCGGUCGGCGCGGCGACGCGGCGGCCGCGGUCGCCGCGGUCGUCGUUCCCGCCGCCUCCGCCGCCUCCGCCGCCGCGGUUUCCGCCGCCUCCGCCGCCGCCUCCGUCGUACAAGGCGCGCGUCGACUUCUCCUCGGAUCUCGCGAGCAGCGCGCGCGGGACGAGGGCGUCCCGCCGCGUCGACGCCGCGCGCGCGACGCGACGGCUCGACGCGCCGUCGCGCGCGAGGAGUCUUCCUCGAGUCGACGCCCUCGGCGUCGUCGACGCGUGCACGAGCGAUCGCGUCAUCGCGCUCGCCGCGCGCGCGAUGGAGAGUGACGUUCCGAUCGCGCAGGGUGCCUACAGCCAGAGAGCAGCAGAAAAAAUCUGCGGCGGCCAGCUGCAGAAUUUCACAACAGAAUCGCCGGCGCGGACUCGACGGCCAAGGCUCCGGGCGUCUCGCCGCCGCACCCCGACCACCCACCCGCGCGUCCGCGCGCCGCGAGACGUCGUCCGUCGCGUCAUGACCGCGUCGGGCGCGCCGCCCGCGGACGCGAACGCGAAGAAACCCGCGACGACGACGCUCGCGAUGGGUUUCGAAGGCUCCGCGAACAAGGUGGCCGUCGGCGUCGUGCGCUCCGACGGCGCGAUCCUGAGCAACCCGAGGAAGACGUACAUCACGCCGCCGGGGACGGGGUUCCUCCCCAGGGAGACCGCGGAGCACCACAGAGAGGUGAUCCUGGACCUCGUCCAGGCGGCGCUCGACGAGGCGGGCGUCGCGCCGAAAGAUCUCGACGUCCUGUGUUACACGAAGGGGCCAGGAAUGGGCGCGCCGCUCGUCUCCGUCGCCGUCGUCGUGCGAAUGUUGUCGCAGAUCUGGGGAAAACCGAUCGUGGGCGUGAACCACUGCGUCGGGCACAUAGAGAUGGGGAGGGUCGUCUGCGGCGCGGUCGAUCCCGUCGUGCUCUACGUCAGCGGAGGGAACACGCAAGUCAUCGCGUACAACGAAAAGGCGCGUCGAAUCGAACGCGUUCGACGCCGCGUCGGCCGAGCCCGCGAUUCGCCACGCUUCCCCGCGUCUACACACGUCCAUCAUGAUUUGACAAACAGAUGUUUGCCACGUUCAUUCGAUUCUCGAUGCCCAAUCUGUGACGACUGGCUGGUUUCCACGCGUACACAAAUCCAUCCUACGUGGCGUGUUCCUGACCGAUAGCGUCCUCCCCUUCGCGUUUGUUUCCGCAGAGAUACCGCAUCUUCGGCGAGACGAUCGACAUCGCGGUGGGGAACUGCCUCGAUAAGUUCGCGCGCGAGAUCGGCCUCAGCAACGACCCGUCGCCCGGGUACAACAUCGAGCAGGAGGCGAAGAAAGGCACGAAAUUUAUCGACUUACCGUACGCGGUCAAAGGCAUGGACGUGUCGCUGAGCGGCGUGCUCACGUUCGCGGAGAAGGAGGCGAGGCGCGUAUUCCUCACACUGGUCCCCAUACGACUGCAUCCGCGUGGUGAACGCCGAUCCUUAAGGACUUUCUCUCCGCGCAUCCUACGCUUUUUCAACAUUCGACCCUAUGACGCCUUUCAAUUCCGCUUCUGACGCCUUUCAACCUCACCCCGACGACCCUCGUCAGGGAGCGCAUGCGUCGCGGCGAGUGCACCGCCGCGGAUCUGUGCUUCUCGCUUCAGGAGACGAUAUUCGCGAUGCUCGUGGAGAUCACGGAGCGCACGAUGGCGCACUGCAACACGCAGGACGUCCUCAUCGUCGGCGGCGUCGGGUGUAACGUGCGGCUGCAGGAGAUGAUGGGAGAGAUGGUGAAACAACGCGGCGGCGCGCUCUACGCGACGGACGAUCGAUACUGCGUCGACAACGGCGCGAUGAUCGCCUACGCCGGGCUGUUGGCGUUCAUGGAGGGCGACGUGACGGCGAUGAAGGACACGACGUGCACGCAGCGAUACCGCACGGACGACGUGCUCGUGACGUGGAGGAAGGAUAAGGAGUAACGCGCGAGCGAUGGAGACGUAGACCUCGUUCGUCGUUACUCGUACGAUGGCGGGAAUAAUAAUAAAAAACGAAACGCCCGGCGAGGCGCCCGAACUGAAGCGGACGCGGCCGCGCCCGGCCGCGACACGCUGUCAUCAACCGAAAGAAAGAUCGGAGGAAUAUCUCGCGCGUUCCCUCCGGCUCCGCACUCGACUCUGACGCGCCGCACGCCGCACGUCGAGAGAUGAGCUUCACGCUGUGCGCGAGCAUGCACGCGACGCGCGCGAGCGCGUCUUCGUCGAGCGCGCCCGCGCGCUCUUUCCGCGCGCGCGCCGCGCGCGCGGAACGAAAUGCAGCCCACGUGUCAACGAGUUCCAAGGCGUCGUCGCGAGCCUCGUGCCCGUCGCUUCGCGCGCCGCGCCCCGCCGCGCGUCGCCGCGCCGCGAUCGCGCUUCGCGCGGCGAAGGACGACGCCCCGAAGAACGAGGAUGACACGAAGAAAGAGCCCGAACCCGAGCCCUCCGCGGCGUCGAGCUCGGAGGACGCGGAGAAGCUCCCGACGCCCGAGGACGACGUCGCGCCCGCGCUGGAGGGCGACUGGCGCGAUUUCCGCGCCAAGCUCGUGAACUCGGAGAGCGCGGGAUCCGACGCCCCGGGCGCGUCCGCGGACGAGGCCGCGCGCGUGGAAGCCGCGAGCGGAGAAAACAUCAAGCUCCUGAGCACGCAAAACCCGGAGCUCGCGUCCGAGACGCCCUGGGCGCACGUCAUCGGCGCCCCGGAGAAGGGAUGCCUCCUCCUCGCGUCCGAGGAGGAAUUCAAACUCGGCCAGCAGUACUUCCACCAGGCGGUGAUCUUAGUCCUCGAGCACCACGAGAAGGGCAGCAUGGGGGUCAUCCUGAACCGCCCGACGCAGUACAACAUGGGGUACGUCGGCGGCGACGACAGCAGCCCGUUCGCGAACAACCAGCUCUACUUUGGCGGCGACGUCGGCGACGGCACCGUCUCGUUCCUCCACGGAUCUUCCGAGGUUGCCGGCGGGAGCGAGGUCUUACCCGGGGUGUACCUCGGCGGGUACGACAGCGCGUGCGAGCUCGUGAAGGACGGCACGCUGAAGCCCACGGACUUCAAGUUCUUCGCGAGGUACUGCGGCUGGGCCCCGGGGCAGCUCGAGAGCGAGUGCGAGAGAGGGGUGUGGUACCCGGUGGCGUGCUCGCGGCAGCUCGCGCUGAAGCAGGUGAUUCAGCUCCCCAAGCCGCUGUGGAGGGAAGUCAUGGAGCUGUGCGGGGGGGAGCUGAGGCAGACGAGUAAGCGGAGCUACGGCGAGGAGGAGACGUAAAGGUGGGUGAAGACGUCGUGAGACGCGCUGCUGCGCGCGCCUUAUCAUAUCAGCGCGGGAGCGGCGGGGGAGGGGGGGCUGGGCGGGGGGUCGAGUUGAAAGAAAUUAGCGCGGGCGGGGACGGGUGAAAGAACAGAACGAGGAGAGUCGAGUUUCGAGAGCUGCGAGCGAGAUAUCGCGAUAGUAUAUCGCGUUUCAAUGAAGAUGUACUGUACUACUACUGCGAAGCACACGAAAGACGCGCGCGCCGUGAGAUGGACGAACGCCGUCGAGGCGCGCGGGUGAAAAACGUAAACCUCGUUCAAUGUUUUCAACCAUCCUCAACUAGAGGCGGGAGCCGACCCCGUCGGUCCCGUCCUACUUACAGACAAAAAGUUAUGCUACACACCCGAUCCGAUCGCCGCGCGCCGCCGCCGUCUUCCGACUCGCUCGAAGACGUCUCAACCGUGUUUUGUGCCGCGGGAAACGCGCGAACGAAACGAAUACUUUGGGCUCACUGCUCCUUCUUCGCCUCGCCCGUCACCGCGCUGACGGGUUCGUCAAACUUCGGGACGCACCCGUCCUCGUCGCAAUCGUUUUCGCUCUUGAACUUCGCCUCCUCGAACAGCUCCGGCGCGCACCCGUCGUCGUCGCACACAAUCUCACAGAAGUACACGGGGAAUCGCGUCAUCGCGAAUCCGCCGACCGUCGCGGCGAUCCCCGAGGAGACCAGAAUCGCGAGCUUCGCGGUCACGCUCGCCACCGGCAUCCCGACGAGCGCCUGCUCGAUCAGGAACAGCGACAUCGUGAAGCCGAUCCCCGCGAGCAUGCCGACGGUGAGCAUGUGCUUGAGGUUCAUCCCGGGCGGGAACGAGCACAGGUUCAUCUUGAUCGCCGCCAUGCAGAUCGCGGCGAUGCCGAGCGGCUUGCCCACGAGGAGACCCGCCAUGAUGCCCUGGCCCACGGGCGCGGUGAAGACGCCCGCCAUGGCCGACGCCUGCACCACGACGGCGCAAUUCGCCAACGCGAACAGCGGCAUGAUGAGCAUCGACGAUAUCGGGUGAAGGAAGUGGAUGAGGUCGUCGAUGAGCGUCACCUUCAUGCCGUCCUCGAACGCGUGCGCGUGGGAUCCCGCGGGGGCGUCCGCGUCCGCGGGGAUGGCGAGCGCGGCGACGACGCCGGCGAUGUCCGCGUUGAUGCCCCCCUUGAGAAGCGCGAACCAGAGCGCGACGCCGAGCGCGGAGUAGACGAUCAUGUUGGACACCUUCUUCUUGCAGCAGAUCGCGAGCACCGCGCAGAUGCCGGCGGAGGCGGCGAGGUACGCGGGGACGAUGCCCUUCGCGAAGCAUACCGCGAUGACCGCGAUCGCGCCGAGGUCGUCCACGGUGGCGAGCGUGAGGAGGAAGGUGGCGACGGCGGGGGGCAUGCGGUUCUUGAAAAAGUUGUACACGCCCAUCGCGAACGCGAUGUCGGUGGCCAUGGGGAUGGCCCAGCCCGCGGGGAUGCCGCCCGUCACGGAGUUGAGCGCGAGGUAGAUGCCCAUGGGCGCCACCAUGCCGCCGAGCGCGCCGAAGCACGGAAGGAGCGCGGCUUUGACGUUGGAGAGAGAGCCGAAGACGAACUCGCGUUUGAUCUCGAGGCCGACCAUGAAGAAGAAGAUGGCCAUGAGACCCUCGUUGACCCACUCGUGCGCGUUGAGGUGGAGGCCGAGCGAGGCGGGGCCGAUGUGGAAGUGCUCCCAGAACCCGAUGAAGCCGCCGCUCAUCGCGGAGUUCGCGAGGAAGAGCGACAGCGCGGUGGCGCCGAGGAGCAUGAUGGAGCCGAGACCUUGGUCGAGGAGCUCGUGGAUGUCCAUCUCGCUCCAUUUCUUCUCGCGGACCUCGCCGUCGCCCUCGACGACGGCGACGGACGACGGCGACGACGCGGGGAUGACCGAGCGCCUGCGGUGGGGGCGGCGGGGGGGGAGGAGGAUGGUGAGUUUUUGGGGGGACCAGGACCGGAGGAGGACGGCUACCAAUUUCGUCCAACCCGUUGAAGCGUGAAGAAAAGACCACACGUGAGCGCGAUCUCGAGGGUGGCGCGCGCGCGCGGGACGCGACGAAUCGCGCGCGCGCGCGAACGCGCGCUUCCUCGCGCGCGCGCCAAAAGACGGACGAACGCGUCGAGCACGCGCGAAGAGUCGCACCUCGCGGAGCUGCGGCCGAGCGCGACGGGCGCGCGCGCGGACGCCAUGGUCGCGGACGCGCGAGCCCUGCUGGAGGACGCCUUCACCGAGAAGACGGGCGCCUUCGCGGAGACGCGCGCGCGGGCGACGCGCGUCGUCUUCGCCGCCAUCGCGGAGGCGGAGAGCCCGGAGAUCGUCAUCGCGGCCAUGUUUGCUCGAAUUGAAGGAGUGAGCGUCCUUGGGGUGCGUUGAUUGUGCCCGGCGCGCGCCGCUGGGAUCGUAACAACUUUCGCAGAGCGACGAGACUACGGUUGGCGCACGUUUAUCCAAGUUUGCGAGCUCGGACGUUGACCAAUCAGAAGCGAGGGAGGUGGGCAACCAAUCGAUCUCUAUAUCGAUCAAAGUGCGAAAAUUCUUCAAAGUACGAAUCGAUGACUACAUUUACAUACGAGCAUUUUCGUAUCGUACAAAAAUCCUUUAAGGCGGGAAACACUGUUAAACUGUGCCGACUAAAGUGAUAAUCCGAACCGUCGUGCACGGUUUCAGUGCGUCAGCCUGCGUCAGCGGUCAGCCUUUACGGUCGGCGUCGGUUUCAGGGCGCGUGUUUCAGGGUGAACUUUUUUUUUUCAACGCGCCGAACCUCCAUUUUGCACUUCCAGGAGCACGGACGACGCCGCCGGCCGCGCCGUCCCUCCCUCGCGCGCGAUCUCUCUCCCCUCCUCCUCCUCCUCCUCGCUCAUCACUUGUGGUACGUCACGACCGCGCGGAGGCAAUCGCCGCCGUGCAGCGCGUGGAUCGCCUCGUUCGUCGCCCCCGCCACGUCGCCGCCCUUCGCGUCGAUGGCGUGCGUCACGUAGUGAUCCACCGGGAGCUCCCCCGCGAGAGAUCGCUCCACGAGCUUCGGCACCGCGCUCCGCGACUUCCAACCCCCGAACGCGGUGCCCUUCCACACGCGCCCGGUCACGAGCUGAAACGGCCGCGUCGCGAUCUCCUUGCCGCUCGCCGCGACGCCGAUGACGCACGACUCGCCCCAGCCGCGAUGCGCGCACUCCAACGCGCUUCGCAUCACCUCCACGUUGCCGGUGCAGUCGAAGGAGUAGUCGACGCCCCACUUGGUCAUGCCGACGAUCACAGACUGAAUCGGGAUGCCCUCGUGGUCGUUCGGGCACACGACGUCCGUGCACCCGAGCCGCGACGCGAUCGCGAACUUGUCCUCGUUGAGGUCGACGCCGAUUAUUCGCCCCGCGCCAGCCAUCUUAGCCGCCUGCACGACGGCCAGGCCCACCGCGCCCAACCCGAACACCGCGACGGAGGCGCCGGCCUCGACCUUGCACGUGUUCCACACCGCGCCGAGGCCGGUGCUGACGCCGCAGCCGAACAGGCACGCCUUGUUGAGCGGCAUCCGCGGGUUUAUCUUCGCCGCGCUGAUCUCCGCGAUGACGGAGUACUCCGAAAACGUCGAGCAUCCCAUGAAGUGGUUGAUCACGGUCCCGUCCUUCUUCGCGGUGAACCUGGACGUGCCGUCGGGCAUCACGCCCGCGCCUUGCGUCGAUCGGAUCGUCGGGCACAGGUUCGUCUUCGGCGACGCGCAGAAGAUGCACGCGGGCGCGUUGCACUGCGGGGUGUAGCACGGGAUGACGUGGUCUCCCGGCUUCACGGACGUCACGCCCGGGCCGACGGACUCCACGAUCGCGCCAGCCUCGUGCCCGAGGAUGCACGGGAAGAGACCCUCCGGGUCGUGCCCGUCCAGGGUGUAGAUGUCCGUGUGGCACAGCGCGUUGGAGAUGACUUUCACGCGCACCUCGCCCGCUUUCGGCGGCGCGACGAUCACGACUUCGUUCGUCAGCGGUUGCUUCGGCCCCCACGCGACCGCGGCGUUGCACUCGAUGUCCUUCCCCGCCGUCUUCGCGAACUCCGCGAGAAGCGCCGGGUCGGCCGUGACGUCCACGGCGUCCGCCAUCGCUUGCGCCUUGGACGCGAGCGCUUUCGCGUGGAACUUCACGUGGUCCUCCAUGAAGCUCGAGAUGAAAAAAUACGAGUGGUCGAACCCCGCGUGCCUUCGCACGCUCACCUUCUGACCCACCUCUUUCGCGACCGCCUCGAGGUUCUCCGGUUUCAGCUGCUCGGUCAAGAACUGAUCGUCGAGGCCUUGAUCGACGAGCACGUCGGCAAACUCGGGAAACGCGGCGCCGCGCUUCUUCAGGAGCUCGCACGCGUCGUGGUCUUUCCCCGCCUCCGCUGAGCCCAAGUACGUCUCGAACGCCUUCUUCCCCCACGGCACCGCGGACGGGUUCACGAUCGGCGCGAACGCGCUCACCGCGGCGUACUCCGUCGGGUUCUUAAACGCGAUCGUCAGCGCGCCGUGGCCGCCCAUCGAGUGCCCGGUGAUGGAUUUUAAUCCUCUCGCCGCCGGGAGGUUCGCCUCGAUCAACGCGGGGAGCUCCUUCGUGACGUACGAGUACAUCUUGUAGUUCGCGCUCCACGGCGCGCUCGUCGCGUCGACGUAGAACCCCGCGCCCGUGCCGAGGUCGUACGCGUCGUCCUCGCCCGCGACGCCCGCGCCGCGCGGCGACGUGUCCGGAAACACCAUCAUCACGCCCGCGUCCGCGCAGGCUUUGAACGCGCCUCCCUUCUGCGUCGCGUUGUCGUCCGUGCACGUGAGGCCGCUGAGGUAGUAGAUCACCGGGACGGGGCUCAGCGCCGCGGCGGGGGGGACGUACACGCUGAACGUCAUGUCCGUCCCCGUGGACGAGGACGCGUGCGUGUACUUGCGGACCUCGCCCCCGUGCGCCUUGUUCGCGCUCUUGAGUUCCAUCGCGAUCGAAGUGACCCCCUCGUGGUUCGGGUUCGGGUUCGACGGCGACGACGCGGACGCGGACGACGCGAUCGUCUUCGCGCGGAGGGGGACGCGGUGGUGGUUCGACGCGACGCGCGCGGGGCGGAAAGCGGCGGAGAGCGCUCGCGGGAGGAACGUGAGCGCCGUUCGCGACAUGCACAAGUGACCUAGAUCGACCACCGCGAUCGCGAUCGCGCGAAACGACACUUCAUCAGAUCUGACGAGAACCAACAACGCCCCCGCGGCAGACGUCGCCGCGCGGCGGAGGGGUCGCCCCUUCGCCCGCCGCGAUGCACCGCCGCUCCCAGCCGCUGUUCGCCGUCGAUCGCGCGGGCGAUAGCGCCGUCGCGAGCGCGGUCGCGGUGCGGCACGACGACCCGCUGUGGUCGUCUCGUCUCCAUCUCGCCCCGUCCGCGUCGCGACUGUGCAAGCUGUGCUUCGACGCGUCCUCGUCGUCGCGCGCGGCGUUCGACGGCGCGGACGGCGCGACGCGCCGCGCGAGGUUCGAGCGCGCGUCGCGAGGGCGCGCGCCGGCGGACGCGCUGCGAGAGCUCGGCCUCGCGCCGCUGUUCCCGUCCGUGACGCGCGCGCUGGACGAGGGCGAAGGCGACGUGACGCCUCGUCCAGGCGCCUCCCCGUCCGCUCGCGACGACCCGGCGUGGGACUACUUCGCGCACGCCGCGUCCGCGCACAACCUCGCCGUCGUCGCGGGGAGGCUCCGCGCGGACGCGGGCGGCGGCGGCGGCGGCGGCGGCGCGCGUCUCGCGCAUCAGCUCGCGUCGCUUCACUCUCGCCUGCGCGACGUCGGCGGCGACGCGUGCGAGCGUCUCAGACUCGCGAUAGAGGCGAGGUUCGAGACCGUGAAGCGCGCGUGCGAGGGUGCCGAGGGUGUCGAGGGUGCCGUCCUCGAUGAAGACACGCGGAGAUGGCUGAUGCGCGUCGGCGCGGACGCGGAGGACGCCGCGUGGCGAUGGCCGACGGAGGCCGCGGGGGCGAACGCGAAGCGCGUGCUCGCCGCGCUCGCGGACGGCGGCGGAGGUUGACGGCGAGGAAACGUCCGUUACGUGUGCGUUACGUUUACGUUACAUCACAUGUUGGAGCGCGCGCGCUAGGUGUGCAUCGCACGGUAGCGGCGAGCGAUGUAAUAGACUAGGAAAUAGCAUAGCACGCGGCGGCGCGAAGGCUCAGAAGUAGUCCCCGCGGAGGUACUUGGAGACGACAAACUCUGAGAGCGUAAAAACGCCGCCGUCCGCCUCGGGGUACAGAGAUUCGAUCUCCGCUUUCAUCCCGGACUCGAGCAUCGCACGCAGCUCGCUCGCUUGCGACGCGCUGUCGCGCGAGGGCGUCGACGCGGACGGCGACUGCGAGUGCGAUUGUUGCGACUGCGUCGGCGCCUGAGACGCCGGUCCCGCGGUCUGCGAAGAGCGCUGCGACAGCUGUGCGUUGCCUCCCUCGCCCGUACCCGUUUCCGCCGCCAACAUGUUCUUGAUCUUCGCCUUGUCCAGCUCCGUCAGCGGCUGACGCGCCCGCGCGUCGACGCGCUCCAAGUCCGCGCGCCGAACCCCCAACCACUUCACGUCGAGCGCGUACCGCGACGCCUCGAGCGCGCCGCCGCUGCUUCCGGCGCGGUACGUCCGCAAAAUCAAGAGGCCGCUCGGGUUCCAAUCCACGAGCGCGAGCAUCGGGACGCGCGGGAACUCGCUGGCGAACUUUUUCAAGAAGGCGCGCGUCGCGAGGUCGGGGAACCCUUUCGCGGUGACGAGCACGCACGGCACCCGCGCGUGGAUCCGCUCGCGGCACAGCUUAUCGAACGCCGCGUCUUUUUCGACGAUCAACACGAAUCUCGCGUCGCUCCGCAGCCGCGCGCGCUCGACGGCGCGGACGUCCCCCGGCACGACGAAGUGCGCGGACGCGUCGCUGAAGUCCCUCCACACGCCGUCCUCCGGCGUGAGGAUCGCGACGCGCCCGGCGACUUGCCCUCGAGACGCGGAAGUGACCCCCAUCGCGGCGCGCGUGCAGUUUAGGAGCGUCACGGCGUCGCGGAGCGCGGCGGCGACGAGCCGUGCGCGGCCUGGGGGGAAGAGCUUCGGAUGGCGCGCGCAGAGGAGGUAGUAGAGCGCGCGCUGGGUGAUCGCGCGGCGUUCGGAGAGGUGGUGGUGCACCGUCGCGAGGAGCUUCCAGAGCCGCGCGUACGCGGCGGGCCUGCGCGAGAUGGCGGCGGGGGGGGGGAGGGCGACGUGAGCGAGGCGAGAGAGGAAGAGGAAGAGGAAGAGGAAGAGGAAGAGGACGCGCACCUUCGCGCGUCGUGGAGGCGGACGCGCGUCGUCGCCGCGUUCGCGGGGAGGCGAUACGCCCCCGCGUCGGCUCCCGCGCCCGGGGCGUACACCGCCGCGCGGACGUCGCGGAUCGCGAACUCCACCGCGGCGGCGUCUCUCGUCGCGCGCUCGCGAGAGGGAGGAGACAGAGGAGACGGAGGAAGGAGCAGCGCGCGCGCGUGAGCGACCGCGAGGCGUUCGAUCCGCGCGCACGUCUCCUCGGGGGCGAGCGCGUCGUCCGCGGCCGCGUACUCGUCCUCGCGGACGUCCGCGUCGUCGUCGUCGUCGCUGUCCCACGCGCGCGCGCCGGGGGCGACGGACAUGACCGCGAGGGCGGCCGGCGCGCGAGGACAGAAUAAACGCGAGCCAGAGUGAGACACCUGGCUCAGGCAAGCUCCGGAAGUUCAAAAGACGCGGCCCCGCUCGGCGCACCGCACGCGGCCGCCGCGGCGCACCGCACGCGCGCGUCUUCGCGGCGGCCCAUGGGGAUGUUUAAGACUGCAGCUUAUAAAGCGAGCCGUCGGACGAUCGACGCGAUCAACGACCGACGUCGGACGCUCGAUGCGGUCCACGCCAGCCCGUCGAACCUCGGAAGAGGAGACGUAUACGUGCCCAGCGCCGGCCACGGCAUGUCGAACGAGGAGGAGCCCGCGGCGGCGGGCGUGUUCGACGGCCUUGACGACAUCGCGUGCGAGCGCGACGUCGCGGAGAUAAACGCGCGCGGGGGCGACGCGUCGACGCGCGCGAUGGACGAGGACGACGAUCUCGAACUCGAGCGGGCGCGCCUUCGCGUUUCCCGCGCGGACGAGCCCUCCCCGUCGAGACUCCUCGCGGGCGACGCCGCGGACGUCGUCAUGACAGACGAGGAGAUGGAGGAAGAGGAGGAGGAAGAAGAAGAAGAGGAGGAGGACGCGGGCUCGCGCUCCAGGAAGGACGACCCCCGCAGCCCCUCGCGAAUGGAACGCCGCGCGCGCGGGUCCUCGGACGAUUCGAGCCCGACCGCUCGCGCGUCCGACGACGCCGCGCGCGCGUCCACGUCGCGAGACGAAGAGGACGACGGGGACACGGACGCGCUCGCCUCGGACGAUGCGCUCGCCUCGGACGGCGAGACGAACCCGCUCCCGCGCGCGGAGGGCGGGUUCGCGACGGGCGAGGGCGAGGACCCCAUGGGGGGCGCGCCGUGGUGGUUGCGUGUGGAUCUUCCCGCGCACGUCGAAGCCGUGCUCCCGGUGAAGACGAAGGGGCUCGGCGAGCGCGUCGACGACGACGACGACGACGAGGUCGUGGAUCGCGUGAUCGACGAGCUGCUGCCCGAGAUCGGUGAAAAGAGGACGUACCUUGGGGUUGCCGCAAGUGGACGUAGUUGGUGUGCGUGGGUGUAUCACGCUGGUACUACUUGGAACUUCGGCAGCUACGUCGAUCGGUUCGACGCCGCGCGCGCCCGCGACAAGGGUGUGAUUAAGCUGAAGGGAUGGGACGCGGACAACCUCAACUUCCCCGUGACUGACUACCGCGGAGACGAUGAGUUCUGUGAAAUGGUAUCAACCAUGUCGGACGAACAGAUAAAGUGGCCGCGCAGAACGCCGCGCGCGCGAAGAGUGCUACGGCGCCGCCCGCUGUCGCCGAGAGUGUUCGCGCAGUCAAAGUUCGCAAGGUCGGGGUGAAGUAUACCGGGGUUUCCUUGAAUAACGGAGGUAAAUGGAUGGCGCAGGUCUGGCACGCUAGCACUACCUGGCACUUCGGCACCUACGUCGAUCAGCUCGACGCCGCGCGCGAGCGCGACAAGGGUGUGAUUAAGCUGAAGGGAUGGGACGCGGACAACCUCCACUUCCCCGUGACCGACUACCGCGGAGACGAGGAGUUUUGUCGAAUGGUAUCAUCUAUGACGGACGAAGAAUACAGAGAUGCCGCGCAGGACGCCGCGCGCGCGAAGAGUGCCACGGCGCCGUCCUCUGUCGGCCAGCGCCUCGACGACGACGAGGUCGUGGAUCGCGUGAUCGACGAGCUGCUGUUCGAUAUCGAUAACGAAACGUAUGUUGGGAUUCGUUCGAAUGCAAUUGGACAUAGAUGGAUUGCGCAGGUGUAUCGCGUUGGUAUUACCUGGACCUUUGGCGGGUACGACGAUGCGGUCGACGCCGCGCGCGCCCGCGACAAGGGUAUGAUUAAGCUGAAGGGAUGGGACGCGGACAACCUCAACUUCCCCCGUGACUGACUACCGCGGAGACGAGGAGUUCUGUGAAAUGGUAUCGACCAUGUCGGACGAACAAUAUAAAGUGGCCGCGCAGAACGCCGCGCGCGCGAGGAACGGUACGGUCCGGCGUUCCUUCAAAGUUGGUGCCCGUGGCCAACUCCCUCCCGCCUCGCCUCGCGAGAGCUCGCAAAUUGGUGUUCUUAAGUCGAGGUCGUCGCACAAACGCAAACUUGUCGCCGAGAGUGUAAAAGUGGCCGCGCGAGACGCCGAGAGAGUUCGCGAAGUCAAAGUUCGCAAGGUCGGGGAGAAGUAUGCCGGGGUUUCCUUGAAUAAAUUGAAUAAAGAAGAUAAAUGGAUAGCGCAGGUCUGGCACGCUAGCACUUCCUGGUACUUCGGCAGCUACGUCGAUCAGCUCGACGCCGCGCGCGCCCGCGACAAGGGUAUGAUUAAGCUGAAGGGAUGGGACGCGGACAAACUCAACUUCCCCGCGGCCGACUAUCGCGGAGACAAGGAGUUUUGUCGCAUGGUUUCGACCAUGACGGACGAAGAAUACAGAGAUGCCGUGCGGGACGCCGCGAGGACGUUCGUCCAACCAGUCGUUUACGCGCCGCCGCGUCCGAAAGAAACCAAAACCGAGAAGCUCGCGAAGAACGACCCGUGGGUCGGCGAGCGCGUCAGGAAGUGGUUCCCGAAGCAGAAAGCGUACUACGAGGGCGUCAUCGCGAAGGCGCAUUACAUCGACGGCGAGGUGUACUACUUCAUCGAGUACGACGACGGCGACGAGGAGGACCUUUCGAAGGACGACUUGCGCGCCGGACAGAUGCUCAAAAAGUGGAAAAGUAAAUGCGUCGGCGGCGAGGGCCCCGUGGUGAAGAAGCGCUACGGCGAGCUCGUCGCCGUGAAGCUCCAGAGGCGCGAGGAAAAGCCGAAGCAGCAGCGACGCGUGUACGUCGAGCAGCGGCCGCUGCCGCCGCCGCCGACGAAAGAGGCGGUCGCGAAGCUGCUCGCGGACGUGCGUGCGGCGGCGGAUGACGAGGCGAACAACCCGACGCGCGGCGCCGACGCGCUCGCGGCGAGACGCGAGCGCGAGCGCGCGCUCGCGAACCCGGUCGGCGGCGUCGUCCUGGGCCGCCCGCAGCCGCCGCCGGCGGAGGACGCGGGGGAGAUUCGCGUGUUAUCGCAUGUCCUCUCGCCCGCGGUCGCGAAGGAGUUUAAACGCGUGCACUUCAUGUGGAAACACCGCCACGGCCUCCUCGACGCCGCCGGCAGCGGGAAGAUGGACCUGUUCAAAGCCAUCGCGGCGACCGUGCGCGAGACGCGCGUCGUCGCGAACAACUCGUUCGCGGACAACAGCAACGAAGUCAUUCGAAGGUUCGACGCGUCCGCGGCGCUCGCCGAGGCGUUCGCGCGGCAGCUCGUCGCGGCGACGACGCUGACGAUGACCGACGCCGCCGCCGCCGCGAUCGACCUCCCGGAGACGCUCGACUACUGCGACGGCGUCGAGGCGUUCACGAUCGGCGACGACGAUCCGAGGGUCAUCCUGCGAGGCGAGCUCGGCGCGAGGGCGACGCGGAGAAUCCCGGCCGGGACGCUGCUCGGCCCGCACGCGGCGUACGCGUGCGCGCGCGUGGAGUACCACUCGCGAAAAUUCUGCGUCCCCGUGCACGGCGCGCGACGCGCGCUGGACCCGUCCGUACGAUACACGACGCCGCUGCACGCGGAGCUGGACCACGACGCGUUCGCCGCGGACUUCUUGUCCGUCGCGGGGACGGAGCUCGAGGAGUCGCUGGGCGGGAUCAUCGCGGACGCGUACGGGUACGGAAACUUGGCCUCGGCGGUGAACGACCCCGCGAUCGAUCCGUUCGACGUCGAGGGCACGAACGACGAGCUGAGGGUCGACACCGGGGUCGUGAACGUGCACCUCGUGGAGAUUUUAGUGCACAACUUCCCGUUCAUGUUUCACGUCGCCGUGAACGAGAUCAAGGAGGGCGAGGAGCUGUUGACGGAGCAAGGGCAGUACUUUUGGGAGAUGAUUCGGUCCGGGAGGCGAAGGAUCGCGGCGGUGUCCGGCGGCAGGAUGGGCGCGUUAUCGUGAUCGCGAUUCGUUAGGGAGGUGGUUUACUUCCUCUUUUGGGGUAUUAAUAGCUGUUUUUAGGUUUUUAGGCGCGCGAGGGGGCGACCAGCCGGUCGACCCGCUCGCGCGACGUUUUUCAGAAACGCUCGCACGUCGUCCUUCCUUUGUCGUCUCUCCGCGGAGUUCUCCACUCCGUCUCGCUCGCCUCUCAGUUCUCAGUACCGCUGAUACUGCUGCUGCUGGUGAUACGGCGGCUGCAUCGGCGGCGGCGCGCCCGGCAUCGGCGGCGGCGCGCCCUGGUACGCGUGCACCGGCGGCGCGCCCCAUCCCCCGCCCGGCGGCGGCGCCGGCGGCGGCUGAUUGUACUGCGGCGGCGGCUGAUACUGCUGAUACUGCGGCGGCGGCUGCUGCCACUGGCUCUGCAUCGGCGGCGGCGGCUGCUGCUGCUGCCACUGGCUCGGCGGGUACGCGUCGUACCGCGGCUCCUCGCGGGGCGGCUCGACCGCGGGCGCCGCGACGGGCGCGCGAGGAUUCACCUUGAAAUACGCGAGCAUGCGAUCCACGGUGGGGAACUCCAUCCGGCGGAACCGAAACCCCUCCGGCUUGACGCUGAUGUACUCGUGAUGCACGUUCCCGCUCUUGCUGAGGAUGGACGAUAGGCAAAACACGCCGUGGUGUUCGAAGCUCACGGACAGCGCGUACGGCCGCGUGUCCGGGUGCCGCGCCAUCUCCGCCUUGAGACGCUGGUCCACGUCUCUCUUCGUCCCGCGUCGGAAUUUCCGGUGGCGAAUCAUAGCCUUGAGGUUCGUCACCAUCGGCUCGACGUGCCGCGCGUACACCUCGUCCAGGUCUUCGUACUCGACGCCGUCCACGGUGAGCGGGGACCCCAGCGCGAGGUUCGCGGUGUGACCGACGCCGGGCUUUUUCCCUUCCUUGAUGUCGUGAUGCACGUACAUGUCGUCGUAGAAUUUCACCGUGAGCGAGAGGUGCGUGACGCCCUUGCUGCUCGGCCGCAGCAGCACCUCGCCGAUGUCCUGCGUCUUGAGAAUCUCCUGCGCUUGCAGCGCGGUGACGUUCUGGAACAGCGGGUGGUUGAUGUUCCUGUGAAUGAAGCUCGGCCGCGACGCUUGCCUCUUCUUCUUCUUCGGUUUGGGAAUCUCGCCGUCCAUCACCUGAAGCGAGUAGUACGGCGUGCGGCCCCACUUCUCCGCCUCCCACUGCUGCGUCGCCUCGCGCGACAGCACGCUCCCGGCGCACGCGAGAUGCACCACCCCGGCUUCGUAGUCGAUCCCGUUCGGCUUGACGCGCGCGGAGAUGACCUGCCCGACCGCCACCUUAUCCUCGAGGCGGUUCACGUGGUUAUCGGAUAAAUCUUCCUUUUGAAUCUUCCCCGUGACGCCGCUCUCGAGAGACACGAGCACCUCCGCGUUGAUCCCCAUCGUCGGGUUCGGCCGCACGAGCUUCCUCACCGUGCACUGCACGAUCUUCCCCUCGCACAGGCUGUGCUCGGUCUCGCCCGUGAGGAGCGCGAACUCCUCCCACGCGGUGGGGGGCUCCCACGGCCCGCGAAUGUCUCCGUACGGUUCGUGGAGCUCCACGCGCACCUCUCUCAACGUCUGGUAGAUCCACCCCUGGCCCUCGCCGUGGAGGUACUCCGCGUACGCGCGAAGAUCCAGCUCCGCGAACUUCUCCCAGUGCUCCGGAUCGAGCGCGCGCUCGACCGUCUUUCGCUGCACCGCCUUGCUCGCCUUCUUGAGCUGCUCGAGGUCGUAAUCGAGCGCGUUGGCGAUGAUUUCAAACGUCUGCGCGUAUCGCUCCGGGUGAAUCCGCGUCGCGUCCAGGAUGUCGUCGUCCACGACGCGAAGGCUGCUCGCCGCGUUUCGAAACACGAUCGGACCAACGAUCCCGAGCUCGUACACGAGCUCCGCUCUCGUCUCCAGCGCGCCGCCGUCGGACGCGCGCACGGCGGCGACCACGGCGGCCGCCUUCCUCGCGCCCAAGCCCGCGACGUAGUUGAGCGCCUUUUGCUGCCACGGGUGCGCGACGCACGCGUUGACGUCGACGCCGACUUGGUUGACGACGUCGGCGAGCGCUCGCGUGAACACCGCGAGACGCUCGUCCUCAGUGAGCGCGUCCUGGAGCGUCGAGAGCGUCAGCGACGCCGCCUCGCCGCCGCUCGCGAGCGCCGCGACGAUGCCCGCGGGGUUGCGCAGGUACCGCCCGACGCACGUCGCGUGACGCACCUCCUCCUUGUGCUCUCUGAGGGCCAAAAACAGUUCUCCGGUCAGUUGAAAGGGGACGCGAUCAAGUGUUGAAACCGGGCGAUGGGUGAAAAUCGUUUGUAUAGAACGCACCUGAGUUCUUCUCGCAUCGCCGCCGACGCGCCCGCGAGCGCGGGAAUCGUGUCGUCGACGAAGUGCACCUCGAUCGUGUUCACUUCCUCCGGAAUCGCGCGCGCGUGAUCCUCGACGAUCUUCUCCACAGCCUGCCUCGCGGCUUCCCGCAGAAACUUGCAGUUCAUCCCCGCGUUCGAGGACGCGGCGACGGCGACGACGUGCGGGCGGUGUUCGAUCAUAAACUGCACGAGACGAUUCAUGUCGGCGUCGCGGCGUUGGCCCGCGGCGGACUGCCCGGCGAACGGCCCGGCGGCGCGCACCGCGAUGUUCGGGCACUCGAGGAAGUCCACGAGCUCACCCUCCGCGUCGAGCAUCGCGAACGUCGUCGCGGGCGUGCCGGGACCCCACACCGCGGCGAGGACUCGGACGUCGACCUCGUCGUCGUGGUACUCCUCGGUGGAUUUAAUCUCCGGCGCCCACGGGCGGUUGGAAAUCUUCGGCCACAGCGCCUCGCCGCACUCGCGCUUCACCUCCGCGAUCGCCUCGCGCGCGAGCAGCACCGUCGCGCUCUUCGUCAGCGACACCGCGAGGUGCUUCUUCAGUCCCAAGUGCAGCGCGUCCUUGCGAAGCGCGUUCCACGCGUCGGCAAUCUCGGAGACGUCUUCGAGGAGGUACGCCUGUUCCGCCUCAGCCAUGACGUCGUCGAUCACCUUCUCCGGGAGCGCUACUCUCAGCGUGAUGAGCCCCUCGUCGUACGCGCGCAGCACCGCCGCGAACUCGGUGCCGGUGAACUCGGAGAUGGGCUUGUUCUGAAGGCGCUUCACGCGCGCGAGCGGGUGAAACGGAUCGAUCUCGAUCGUCCCCUUCGGCGUCGGCUGCGUCCACACUUGCGCCUUGCGGCGCACGACGACGCGCAUCCACGCGCGCACGGACGGCUCCACGGACAGUUCCGCCGCGGCGACGUGCGUCAGCGCUUUCAGGACGACGGAGACGUCGCCGUACCCGGUCUCUUCGCCGACGUACACCGACGCGGCGUCUUCGGGCAUCAUGUCCGGGACGACUUGAUUCUCCGUCCCCGCGUUUCGGCGGUAGGAAUUCAGCGACUGCGCGAGCGCCGCGGGCGUCGCGCCGUACAUCGGGAGCAAGUCGCGCAGGCCCUUCUUCCUGUGGUGCGCGUACGCCGUGCGGUUCAGCGGGCGAACGUGCGUGGACUCCGCGCCGGACUUUUUUAUGCCGCCCUUCGCCUCCGACGUGAGAAACUGAUGAAUCUCCUCGUCGAACCGCAGCGUGAGCUUCGCCUCGACGUCGUCCAGCGUCUCCUCCGCGCGCGCGUCCUCGCACUUGUUCAUGAGCGCCGCGAGCUCGUCCAGGUCUGGGUGAUCGUCCCCCAACACCUCGACGACGCCUCCAAACUUUCGCAAGAGCUCCGCCUUUCUCCGCGUCAUGCGCGCGUGUCGUUUAUCCCACUCCAAAACCUCGUGCAGGACGUCGCGUCGGUGCACCCUGCGCUCGAGGACCGCGAGGUUCGAGUCGCGCGGCGGCGGGCGCGAGUCGUCGCGCCGCCCGCGCAGCAGCGGCGCGACGCGAUCCUUCAGGUUCUGCGCGAUGAACGCGAUCUCGAGCCCUUCGAGGUGCGUCAUGCACAGCAGAUCCGCGAUGGCCGCCUCCGCCGCCUCCGCCUCCUCCUUCGGGAGGUUCCCGCGCUCGUUCUCCUCGAUGUUCCUCACGCGGUCCUCGUGCUCGUCCUGCGACUCGUCGUCCGCCCACCCGCGAAGGAGGAGCUCGCCGCCGAACGUCGGCGCGUCUCGAACGCUGCCGACGCCCAUGAGGCGAUCCAAGAUCCACUUCGCCUCGGCGGCGGCGUCCUCCUUCUUGAACGGCGUCACUCUCGCGUCGAGCUGCAUGCGCUCCGGCCAGUCCGUCUCUCGGAUCUCGUCGUCCUUCGCCGUGAGCAUCUGCUCGCGGACGACGGACGGCUCGAACGCGUGCAGCCAGGACCCGCGCCCGGGGCGGCCCGCCGCCGCGGAUCGCGCAGACGUCUUUCUUCUUCGCCGCCGUUUCUUCUUCUUAUCUGGGCGAUCGAGCGCGUCGUCGCCCUCGUCCUCGAGCGCGACGCCGUCGUCCUCCUCCUCGUCCGUCUCGUACUCGCUCUCUUCGUCGAACCUUUCGCCAAGGUCGCCUUCGUCGUCGCCCCGGUCCCUCUGCGCGAACAUCGCCUGGAGCUCGCCGACGUCUCCGAAGAUGUCGAACGCGUCUUGCAGCUGGUCGCUCCGCACGCCCGGCACGUGCGACUUGAUCUUCUUCGGCCUCGGGCCUUCGCCCUCCUCACGCUCGAUGAAGUCCGCGAACUCGUCCUCGCUGUCCUCGUCGUCGUAGUCCACGAAGUCUUUUUCAUCCUUCACGACGGCGGGUUUGAUUUUUUUCUCCUUGGAGACGUCGUCGUCUUCGUCCUCCUCCUCGAGCUCCUCGUCGUCCGAGCCGCCGAAGAGAUCGCGCUCCACCUCGGCCAUCGUCUUCGGCUUGUCGCCGCCCUUCUUCGCCGCCUUCUCCGCCGCCUUGUCCUUCUCCGAUUUCUUCCCGAUGCGCUUCUUCUUCUCCUUGCGCGUGAAUCCCGUCACGAGGUUGUCCUCGAGGAGGUCGUAAUCGUCCUCGUCGAGCUCCAUCGCCUUGCGCUUCUUCCGCCUCUUGUCGUCCUCGUCGUCGUCGUCGCUGUCGUCGUCGUCGACGACGACGGUGACGGCGCCGCGCUGGCGUCGGCGCGCGACGACCGGGCCGUCGUCGUCGUCGCUGUCGUCGUCGUCGUCCGCCAUCGGCGGCGAGGACGACGGCGCCUUGGGCGAUCCCGGGGGGACGGGCGACCCGGGCGCGUCGUCGUCGUCGUCGUCGUCGUCGUCGUCGCCGUCGUCGUCCGCGUCCGCGCGCUCCGCCUUCACCGCGGGCGGCGCGUCCUCGGUCUUCUCCGUCGCGGCGGGCGGCGCGUCCUCGGGAGGCGCCGCGGCGGGCGCGGCGGCGUCGUCGUCGGACAUGACGGCGCGAUUCUCCCGCCCGUCCAAGAUCUCGCCCCUCGCGCCGGCGCGGACCGCGCGCGGUCGCCGAUCGACGCGCGAGAUCGAACGCGCGCGCGCUCGAGCGACCGCGCGCGACGCGACCGCGGCUCGAGGACGGGGUGUUCGCAAGCGACGACGACUCGAGCACGCGUGCGGCGCGACUCGAGGUGUGACGACGACCGCGACGCGGCCGCGCCGACGGCGAGCGCGAUCGCGCCAAGAGGCGGGCUGUGUGGUGUACCGACCGCGCGGAACACGAGGCGCGCGUGGACGCAGUACCGUACGUAAAAGGGCCCUAUGGAAUUUUAGUCUGCGUUUUUUGUCAAAACUCCGCUCGCCAUGAUCACUUCCACUUCCGGCUCAGGUCCUUCGAGUACGCCAUCCCGUGCGUCACGAACGCGCCGACCGCGAGCGCGGCCAACGUCGCGAUCAGAAGCAAGUACGAAAACUCGUCGUCCAGCGUGUCGAAGCUCCGCGACGGGUGCAGCCGCGUGUAAAAAAAAUCCAACCCGUGUGCGACGCACAACACCGUGCUCUCCAGCGACGCGGGCGCGGUCUUUAUCCCUCUCAACCGCGCCACCUGAUGCCUCGUCGUGACCCAACUCUGCGGGAAGAUCGGCAGCACCUCCUGGUACGGCACGAGCCCUUCUUCGCGGUCCUCCGCGGUGGGCUUCCGCGACGGACGCCUCGGAUCCAAAAACUUUUUAUCCAACGCCACAACCUGAUCCGUCGCCGUGCCCAUCAGCACUUGAUGCGCGGUGACCCCUUUCAUCGAGUACGUGCUCGUCAUCAUCGUCGCCGCCGGUCGAACGAAGUAACUCUGACCCAUGAUUCGAAGCGGCGGCGGCGCGAACGACGAGAUCGUCUCCGUGUCGUUGCCCCCCGCGAAGAUGGAGCUCCGCAUCAGCUCGCCGACGGCGAGCCCUUUUCGGUGCUCCGCGUCGUCGAACAUCUCGAGGACGCUCAUCGCGAAUCUCCCACCGCGCGUGUUGUAGUAGUGAUACACGACCCAGUUCUCGCACACGACCGCGUGGACGGGUCCGCGCGCCUCCGGGUGCUUGACGCGGUAGAGCACGCGCCCGGUCGCGGCGUCGAUCAGGUGCACGAGGACGAAGGACGCGAGCGACGCGUCCGAGGAGGCGUCGCCCGCGCCGGCGACGUCGAACGUCGUCGGAGACGCGGCGACGAAGAUGACGUUCGGGGAGAGGUACUUGAACAGCGUCGAGCGGUCGCCGAGGACGCGCGUCCACGAGUGGACGACCUCGUCGGAGGGUUUCGACGCGUACCCGACGAUGGAGCCGCUCUCGGGGGGGAACAGCGACGACCACGUCUGCGCGACGGGAUAGGACGACGGAAACGCCGACGCCUCCGCCGACGACGGUUUCGUUUCCGCGGCGGAAGCCGACGACGGCAAGAGCGCGUAGCCGCGAAUCUCGUUCGCGCUCUGAUCCACGGUGAAGAACGACACGACGCCGCGGUCGACGUGCGCGGCGACGCGCGCUUCCUCGGUGUCCGGGAACACCGUCGCGGACGCACCCGCCGCGUCCACGAGCAGCGCCGCCGACGCCUCGUGCGUCUUGGAAUCCGCCGCAGCCGCCGCCGACGGCAACGGGAGAUAAUGCGCGGUCGCGAACGGCAAAACCACGUCGCUCUCGAUCGCGCCGGUGUACAGGUCCACGACGACCGCGCGCGUGCGGUCGUUACGCUCGUCGACGCCGAGCACGAGCGCGUGCUCGCUGUCGUGCGCGUGGUCGCCCGUGGGACGCCACUUCUCGAUCGACGCGUACGAGUAUUCGCCGCCGCCAGCUGUACCGCCGCCGAGGAACCGCCGCCAUAACACGCGGCCGUCGCCGUUGUGCAGCGACGUGAUCGCGCCCGAGGGCGCGAGCGCGAUGAUCUGCUGGCGCAGGCCUUUCAGGUCGCGCGUCGGCAGGAGCUUCGCGCCUCUGCCGCGUCGCAACGCCGUCAGCGUCUCGAUGUCCUCCUGCUUGGCUUGGUUAAACCGCGCCUUGAGCGCCAAAACCUGCGUCUUGUAACGCUCCGCGAACGACGGUUUCACGCGCAGGUCGUCCGCGGCCGCCGCCGCCGCGGACUUGGGCGGCGGGAGCUUCGCGAAGAAAACCUCGCCCGCGAGCGCGAGAGACUCGUCCCUAGACCAGAGCCGCUCGCCUCUGAUUUCCUCCGCGCCGCCGUGCGCGGACAGCGUCGCGUCCUCCGUGACGACCAGCGUAGAAAACACCGCGCCCGUGGAGGACAGCCACGCGCGCUUCACGACCCCGUGGUCCGCGGGCGCGUACCCGCGCACCGGCUGUGUCGUCUUGACGACCGCGCCCGUCUCGAGCGAGAUGAUCGAAGUGGACGCCGCGUUCGUCUUCGCGUCGACGACGACGGCGCCGACGACGACGCCCGCGAGCGCCGUCGCCGCCGGCGAAACCGCCGCAGCGCAGGCGUUACCUCCGCCGGCGGCGCCCGUCGUCAGCCCCCACGCGCGCACGAUCUCGACGGCGCCGGCGUCCGUGAGCCGAGCGAGUGCGCAGCCGGCGUCGCCGAGGAGCGUCGCCGCGCCGGCGGCGAGCGCCGCCGCGUCAGCCUCGCCGUCGCCGCCGCGAAUCGCGGCGACCCCGCCGCGGAAACCGCCGCCCACCUCCGCCGGCGCGUCGCUCAGCGUCGUCGCGCCGCGCUUCCCCUGCAGCAGCUUCGCGACGUCGAUCACCGCGAGCUUCGCGCCGUCGAUCGCGGUCGUCAGCGCGUAGACCUUAUCGCCGUUGUCGCCCCCGGACUUGACCGCGAGGGAGGCGCCGGCGGCGCCCGCGCCCGGGCCCCCCGGAGGCGCGAGCCCGCCCGCGCCGCCGCACUGCUUUCGAAGCGUCGCGCCCGUCUUCAGGUUCAUCUCCACCGCGCACGCGCGGUGGUCGUCCUCCGUGACGCCGAUCGCGAUCGCGACCUUCACGUUGGCGGCGGCGGUCGCGACGACGACGCGCUGCAUGCGAGCGAUCUCGCCGCCGCCGAAUUCACCCGCCGCGUCGCUUUCCCACGCGACGCCGCCGUCCGCCGUCGACCGAAGCUGCGCUCUACCUCGCGCGAGCACGAGCACGUCGUCGGCGCCGUCGCCGUCGACGUCCUCGUUGAGCGGCAGCAGGUCGAUCCCGGCGUCGAGCGCAGCCUCCUUCGCGGCGUCCGCGCUCGGCGCCGCGGCGGUGAACGCGACGCGUUCCCACAGGAGUUCGCCGUCCUUCAUCGAGUACGCGCGCAGGUGUUUGCCGCCGCCCGAGAGCGCGAGGAGCAUCUUGGAGGCGACGACGAGCUUGUCGACGACGUCGCCGCGCUCGAGGACUUGGCGCCACGCUGCGAGGGAGGGGAACGACGGGGGGUGGGGGGUCGGCGGGAGGGCGCGCGGGCGUCGAGGCGCGCGCGAUCGCGAGGAGGUUGGAUCGACGGCCGUCGCUCGCUUUGCCCUAGCGCGCGCGACGGACGGACGGUAGGAUCUCGAACGAUCGAGGGGACGACGCGACGCGAAGGGAUCGUUCGGCGGGCGGACGCGCGAGGGACGCACCGAUGUCGCCGGUCUUCAUGGACACCGCGGCGAUCGCGCCCUGGUCCGUCGCGAUGAACGCGCGUCUUCGGUCCGCGGAUCCCGCGAACGCGGCGUGCGUCGCGUCGCCCAAGAACGAUCGGUGCCAGUCGUAGCUCCCGACUUGAUCCGCGUGUAUCGCCGCCGCGGGCGACGGCGCGAUCGCCGCGAUCGCGACGACGAGCGCCGCGACGGCGGCGCGCCACGAGAUCGACGAAGGCGCCAUGACGCGAGUGAAGUGAGCGACGCGCGGGGGUGGGCGUCGGUCGUUAUGCGCGAGGGACGGGCGGCGCGAGAUCGGUCGUCAACAGAAGUUUUCUCGGCCGGCGCCGUCAUCGUCAGCGAACACUUUUUCCGCGAGCGCCGCCACAUCGCCGCCGCGCCGGCACGAUGAGCGGCCCGGGGUGCUACGACCCCCCCGCCGACUUCGCUCCCGCGUCGUUCCGCCGCCACGCCGCCUUCGAGCUCGAGGACGACGACGAGGUGUGGGUGAUCCAAGCCCCCGCGGGGACGUCCGCGAGGGACCUGCGCGGGUGUCGAUUCACGGUCGCGGACGACGACGACGCCGUCGGCGUCGUCGUCGACGAGUUCAAGACCGCGAGAGGGAAGAAGUACAGGAUGGUCGAGGACGGGAAGGGCGCCGCGGAGACGCUGUCGAUCGUGCGCGCGGCGAGGGACGGAUCGAACGGGCUGGAGACCGCGCGCGCGGUGACGCGGCGGGUCACGCUGAUGCGCAAGGUCAGGGGUGCGGCGGGCUCGGGGGGGAGGCGCGAAGGCGACGACGACGACGAAGGGGACGAGGCGCGCGGCGGCGGCGGCGGCGAGGAGAAGCGCGCCGCGCGAGAGCCGAAGACGCCGAAGGAGAAGAAGCGGAAGAGGGACAAGGACGACCGGAAGUCGUCCAAGAAGUCGAAGAGCUCGAAGAAGGACAAGGACUGACGACGGCGCGGCGACGACGCGAGUAAAAAAACGUAGCUCUGGCGAUGACGCCGUCGCGAUCGAUCGAAUCACAUUAGACGCCAACCCAGCCCGAUCCAACCAAACCGCGGCCGCGGCCGCGGCCGCUCACGCCUCGAUCGCUUUCGCUUCCGCCUUCUCCGCCUCGAUCGUCGCGGCUUUCAUCUUCUCGUUGAUCGCGUCCGCGUUUGUGUGCACGAACAUCUCCGCGUGUUCGAAAUUUUGCUUGUUCUCCUUCCACGCGCUCUGCGACCGCUUCUCGUGCGUCCUCUUAGCGUCCUCGCUGAUCGAGAGUCGAGGGUCCACACGAGGCGACGUCGGGGUGGAGGAGUUUUGGGGCGCGUCAGAUGGAGUCGUCGAUGGAGGCGUCGCGGUGUGGUGUCGGGAUCGAAACCGAGGGGCGGGCGGGAGGAGAGAAACGACCGCCGGGCGGGACGCGGACGCGCCUGAACAGCUUCGCCAUGAUUUCGUAAUCGUACUCGUCGCUCGCCCACGGGUCAACCUUGGACGGGGAGACGAUCGACACGUCGUACUUCGCCUUGGCGUAGAAUUUCAUCGCGCCCUCGUUCGCUUUCUGCACGGUGAGCAUGACGCCGUCGACGCCGGCUCUCUUCGCGAGCGCCUCGCACAGCAUCAUCAGGAACCGUCCCAGCCCUCUCCCUCGCGCCGCCGCGUCGAACUGAAGCUCGUAGACGUACAACACCGCGACGUCUUCCUCGACGACGAAGCGAUAGUGCACGAACCCUAACGGCGGCGAUCGCGCGGACGACGACGACGACGCCGCGGGCGACGCGGCGUUCGGGUCCGCGUUCUCGCCGGAGGCGUCGCGAGCGAUGAGGUACCUCGUCUCAUCCUCCCCCAUCUCGCGCCUCUUGUCCCUGGCCUCCGUCGCCCACGUCUUCGACGCCUCGUACACGGGCUUCAUGUUCGCCUCGAGCAGGCUCCACAUCCACUUCUUCUCCUCCGCGGUGAGGUCCGCGGGCGCGGCGGGGGUCACGGCGACGCGGACGUCGCCGCGCGCGAACGGCUUCGCGAGGAACGGCGCGAGCGCGUCGGACGGGUCGACGGCAUACGCGGCGUCGAUCGAAGCCUCGAGCGCCUUGAGCUUCUCCGCGGCCGCGAGUUUCUUCGCGGUCUUGGCUUUCUUCGCGACGUCGACGACUUUGACGGCUUUCGGCAUCGCGCGCGGCGAGGUCGCGAGGGCGGGGGGGUCGGGGAAGUUGUCGUUCAUUGUCGUGGUCGGGUUCGAAUUUUAAACAAUGGCAAAAUUUCUUCCAGUCUGAUGAUUUUCGCCGCGCGACGCCGCCAGACUGGACGGCGUCCCCGCCGCCCUCUCUCUCUCUCUCUCCGACCGACCGACCAAACCGCCGAUCACAUCACGGACGUCACCUUGAAGUCCAGAUCCGGUCGCUCCUUCACCGCCUUCUCCGCCGCCUCCGGGGACACGACCGCGCACACCUUGGCCCCCGGCGCGCGCGUCGCCUCGAGCGCUUCGCCAAAGGCUCUGAGGGUCGUUCCAUACGAGCGAAUGUCGGGGUGCAGUUGAAAGGCGUCAGUUGGAGUUGAAAGGCGUCGAGGUCGGGGAUUGAAAGCGAGGGGUGGGCGGAGAGAAACACCGGGAAAAGUCCUUAAGGAUCGGCGUCCACCACGCGAACGGGGUCGUAUGGGAACCAGUGUAUAGAACGCGCCUGAAGUCCUUCUGGCUCGUCGACAAGAUUUGUUCGCGACGCUCUUGUCUCUCUUCGUCCGACACCUUCAGAAGGUGACGCAUGAGCGACGUGUACCUCUUCGCGUCCGGGAGCUGGUACGCGUCGAUGUCGCCCAUCGUGCCGAUGAUCGCCUUGGUGAGCUCGUCGCCGCCGAUCUCCAGGGAUUUGAGGUAGUCCACGGUGCCGUCGUAAUUUUCCACCGUCUUCAUGAG